Molecule: long non-coding RNA, 110746 nt
Filed under: Triticum aestivum (bread wheat)
Lineage: Eukaryota; Viridiplantae; Streptophyta; Magnoliopsida; Poales; Poaceae
Description: long non-coding RNA (TAES_LNC016663)
Source: RNAcentral
AAAAUUCCCACUAGUAUAUGAAAGUGAUAACAUAUGAGACUCUCUAUCAUGAAGAUCAUGGUGCUAUUUUUGAAGCACAAGUGUGGAACAAGAGAUAGUAGCAAUUGUCCCUUCUCUCUUUUUCUCUCUUUUUAUUUCUCUUUUUUUUCUUUAUUUCUUUUUUUCCUUUCUUUAUUUCUUUCUUUCUUUUUGGCGGGCUUCUUUGGCCUCUUUUAUUUUUAUGAAGUCCGAAGUCCCAUCCCGACUUGUGGGGGAUAGUCUUCAUCAUCCUUUCCUCACUUGGGACAAUGCUCUAAUAAUAAAGAUCAUCACACUUUUAUGGAUUUACAACUCAAGAAUUACAACUCAAAGCUAGAACAAGAUAUGACUCUAUGUGAAUGCCUCCGGCGGUGUACCGGGAUAUGCAAUGAAUCAAGAGCGACAUGUAUGAAAUUAUGAAGGUGGCUUUGCCACAAAUACGAUGUCAACUACAUGAUCAUGAAAAGAGCAAUAUGACAAUGAUAAAACGUGUCAUAAUAAACGUAACGAUGGAAAGUUGCAUGGCAAUAUAUCUCAGAAUGGCUAUGGAAAUUCCAUAAUAGGUAGGUAUGGUGGCUGUUUUGAGGAAGGUAAAUAAUGGGUUCAAUACCGGCGAGAGUUGCGCGGUAAAAUAGAGGUUAGCUAAGUGGGAGGAUGAGUGUGCGUAUAUCCAUGGACUCACAUUAGUCAUAAAGAACUCAUAUACUUAUUGCAAAAAUCUACUUCGCCCUCGAAGCAAAGUACUACUACGCAUGCCCCAAGAGGGAUAGAUUGGUAGGAAAAAAUUCCAUCGCUCGUCCCCGACUGCCACUCAUAAGGAAGACACUCAAAAGAGCACCUCAUGCAACAAAUUUGUCACACAACUUUUACCAUACGUGCAUGCUACGAGACUUGCCAACUUCAACAAAAGUAUUUCUCAAUUUCAUAAUUAUCCACUAGCAUGACCCUAACAUUACUACCUUUAUAUCUCAAAACAAUUAUCAAGCAACAAGUUGAUCAUAGCAUCCAAUUCAACUUCUAUGAUAGUUUUUAUUAUACCCAACUUGGAUGCUCAUCAUUCUAGGACCAAAUUUGUAACCAAAGCAAAUACCAUGCUGUUCUAAAAGACUCUCAAAAUAAUAUAAGUGAAGCAUGAGAUACUAGCAAUUUCUAUAAAAUCAAGCCACCGCCGUGCUCUAAAAGAUAUAAGUGAAGCACUAGAGCAAAAACUAUCAAGCUCAAAAGAUAUAGGUGAAGCACAUAGAGUAUUCUAGCAAAUUCUAGUAAAAUAGGCUUCUCCAAAAAGGUGUGUAAAGCAAGGAUGAUUAUGGUAAACUAAAAAGAAAAGACUAAUGUAAUACACGACGCUCCAAGCAAAACACAUAUCAUGUGGUGAAUAAAAAUAUAGCUCCAAGUAAAGUUACCAAUGAACAAAGACGAAAGAGGGGAUGCCUUCCCGGGGCAUCCACAAGCUUAGGCUUUUGGCUAUCCUUGAAUAUCUUGGGGUGCCUUGGGCAUCCCCAAGCUUAGGCUCUUGCCACUCCUUAUUCCAUAAUCCAUAAAAGCUUUACCCAAAACUUGAAAACUUCACAACACAAAACUCAACAAGAAAUCUUAUAAGCUCCGUUAGUGAAAGAAAACAAAACCACCACAUAAGGUACUGUAAUGAACUCAUUAUUUAUUUAUUUUGGUGUUAAACCUACUGUAUUCCAACUUCUCCAUGGUUUAUAAACUAUUUUACUAGCCAUAGAUGCAUCAAAAUAAGCAAACAACACAUGAAAAAUAGAAUCUGUCAAAAACAUAAUAGUCUAUAGCAAUCUGUAACUAACGCAAACUUCUGGAACUCUAAAACUCCUAAAAAAAUAGGACGUAUUGUACAAUUUGUUUAUUGAUCAGAAGCAAAAAGAAUCAAUGCAAAAUCUCGUUUCUGUGAUUUAUUGAAUUUUUCUCGUGAGCGGAAAGUUUUUGUUUUUCAGCAGAAUCAAAUCAACUAUCAUCAUAGUUUAUCCUAUAGGUUCUACUUGGCACAAACACUAAUUAAAAGCUAAAAACACAUCUAAACAGAAAGUAGAAACAAAAUUUAACACUAAAUAGGAACAAAAACAAAGAACACAAAGAAAAUUGGGUUGCCUCCCAACUAGCGCUAUCGUUUAACGCCCCUAGCUAGGCAUAAAAGCAAAGAUAGAUCUAAAGAGUGCCAUCUUUGGCACUUGGCUCAUAAGUAGCGCACUUGUGAUCUCUAGGGAUUUCUCCCUUUUUAGCAAUGGCUAAACCUUUAGGCAAAAUUUCAAGAAAUUCAUCGGUAGCCAAAGGUUCCUUAACGAUAGAAAGACCAUUGGGAUGAGCCCUUAUGGAUUUGAGAUCCACGUCUCCCUUACUAGAAGAUUCACCCUUAUUUUUAGGAACAUAAAUAAGCUUGGAGGCUUUUGUAGGGGGUUUUGGAGUGUUUUUCAUGGAAUAAAAUGCCGAAGCUAAAUUUGUAAUUAUAUCCUCAAGUUUACCAAUUCUAGUAGAAUCAAGGUCUAUUUUUUCAUUAACUAUAGGUUCUUUCUCUUUAAGAUUUUUCAAAGUAACUCCAAUCCUAGAUCCAUAUUGGGUGAUAUGACUAUGAAUCUUUUUAUCCAAAUUUUCAAUCAACUCAAUAGUGGCAAUUUUAUUUUCAAUAAUAUCAAGUCGUUGCAUAACGUGUUCUAAAGUUAAAACGGUUCCAUUGACCAAAAGAGGUGGAGGGCCAAACAAAUCCAACAUGGCAUUAUAAGCAUCAAACGUAUGGCUACUCAUGAAAUCACCUCCGGUAGCAAUAUCAAGAACACAUCUAUUCCAAGGAGUAAUGCCUACAUAAAAAUUGUGGAGAAGAACGGAAGUGGAAAGCUUCCUAGAAGAUUUAUAUUGGGCAUUGCAAAUUAUAUGCCAAGCAUCUUUUAAAUUUUCUCCCUCCCUUUGCUUAAAAUUGAGAAUUUCUUGUUCGGGAGUGGUAAUAAGGAUAGGGGGACUAGCCAUAACGACAAGAUAAAUGAGCAAACACACGGGCAACAGAAAAAAAGCAAGCGGAAAAGAGAGGAGGAGAUUGGGAAAGAGAGGGCGAAUAAAACGGCAAGGGUGAAGUGGGGGAGAGGAAAACGAGAAGCAAAUGGCAAAUAAUGUAAAUGCGAGGGAGAUGAGUUUGUGAUGGGUACUUGGUAUGUCUUGACUUGAGCGAAGACCUCCCCGGCAACAGCGCCAGAAAUCCUUCUUGCUACGUCUUGAGCUUGCGUUGGUUUUCCUCAAAGAGGAGAGGGUGAUGCAGCAAUAGUAGCGUAAGUAUUUCCCUCAGUUUUUGAGAACCAAGGUAUCAAUCCAGUAGGAGGCUCCUCAACAAGUCCCACAAACCUACACAAACAAACAAAGAACUCACAACCAAUGCGACAAAGGGGUUGUCAAUCCCUUCAUGGCCACUUGCGAAAGUGAGAUCUGAUAGAGAUAGAAUGAUAAGAUAAAUAUAUUUUUGGUAUUCUAUAAUAUAGAUGCAGAAAAUAAAGAUGCAAAUAAAAGUAGAUUGAAAGUAAAUAUGAUAAGAGAUAAACCCGGGGGCCAUAGGUUUCACUAGAGGCUUCUCUCGAGAGCAUAAGUAUUACGGUGGGUGAACAAAUUACUGUCGAGCAAUUGAUAGAAAAUCGAAUAAUUAUGACGUUAUCUAGGCAUGAUCAUGUAUGUAGGCAUCACGUCCAUAACAAGUAGACCGACUCCUGCCAGCAUCUAUUACUAUUACUCCACACAUCGACCGCUAUCCAGCAUGCAUCUAGAGUAUUAAGUUCAUAAGAACAGAGUAACGCAUUAAGAAAGAUGACAUGAUGUAGAGAGAUAAACUCAAGCAAUAUGAUAUAAACCCCAUCUUGUUAUACUCGAUGGCAACAAUACAAUACGUGUCUUGCAACCCUUUCUGUCACUAGGUAAGAACACCGCAAGAUUGAACCCAAAGCUAAGCACUUCUCCCAUGGCAAGAAAGAUCAAUCUAGUAGGCCAAACCAAACCGAUAAUUCAAAGAGACUUGCAAAGAUAACUCAAUCAUAUAAAAGAAUUCAGAGAAGAUUCAGUUAUUAUCCAUAGAUAAAUCUGAUCAUAAACCCACAAUUCAUUGGCUCUCGACAAACACACCGCAAAAAGAGAUUACAUCGAAUAGUUCUCCACGAGAGAGGGGGAGAACAUUGUGUUGAGAUCCAAAAAGAGAGAAGAAGCCAUCUAGCUAAUAACUAUGGACCCGUAGGUCUGUGGUAAACUACUCACAACUCAUCGGAGAGGCAAGGGUGUUGAUGUAGAAGCCCUCCAUGGUCGAUUCCCCCUCCGGCAGAGUGUCGGCGAAGGCUCCAAGAUGGGAUCUCGCGGAUACAGAAGGUUAUGGUGGUGGAAAUUGUGUUUCGUCCUGCCCCCAGAUGUUUUCGGGGUACGUAGGCUUAUAUAGGAGGAAGAAGUACGUCGGUGGACGCCCGAGGGGCCCACGAGACAGGGGCGCGCCCUACAGGGGGGGCGUGCCCUCCUAUCUCGUGGGAGCCUCGGCUGCUUCUUGACUUGCACUCCAAGUCCUCUGGAUCACGUUCAUUCAAAAAAUCACGCUCCCAAAGGUUUCAUUCUGUUUGGACUCCAUUUGAUAUUCCUUUUCUUUGAAAUACUGAAAUAGGCAAAAAAACAGCUAUACGGGCUGGGCCUCCGGUUAGUAGGUUAGUCCCAAAAAUGAUAUAAAUGUGUAAAAUAAAGCCCAUAAUCAUCCAAAAGGGGUAAUAUAAUAGCAUGGAACAAUCAAAAAUUAUAGAUAUGUUGGAGACGUAUCAUCUGCCAUCGUAAAUUAGCGCUUGUUGCCCUUGUCCUCAUUGCCGAUGCCAAGGAAGCUCCUCUGAAAGCGGCGAUGACACUUGGAGGUGACAUGGCGUUCAUGACCACAUAGCUGGCAUACCACCCGAGUGUUAGGGCCCCCACCUAGGGGGCGGGGCGGGCUUGCCAGAUGACGGGGCAGGGAGACACUGGCCGCGAGAAGCCCAGAAGGCCGUCGGCUAUGAGGUGAUGGUGGAGAAGGAGCGAUAAGCCUCGACGCGCUGCUCGGUGUAGAGGAGUCGUGAGUAGAGCUCGUGCGGGGGCAUCGCUGGCUUGGCGUUGUGCACAGCCUCGGCGAGAUUGUCAUAGUCGGCAUCGAGGCCUUUGAUAACAAAGCCAACAAACUCCUCGUCGCUGAGCGGUCGACCGAUAGAGGUGAGUGUGUCCGCCAGCACCUUCAUCUUGUCGAAGUAGGUCGUGGCAGAGGAGUCCAGCUUCUUAAUGUCGGUGAAAGUGCGCUAAGUCGACUAGAGGGGGGUGAAUAGGCGAUUUUUAAAAAUUUGUCACUGAGGAAUUUCAGGGUGAGGAAAUUCCUAAGUCACGAACAACUAGUAGCGGAAUAAGUACUCACGUAUAAGCAUAACAGAGUGAAAGCAUAGUCAUCAUGCUAAAAUGAAAGAAAAACACUGAGUACAGAAAGCGUAAACACAGGAUAAGCAGGUUGAAGACAAUGUGACUGAAUAAAUAGAAUUGAGGAAAUAGAGAAAGUCUUCAAUCAAAGUCUUCAAACAGUAAUGAUCAGGUUUAGCAACACAUGAGUGAGGAAAUGAAAGGGUUGAGGAAAUAGAACCAGUAGGCUUGGUGAAGAUAAUGAUUUGGUAGACCAGUUCCAACUGCUAUGACAGUUGUACAUCUAGUAGGAGCGACUGAGUAUUUAAACUCGAUGACACACAGUCCCAAACACACAGUCCUCACCAUAUUCUCCUUGAGCUAAGAUCACGCAGAUCUCGCCCAACACUCGUGGUAAGUCUUCACAGGUGACUUCCAAACCUUCACAGACUUGGUCACUCGGCGGUCCACAAUUCCUCUUGGAUGCUCAGUCCAUGAAGCCUAACCGUCUGGAGGAUACACAAUUCUCAAAGAUAACAAGCGUCAGUUCCAUGCAGGAACAAUCUCUUCAGUGAUGCUCAAUCACUUUGGGUUUGUUGGUUUGGUUUGGGGUUUGGGUUUUCCUCACUUGAUGAUUUUUGCUCAAAGUCCUCGGAGGAUGGGAUGCUCUCAAAUGACAAGUGUCAAUUCCUCUCGGAGCAGCCAACUAGCUAGUGGUUGUAGGGGGGCGGCUAUUUAUAGCCUAGGGAGUAGCCCGACAUGAUAAGAUAUAAAUGCCCUUCAAGGAUAUGACCGUUAGGUGGUAGGAUAUUUUGGACAGCUCGCGCGUAGCACAGCAACGGUCGGAUUUGAGGUUCGAAUUCCCCAGGGCUAUCAUGUUCCUCACUGUGUAGGCAAUCUGCACUGGCGAAUUCCUAACUCCUUAGUCAGAACAAAUUCCUCAAAGACCAGAAGAUCUUCGGCUCUGUCACUGAAGAAGUUGACUGGACUGAUAUGAGAUUUCCAAUGGCUUCACUCGAAAGGAUUGGGUAUAUGUUGGAUUUUGAGAUGAGCAUCACUUGGAAAUCAGUUUCCUUAGUAUUACCUCGACCCCCUUUAACAGUACGAUGUUUCCUAUGACUCAAGAAAGAGAAAAUGAAACUACGAAACAAAAGUCUUCACGCUCCAUAAUCCUCGCAUGAAUAUCCAAGUCUUCAAGGUCGCACCAAUUUCAUCACUUUCAAAGUCUUCAGGAGCACCAAAGUCUUCGGCUGAAGACAUUCAUUUUUAGGGGUCGACUUUCACUGUAAAUAUCAAACUCCUCAUCGACUUAUAGAGCAUGUGUACACUUACAAACAUAUUAGUCCCUUAACCUAUAAGUCUUUAAUACACCAAAAUCACUAAGGAGCACUAGAUGCACUUACAAUCUCCCCCUUUUUGGUGAUUGAUGACAAUAUAGGUUAAGUUUUCAACGGGGAUAAACAUAUGAAUUGAAAGUGGUCAAUGUUGAGGAAUUUGAUUACAAGAUAUAGAAGAACUCCCCCUGAAGAUGUCCAUAGUGAGGAAUUUGCUAUUGAAGCAAUGCACAUUUUUAGAGUAGAAUCAUGGAGAUCUCCUCAUAUAUCUUGUAAUUCAUACACGCAUUUAACAUAUCAAAUGAAGAAUUAGAAAUGCAUGAUGAAAUAUGGUGACUGAUGUAAUUCAGCAUGCGUGCAUAGCAUAUAUGAGGAAAUAGCGUGCAGAAAAACAGAGCAAAAGUAUCAGGUCACCAUCGGACUUAAGUUUACAACUCAAUCAACAAACACUUCAGAAGAGCGAGAGUUGUAACUUAACAAAAAAACACCCAUAUAGAUAGACCCGCUUGAAGACUAACUCAAAUUUCUCCUCCUUUGUCAUCAAAUGACCAAAAGGGACAAAAAAUGAGGACUAACGCCCCUGAAGAAUUUCAUCAUGAAGUUGACGGAGGAGCGCCAUCAUUGUUGGGGUCGGUUGUUGGAGUAGGGCCUGCUGCAGUGUCGUCCAAAUCUUCAUUUUCAUCGGUCUCGCGCGAUGAAGAAUAUGAGAUGGGCACCAAGGGAGGAACUUCAACUUUCUUGAAUUUCUUCGCUCGAGGCUUAGACCAGCCGAAGUCCUGCUUGAAGCCCGUCUGCUUGAGUUCCUCAUCACCAUAGAGAUGAGACACAAUUGCCCAGGUGCGAUCAAAACUUCAUUGAGGUAGUAAUGGUUCUUCUUUACUGAAUUAUAUAUAGCAGUCAUGUUGUGAAUAAUUGAACCAAACUGACACUUGACCCAUUUGUGAUUGUGAUCGACCUUCUGAUGAAGACUGGGGAGAAUCUCAUGAUUAGUCAUCACCCUUGGAGUUGUGGCUUGAGGACUUUGCUUUGUGGCAUUGGCGGAAGAAUCAUGAGUGGCAGAGUCAUCAUUGGUGGAAUACGAUGCAGCUUUGUGGAACUGUCCAUCCAAUGGACAAAUGCCCUCAUCAACAAUUGCAGUGGCCUUACCUUUUCAUCAGUUGAGAAAAAUGUCCGCUUGAGGACUUCAAUAGGGGGAAAGUAACUGCCAUGGUUGAGUGUGUCAACCUUGUAAUUGAUUGAAGACCUUGAUCUGAGGAAUCUCAUAAUCCAGGGAGCGUAAGGCUUCAAUUCAAAGGGAGAUAGUGCAACAUUUGUCAUAGUCCGCAUUAAGAAGUCAUGGUAGUUCAUUGGGAUACCAUGCAUGAUAUUGAACAACAUAUUCUUCAUCAUGCCAACAACUUCUUCAUCAUUGGAGUUCUGGCCUUUGAUAGGACUCAGUGUCUUGGUAAGAAUGUGAUAGACAGUCCGCGGCACUGAUACCUCUCCAACGUAUCUACUUUUCCAAACACUUUUGCCCUUGUUUUGGACUCAAACUUGCAUGAUUUGAAGGAAACUAACCCGGACUGACGCUGUUUUCAGCAGAACUGCCAUGAUGUUGUUUUAUGUGUAGAAAAGAAAAGUUCUCGGAAUGUCCUGGAAAUCCNNNNNNNNNNNNNNNNNNNNNNNNNNNNNNNNNNNNNNNNNNNNNNNNNNNNNNNNNNNNNNNNNNNNNNNNNNNNNNNNNNNNNNNNNNNNNNNNNNNNNNNNNNNNNNNNNNNNNNNNNNNNNNNNNNNNNNNNNNNNNNNNNNNNNNNNNNNNNNNNNNNNNNNNNNNNNNNNNNNNNNNNNNNNNNNNNNNNNNNNNNNNNNNNNNNNNNNNNNNNNNNNNNNNNNNNNNNNNNNNNNNNNNNNNNNNNNNNNNNNNNNNNNNNNNNNNNNNNNNNNNNNNNNNNNNNNNNNNNNNNNNNNNNNNNNNGCGCCCUCCUAUCUCAUGGGCCCCCCGAACCACCUCCGACCUCAACUCCAACUCCAUAUAUACCGUCUCGGGGAGAAAAAAAUAGAGGAGAAAGUUUCAUCGCGUUUCACGACAUGGAGCCGCCGCCAAGCCCUAAUCUCUCUCGGGAGGGCUGAUCUGGAGUCCGUUCGGGGCUCCGAGAGGGGGAUUCGUCGCCGUCGUCAUCAUCAACCAUCCUCCAUCACCAAUUUCAUGAUGCUCACCGCUGUGCUUGAGUAAUUCCAUCAUAGGCUUGUUGGACAGUGAUGGGUUGGAUGAGAUUUACCACGUAAUCAAGUUAGUUUUGUUAGGGUUUGAUCCCUAGUAUCCACUAUGUUCUGAGAUUGAUGUUGCUAUGACUUUGCUAUGAUUAAUGCUUGUCACUAGGGCCCGAAUGCAUGAUUUCAGAUCUGCACCUACUAUGUCUUCAUCACUAUAUGUGUGUUCUUGAUCCUAUCUUGCAAGUUUAUAGUCACCUCUUAUGUGUUAUGAUCCGACAACCCCGAAGAGACAAUAAUCGGGACACUUCUCGGUGAUGACCGUAGUUUGAGGAGUUCAUGUAUUCACUAUGUGUUAAUGCUUUGGUCCGGUUCUCUAUUAAAAGGAGGCCUUAAUAUUCCUUAGUUUCCACUAGGACCCCGCUGCCACGGGAGGGUAGGACAAAAGAUGUCAUGCAAGUUCUUUUCCAUAAGCACGUAUGACUAUUUACGGAAUACAUGCCUACAUUACAUUGAUGAAUUGGAGCUAGUUCUAUAUCACCCUAUGUUAUAACUAUUGCAUGAGGAAUCGCAUCCGGCAUAAUUAUCCAUCACUGAUCCAUUGCCUACGAGCUUUUCACAUAUUGUUCUUCGCUUAUUUACUUUUCUGUUGCUACUGUUACAACUACUACAAAAACCCAAAAACAUUUACCUUUUUUGUUGCUACUGUUACCAUUAUUAUCAUACCACUUUUGCUACUAAAUACUUUGCUGCAGAUACUAAGUUAUCCAGGUGUGGUUUAAUUGACAACUCAACUUCUAAUACUCAAGAAUAUUCUUUGGCUCCCCUUGUGUCGAAUCAAUAAAUUUGGGUUGAAUACUCUACCCUCGAAAGCUGUUGCGAUCCCCUAUACUUGUGGGUCAUCAAGACUAAUUUCUGGCGCUGUUGCGGGGGAGCAUAGCUCUAUUCUCUAAGUCACUUGGGAUUUAUAUAUGUUGAUCACUAUGAAGAACUUGAAAGACGCUAAGACCAAGAUUUUGCCCUCAACUAUGAGGGGAGGUAAGGAAAUGCCAUCUAGAUCUGCAAUAGAUUCUCCUUCCGUUAUUAGUAAGCUUGCGACACCUAAACCUGCUAUUGCUGUGAAUUCUGAUAUGUCUCAUGUUAUCGAUGAUGCCACUUCUGCUUUGCAUGGUACUUAUGAUGAAACUACUUCUGUGCGUGAUACUACUUUGCCAUUAGGUGAAUUUCUUGAUGAACAACUUGCUAGAGUUAGGGGGAAUGAAAAUAUUGAAGAACCUAUUAUUGAUGAUAGUGAUGAUGAACGUUCCCCCAAUGAUUAUGUAUUACCUGUUGUUCCUAAGGGUUAUGUUAUGAACAAAGAAGCUGCUGAAGCUAUUCUUGCUUGCAAUGAUAGAAAUGAUCUUAAGAAAUUAUUAGCUAAAUGGAAGCAUCAGUCUCUUAAUGCUAGAAUGAAACCUGAUCCUACUUUUGCUACUUCACCUAUCUGUGUUAAUGAUAAGGAUUAUGAAUUCUCUGUUGAUCCUGAUAUUAUUACUUUAGUUGAAUCUGAUCCUUUUUAUGGCCUUGAAUCUGAAACUGUUGUGGCACAUCUUGCCAAGUUGAAUGAUAUAGCCACUCUAUUUACUCAUGAUGAGAAGUCUCGCUAUUUAUAUAUCCUUAAGAUAUUUCUGUUCUCAUUAAAGGGUGAUGCUAAGACUUGGUAUAAUUCUCUUGCUCCUGGUUGUGUGCGUAGUUGCCAGGAUAUGAUCUAUUACUUCUCUGCUAAAUAUUUCCCUGCUCAUAAGAAACAAGUUGCCUUGCGGGAAAUAUAUAAUUUUGUGCAAACCAAAGAAGAGAGUCUCCCACAAGCUUGGGGGAGGCUUCUCAGGUUGCUUUAUGCUUUGCCUGAUAUCAUCUUAAGAAAAAUGAAAUACUUGAUAUCUUUUAUAAUGGACUAACCGAUGCUUCCAAGGACCACUUGGAUAGUUGUGCUGGUUGUGUUUUCAGGGAAAGAACAGUCGACGAAGCUGAAAUACUAUUGAAUAAUAUGUUGACUAAUGAAAAUAAUUGGACUCUUCCCGAGCCAGUUCCUGAAGUAAUUCCUGAACCAAUUGAGCCAACUCUUGAGCCUAUUCCUAAACCCACUCUGAAGAAGAGAGGCGUUUUAUUUUUGGGAUAAUUAGAUUUAUGCCCCUAGUUGUGUCCCACUCGCCUGUUUUACCCCUAAUUCCCAAAAGUCAUCGGUUCUGUCCAAGUCACUUUGCUCCUCUUAUGCUUUUGCACUUUGACCGUUUGACCGUCAGUUUGAAAACUUCAUAACUAAUUCAUACUAAAUCAUAAAAAUGCAAAUAAGAUACCAAAGUGUUCAUAAAAACAUCACCAAUAUGUGAGUGUCAUUUGCAUUCAUGAAAAAAAUGUUGGAAAGUGCACAUCUGAGUUUUAGCUCUUUUGAUACCACCAUGAAUAGUAAACUCUAAAAAAAUUCAAAAAAAUUCAAAAAAAAUAUGGUGGCAAAGAAUGACAAAUGUUCUAAGUGCUUGCCAAGUUUCAUUAGGGAACGACAUUCAUGGAAGUCAUGGCAAAAAAAUAAUCUAUUUUGGAGUGCUGAUUGUUUUUUUUUUGCCACGGCACCCACGAAUGUUAUUCCCUGAUGAAACUUGGCAGGCACUUAAAACAUUUGUCAGUCUUUGCCACCAAAUUUUUGUUGAUUUUUUUUGAACUUUUUUAGAUUUUAUUAUUCAUGGUGAUAGCCUAAGAGCUAAAACUCAGAUGGGCACUUUCCAACACUUGUCUCAUGAAUGCAAAUAACACUCACAUAUAGGUGAUGUUUUUCUGAACAUUUUGGUAUCUUAUUUGCAUUUUUCUGAUUUAGUAUGAAUUAGUUAUGAAGUUUUCAAACUGACGGUCAAACGGUCAAAGGGUAAAAGCAUAAGAGGGGCAAAGUGACAUGGACAGAACCGGUGACUUUUAGGAAUUAGGGGUAAAACAGAUGAGUGGGACACAACUAGGGGCACAAAUCUAAUUAUCCCUUUAUUUUUCAGUCCUGAAGAUAUGCAAGAGGCAAAGAAAUCAAUGAAAGAAAAAGGUAUUAAAGCUGAAGAUGUUAAGAAUUUACCUCCUAUUGAAGAAAUACAUGGUCUGAAUACACUGCCUGAAGAACUACAUUGUCUUGAUAACCCUACACAGGUAGUGAAGGUAAAUUCUCUCUAUAGAUACGAUAAAGUUGAAAUACCCUCUACUAAAUUUCAUAGCCCAUGCUUAGAUGAAUUUGAUGACUUUAUGGCUAGACAAGAAAGUUUUAAUGCUUAUGUUGGUAGAGAUUUAAAGAAUAAUGCUUUCGAGAUAGGACGCGUAGGUGAUAAUCUGGCUAGAGUUAAAGAUGAACUUCACCGCGUUAGCAAAUAUGCUUCUAUGGUUGCUACUCAAGUUGAGCAAGUACUCAAAGCUCAAAAUGAUUUGCUUGAUGAAUUGAAUAAUAAAAAUGACUUUGCUGUUAGAGUGGCUACUAGAACUGGUAGAAUGACUCAGGAACCUUUGUAUCCUGAAGGCCACCCUAAAAGAAUUGAACAAGAUUCUUAGAAUAAUAAUCUAGAUGUUCCUAGUUCUUCUAAGAAGAAGAAAAAGAAGAAUGAUAGGACUUUGCAAACUUCUAGUGAACCUAAUGUAGAAACACCUGAGAAUCCCAAUGGUACUUCUAUUUCUGAUGCUGAAACACAAUCAGGUGAUGAACAUGAACCUAGUAAUAAUGUUAAUGAUAAUGUUCAUGUUGAUGCUCAAUCUAGCAAAGAUAAUGAUGUAGAGAUUGAACCUGUUGUUGAUCUUGAUAACCCACAAUCAAAGAAUCAACGUUAUGAUAAGAGAGAUUUUGUUGCUAGGAAGCAUGGUAAAGAAAGAGAACCAUGGGUUCAGAAACCCAUGCCCUUUCCUCCUAAACCAUCCAAGUCAAAGGAUGAUGAGGAUUUUGAGCGCUUUGCUGAAAUGAUUAGACCUAUUUUCUUACGUAUGCGCUUAACUGAUAUGCUGAAAGCAAAUCCUUACGCUAAAUAUAUAAAGGAUAUCAUCACAAAUAAAAGAAAGAUACCGGAAGCUGAAAUUUCCACCAUGCUUGCUAAUUACACUUUUAAGGGUGGAAUACCAAAGAAACUUGGAGAUCCGGGUGUACCAACUAUACCAUGCUCUAUUAAAAGAAAUCAUGUUAGAACCGCUUUAUGUGAUCUUGGAGCUGGUGUUAGUGUUAUGUCUCUCUCUUUAUAUCAUAGACUUGAAUUGAAUAAGUUGACACCUACUGAAAUAUCUUUGCAAAUGGCUGAUAAAUCAACUGCUAUACCUGUCGGUAUUUGUGAGGAUGUGCCUGUUGUGGUUGCAAAUGUCACUAUUUUAACGGACUUUGUUAUUCUUGAUAUUCCCGAGGACGAUAGUAUGUCUAUUAUCCUUGGUAGACCUUUUCUUAAUACUGCAGGGGCUGUUGUUGAUUGCAACAAAGGCAAUAUCACUUUUCAUGUUAAUGGUAAUGAGCAUACGGUACACUUUCUGAGGAAACAAUCUCAAGUUCAUAGCAUCAAUUCUAUUGAAAAAGUUCCAACUAUCAUUUUUGGAGGUUUUGAAUUUCCUCUCCCUACUGUCAAGAAAAAGUAUGAUAUUCUUAUUGUUAGGGAUUUUCAUAUCCUCGUUGAGGUAACUUAGUGUUAUUCGAAAUUUCUCCGGUUCCGUGUUAUUCGGAAUGAGUUUGUUAACAAGACUUGAUCAACCUUGUUAGUGGAUUCAUUUUGAUGAUCAUGAGAUGGAUGAAACUAGAAGGCACAACCUUCUGUACCCUCCUUUCACUUUCUGUUAUUUAGAAUAAAUAAAUAAAUAAAAUAGUAUUAUCUGUCUGUUUUCUGAUUUAUCCGUGCAUUAAAAAAAUAGUCCGAAAAUAAAAGUGCUCCAAAUGCCCUGCAAAUUUAGUAUGAUUUUUUCUGGAAUAUUUGAGGAUUUUAGGCACUGAAAACACUUCAGGAGGGCCAAGCACCAGGCCACGAGAGAGGAAGGCGCCCCCCCUCUAGGGGCGCGCCCCCCUAUCUCGUGGGCCCCUGGUGACGCCCCUCCACUUAUGCUAACACCCACACACUCCAUCUUCUACCCAAAAAAAUUCCCAUCCAGCUCAAGCCCGAGUUGUAGCUCGUUUUGCUGCGAUUUUCGAUCUCUUAGCUCAAAGCUCCAUUCACAAAACUGCUUUAGGAGAUUGUUGCUUGGUAUGUGACUCCUCCAUUGGUCCAAUUAGUUUUUGUUCUAGUGCUUUAUUCAUUGCAAAUCCUUGCUGCCUUGGUGACCCUGUUCUUGAGCUUGCAUGUUAAAUUUUUGAGGUCCCAAGCAAUUCCAAUGCAUGAUAUAGGCUCUAGGCACUUGUAGGAGUAGUUGCUAUCAACCUUGUUUAGUUUUAUGCAUUUUUAUUUCGAAGUUACUAAAAUUUUAGAUUUUUUCAGAAAAAGAAAUAUGCUUAGGAGAAUGUACCAAGGUGGCUCCUCGGCAAAGAAUGGGCCAAGGAUUGCUAUACAAGAGCAAGACGUUAGAUUGCCGAUGGAUGCAUAUGUACGGGCUUGUGAGUGGCCAUCCGAUGAUUUUAUGGUCAAAGCAGGCUUCAAGGAGGAAUUUGACGUGUAUGUGCGUAAUGCCGAGCUAGAGGACUUCUUACAAGAUAAGUGUCCUCAAUAUUAUCAUUUGACUGAUUCCUUUGUGCGGAGGUUCGAAUAUAUUUCUUCGCCUAAUUCCCCUAGUGUUAUGUUUGAUAUUUAUGAUACAUCUUAUACCAUGGAUUUAGAGGAUUUCACAACUGCUUGCAAACUCCCUCAGUGGGGUAAUAUCAAUGAUCCUCGCAAAUUUGAAUUUAGAGAUUUUCUUGCUAGUAUUACUGUGGGAGAAUCUAGGGACGUAGCACAAGCUACCAUAGGGAGCAUUCAUUUUCCUGCUAUACAUUACUUGCUCUCUUUAUUGGUAAAUGCAUUAACGGUAAGGACGAAGUAAGUCACUUGUGUGCCCCUGAUCUUUGUGUCCUCAAGAGUGCUGUGUCUGGUUACAGAGGUUAUAACUUGGGGGCAAUAGUUGCACGUAGGCUGCAUAAUAAUAGUAAAAAGGGAAAUUUCUUUGGAGGAAUUUAUGCAACCCGUGUGGCAAAUUUUCUUAAUAUAGCUCCACGAGAGGGGGAUAUGAUUGUACCUCCUGUUUAUUUAGAUAAAAAAAGCUAUGUUUGAUCAUCAAUUUCUUGAGAGGAAUGAAUAAUUCCUCCAUUAUCGACUAAUAUAUGAUAGACGCAAUGUCGUCCCUGUUACUCUUCUGCUCCCUACCUUUUUGAUUAUCAGGCAAGAGGAGGAUAUGUUAUCACCAGGGAAGAAGCCACUGAAUAUGAGAGGGGAAUGGAGGCAGCUCGCUAACACGCCACUGACCAGGAGGCCGUUGCCUCUGCAUCUCAGUACAAUCCCAGUUUCACUUAUGGAUAUCAGCCAGGCGGUCCUCGGUAUUAAACCAACCUAGGCCAAAAGCCUAAGCUUGGGGGAGUACGUAUUUCUCACCGACUUUACAUUCAUGUUCACACACUAGUCGUCGAUGCUCAUACUCUUUCAUUGUAUUAUCCAUGUUAAUUUAAAUCUCCUUUUCUAGUUUUCUACUUGUGUGUUUGAUAAACCUUAAGAAAAACCAAAAAAAUUAGUUAGUUUAAUUUCCUUGCUUGUAGUAGAAAUUAAAAUGAAAACCCAAAAAGAUUUCUCGUUCUUCUUUUACUUGUUGGGAGCUUUCCCGUGUAAAUAGUUUUAUUUUCUUUUCUUUCUUCUAGGGUCGAGAAGACCAUAUUGAAAAUGCUUAGUGGCUCUUAUAUGCAUGACUGAUUAUUUAUAUUUAGAGCCCAUAUUACUUGUCUUCUCUCUUGAGUUGAAUGCUUGCAUAUUCCAGCUUAGUCCAAUGCACGUGCACUCUUAUUAUUAUACACUUCGUUCGGUCGUGCGAGUGAAAGGCAAUAAUGACGAUAUAUGGUGGACUUAUUGGGAUGAGAAAAGCUGCUAUGAACUCGACCUCUCUUGUUUUUGUAAAUAUGAUGAUUCAUCGUUCCUGAGUCAACUAUUAUGAAGUAAACAUAUUUGCAAUGACAUUUAGAGAUUAUAGAUGCUUGUGCCAUGCUUGAUUAGCUUUGAGUCAUAAUAGUUUACCUUGCGUGCCAACAUGCUAUUAGAAUGAUUAUGAUGUGAUAUGAUGGGAUGGUAUCCUCCUUUGAAUGAAUUGAGUGACUCGACUUGGCACAUGUUCACGCAUGUAAUUGAAUCAAAUCAACAUAGCCUUCACGAUAUUUAUGUUCAUGGUGGAUUAUAUCCUACUCAUUCUUGUAUCCCGUAUGAAUUAAUUUUAAUGCAUGCUUACGACUGUUGUCGCUCUCUUAGUUGGUUGCUUCCCAGUCUUUUGCUAGCCUUCACCUGUACUAAGCGGGAAUACUGCUUGUGCAUCCAAACUCCUUAAACCCCAAAGUUGUUCCAUAUGAGUCCACUAUACCUUCCUAUAUGCGGUAUCUACCUGCCGUUCCAAGUAAAUUUGUAUGUGCCAAACUCCAAACCUCCAAAUGAAAUUCUGUUUAGCAUGCUCGAGCAGCUCAUGUUACAACUAGGGCUGCCUAUAUCUUCCAUGUUGGGUGUGUUAUUCUCAGAGGAGUGGACUCUGCUCCUCAUUCACGAGAAAGGGCUGGUAACCGGGAUGCCCAGUCCCAUGAUCCAAAAAGAUCAAAGCAAAUCAAAAUAAUUAAACAAAACUCCCCCAGGGUUGUUGUAUGUUGGAGGCACUCGUUGUUUCGAGCAAGCCAUGGAUUGAUGCUUGUUGGUGGUUGGGGGAGUAUAAACCUUUACCAUUCUGUUUGGGAACUGCCUAUAAUGCAUGUAGUAUGGAAGAUACAGUCAUCUCAUAGGUGUUGCGUUGACAGCGAAAGUAUGCCGCUCAAAAUUUUAUUCAAUCUCUAUUUUAAAAUCGAGCUCCGGCACCUCUAUAAAUCCCUGGUUCCCUCUGCGAAGGGCCUAUCUAUUUACUUUUAUGUUGAGUCAUCACCCUUCUUAAUAAAGCACCAGCUGGAGAGCACACUGUCAUUUGCAUUCAUUAUUACUGGUUUAUAUUGGGUAUGACUUGACUAGAUCUCUUUUACCAUGAAUUACAAUGUUUAGUCAGUCCUUGAUCUUUAAAGGUGCUCUGCAUUUAUGUUUCGCGGUCCCAGAAAGGGCUAGCGAGAUACCAUUUUGUUAUAUCAUGUUAUGAUUAUUUUGAGAAAGUGCUGUCAUCCGAGUUUUAUUAUUAUGACUCGCUAGCUGAUUAUGCUAUUGAUAUGAGAAAUUGUGAGACCUAUGUGUUAUUGUGAGUAUGGUUAGUUCAUAAUAUUUGCUAAAACUUAAAUGCUGGCUUUUCAUGUUUACAACAACAAGAGCAAACAGAGUUUGUAAAAGUUUUUCUUUAUCACUUUCAGUUUGUCAACUGAAUUGCUUGAGGACAAGCAAAGGUUUAAGCUUGGGGGAGCUGAUACGUCUCCAACGUAUCUACUUUUCCAAACAGUUUUGCCCUUGUUUUGGACUCUAACUUGCAUGAUUUGAAUGAAACUAACCCGGACUGACGUUGUUUUUAGCAGAACUGCCAUGAUGUUGUUUUAUGUGUAGAAAAGAAAAGCUCUCGGAAUGUCCUGGAAAUCCACGGAGGCACUUUUCAGAAUUAAUAUGAAUUUUGGGCGAAAGAAUCAAGGCCAGGGGCCCACGGGCUGUCCACGAGACNNNNNNNNNNNNNNNNNNNNNNNNNNNNNNNNNNNNNNNNNNNNNNNNNNNNNNNNNNNNNNNNNNNNNNNNNNNNNNNNNNNNNNNNNNNNNNNNNNNNNNNNNNNNNNNNNNNNNNNNNNNNNNNNNNNNNNNNNNNNNNNNNNNNNNNNNNNNNNNNNNNNNNNNNNNNNNNNNNNNNNNNNNNNNNNNNNNNNNNNNNNNNNNNNNNNNNNNNNNNNNNNNNNNNNNNNNNNNNNNNCCCCCCCUAGGGGCGCGCCCUCCUAUCUCAUGGGCCCCCUGGACCUCCUCCGACCUCAAAUCCAACUCCAUAUAUACCGUCUCGGGGAGAAAAAAAUAAAGGAGAAAGUUUCAUCGCGUUUCACGACACGGAGCCGCCGCCAAGCCCUAAUCUCUCUUGGGAGGGCUGAUCUGGAGUCUGUUCGGGGCUCCGGAGAGGGGGAUUCAUCGCCGUCGUCAUCAUCAACCAUCCUCCAUCACCAAUUUCAUGAUGCUCACCGCCGUGCAUGAGUAAUUCCAUUGUAGGCUUGCUGGAUGGUGAUGGGUUGGAUGAGAUUUACCAUGUAAUCAAGUUAGUUUUGUUAGGGUUUGAUCCCUAGUAUCCACUAUGUUCUGAGAUUGAUGUUGCUAUGACUUUGCUAUGCUUAAUGCUUUUCACUAGGGCCCGAGUGCCAUGAUUUCAGAUCUGAACCUAUUAUGUUUUCAUCAAUAUAUGUGUGUUCUUGAUCCUAUCUUGCAAGUCUAUAGUCACCUAUUAUGUGUUAUGAUCCGACAACCCCGAAGUGACAAUAAUCGGGGCACUUCUCGGUGAUGACCGUAGUUUGAGGAGUUCAUGUAUUCACUAUGUGUUAAUGCUUUGGUCCGGUUCUCUAUUAAAAGGAGGCCUUAAUAUCCCUUAGUUUCCACUAGGAUCCCGCUGCCACGGGAGGGUAGGACAAAAGAUGUCAUGCAAGUUCUUUGCCAUAAGCAUGUAUGACUAUUUACGGAAUACAUGCCUACAUUACAUUGAUGAAUUGGAGCUAGUUCAAUAUCACCCUAUGUUAUAACUAUUGCAUGAGGAAUCGCAUCCGGCAUAAUUAUCCAUCACUGAUCCAUUGCCUACGAGCUUUUCACAUAUUGUUCUUCGCUUAUUUACUUUUCUGUUGCUACUAUUACAACUACUACAAAAACCCAAAAACAUUUACCUUUUCUGUUGCUACUGUUACCAUUAUUAUCAUACCACUUUUGCUACUAAAUACUUUGCUGCAGAUACUAAGUUAUCCAGGUGUGGUUGAAUGGACAACUCAACUGCUAAUACUCAAGAAUAUUAUUUGGCUCCGCUUGUGUCGAAUCAAUAAAUUUGGGUUGAAUACUCUACCCUCGAAAGGUGUUGAGAUCCCCUAUACUUGUGGGUCAUCAGGCACAUAGAGCAAUUCCUUCACGAGGAAUUUGGUUCUUGGGGCUUGACCAGGCUUCAUUGGUUUCAUCAACACUUGCAUAUAGUGAUCAGAAAGUUCAGGUUCUUGAUACAUAAGAUGCGCACCUUAGAGGGGAGGACUGACAGGCAGGGCAUGAAGCAAUUCAAAGGCUGGUGCUUUGAAGUGAGUGUUCUCUAUCAUCCAGUCCAACACCCAGGAGUUUGUAUCUUCAGCAUUGUCGGUGAUGUGCAGUGUCGCGUAGAAUUGAAGAAUGGGUUCUUCAUUCCAAUCGCAUAUAUCGGUGCAGAAGUUGAGCAGUCCGGCGUCAUGAAGAACACUGAGGACUGGUGUGAAGCACGGUAGCGAUUCCAUAUCCACAUGAGGAAUAUGCUCAUGGUUGAAGACUUUGUCCUUAUUGAAAAGCAGUGAAGAAUAGAAGUUGGCUUGGCUGGCAGUCCAGAAAUGCUUCCUUCUAAUACGAGCAGAGUCAUAAGGAUUGUAGUCGGUGAAGAACACUCGCUCAUGGAAAAAGUCAUCAGCCUUGAAUUUUGGCGUCUUCGAGAAUGGAUUCUUCGGCUUUGGAUGAGGAGUAUUAGUCAAUUGCAGUACUACCUCAGGAAUCUCAAUCUCUGGAGCCGCGGGCUGAGGAAUUUCAGUUUCUGCUUCAUUAGUAGCCUGGGUCUCCAUAUCUUCAGCAGCUUUGUCAUCAGCACUAGUGGCUGGAAUUUCUUCUGGAAUGGAAGGCGUAGGGUGAAUUUCAUCAGAGCCCAUGAGAACUUCAGUUGGUACUGGGGACUGAGGAAUUUGUUGCAGUGGCGUGAACAUGGGAGAGUUGGGAUGCUCACUUUUCCAAAAGUCAUCAUUCAUCACAGGUGUGGUGCUCCCAAUGUCCAUGUCUUCAUCUUCUUCCAUUUCUUCCACGCCUGCCUCUUCAGCUGUCCACUUCAAUUUCUUCAUCCAUCUGCUCUAUAGAAGCAGCAGAAGGAUUUUUUCAGCAGAUUCACUCGGAAUCACAUAAUCUUCACCAAAAGGAACGAGUUCCUUGAUGACAUGAUUGAGAGAGGAAUAACAUCAAUUGGGUUCUCAAGUGAGCUUGUCAAAAUAUUCGCCUUCUUGGGUGCAGAAGAUUCUAAGGAAGCUGAUGCUUUCCUUUUCUUCAGAGCAGCUCGCUCUGCAUCCUUUGUUUUCUUCACUUCCAAGGCAGAAGGAAGAAUUGGAGUUAGUGUUGGCAUUGGUGCAGGAGGAGCAGAGGGAGUUGGAGCAAUUUCUUCUAGCACAACUGAUGCAGUUGUCCUGUCUUGUUCAGCUUCGGCAGGAGCAGCUUCAGAUGCUUCAGUUGGCCUGGCUUGUUCUUCAGGCGCAACGCUAGUGGUUGCCCUGCGAAUUUCUUCAGCAGCUGGAACUCCUUCAGCCCUGGUGCUUGCAGUUUCAUCAGCAGCCUAAUUUUCAUCAGCGGUGCUGGCAUUUUCUUUAGUUGGUGUGCAGAUGCAUCAGCUUGAGGAAUUUCAAUGUGCGUUGGAGCAGCAACAUUGAAAGUGAGGCCUUUCGCCAUUUUGAUGAAUCUGACUUUGGCUCCCUGACAUUCUUCCUUGUAGGCGUCAAAUUCAUCACUGAGCUUUUUUAUCUCAGAUUGUAAAGUGAUCAGUUUUUCAGGCAAUAGCGCGAGAACAUUGUCCUUCAGAUAGCGUUGUUUCUUGUACUGGGCUUUCUUCACAGUCCUGGCAUGUUCUUACUUCCAUUUUUCUUCAGCGAUGAAUGCCAUCAACAUGUGACUUUAUCUAGGAGUGAGGUCUAACUCUGGCAACAAAGUGUUUGGGUCUUUGUGCCAGAGUUCAGUGAAAUCCAGGAUCUUCUUCGGAUCCAAUAUAAGAGGCACAGCACUGCCCUUGUCUCUAGCGGCCCUUUUCUGUCUACUUUUGAUGAGUUCAGCCAAUUCUUCAUCAUCAGCUUCAUCAUCAUCAGAUGGUAUAUGGAAGGCAACUUGUUGUGAGGACUUGAUUCUGGUGCCACGUCCUUCAAUGGCCUUGGUCUUCAGCAAAGUUGGACUUUUUGAGAACUGAGGAGGAGCUGAAGAACUUGCAGAAGCUCCUGAGCCAAUUGAGAUGCCUAUUGUCCUUUGGCAUGUGGCGAGAUGCACAUGUGUUGAGGACUUUGCCGGAGGAGCUAAGGAUUUUGCAGCCGGAGGAACUGGAGCAGACUGAGGAAUUUGUCGUGAGGGCAUAGAUGAGCUUGGCCGUGAGGGCAUUGCUGAUCUCGGAGGUUUGUGAGCAGGCUUCUUGGGCAUAGCCUUAUUGCUUGCGGAAGCCUCAGUAGCGGCAGCAGCAGAAUCUUCAUUGAAUUUCUUCACUACUUCUUUGGCCAGUUUGGCCAAUUUGGCUUGCCGCUUGGCCCAUUCAUUAGCAUAAUCCUCACCAUGUUUGAUGCUUGUGGGAUCAGCUAUUUGGCCAGGUGCCAAUGGAGGUCUUGAUCAAGGAGGGUUGAGAGUGAAUUUCUUCAUAUAUUUUGGAGUAACAUAUCUGUACUCCCUCCAUUCCCAUGCCCAUCUUCGUGCAAUUCUCUGUAUACGCACCUUGCGCUCAUUCUUGGUUUCCUUCCCAUGAGUUGCCUCAUCAGGUGUGCACUACCCUGCAUAAAUGUCAGCGGGGAUCUCAAAGGCAGUGUUGACUUCCAGUUUCUUUCCUCCCUUCUGAGGUCUUUUCCCAUCUGCCAUUUUCUUCAGCUGAGGAAUUUGAACUAUUGAGUUCUCUGAAGAAGUAUGCAGCUUUUCUUCGAGGAAUGCUGCAAAUGAGUUAAGUUGAUGAGAACCUAGUGAUUCAUCAGCAGAUAUGUGUAUGUGUGAAUAGAGUAUAGGUGCGAAGAAUUUGGAGAGGUCAUAUGCGUUCUCAGAAGUUUUUGCAAAACAGAACAAGUUUGAGGAAAUUGACCAGAUAUGUCUUGAAGAAUUUCACUAAGCGUUCUUUGACUUAGGUUCCAGAGUUGUAUGGAUUGUGAAAUUCACACAAUUGAGGAAUCUUGAAGAAAAAAACGUCACUUAGAGAAACAAAUCAAUAAUAUAUGAUUGUGCGAGGUGUUCAGAGUGUGGAAGUUGAAGAAUAAACACCUUUUGAAGAUUUUCUGGAAAUCAUCAGUUUCAACAAAGGCAGUAAAAGUAACUUUUAAUUACCCUUGACAAAGAACACGAUGAACUUAGGAUGUAGAUUUAGAAGUUCGUCAGUCCAGAUCUUCCACGCCCUAACUUGACAGCAGGCGCGAGUACGACAGCGAUGAGGUCGAGGCAGUGAAGCUCUUCCUCACCAACGAUGAUCAAGGUAGCGGCAGCGCUAGGUCUAGAGAGCCCGAGCGAGGGGAGUGAGAUCGAGCGGGGUAAAUGCAGUCUGAGGAGGGUGAGGGGUAUUUACAGCCGAGGUGAAAAACCAUUCGCCCGAGGAAAUUGGACGAACAUGCCCCAGACCCUUCUCAUCCUAGCGACAUGUGUCACCCACGUAUAGUAUGGUGGAGAUCGUGUGAGAUCGUGGGUGAAUAGAUAAGUCUUAUCAUGGGAUGUGAAACGGUUUGAGCGGCAAAAUCCAAAAUUUUAGAUAGGAAUAUUUUAAUGUUUCGUUCGCAAAUUCUUCAGCUGACAAAGACACAGUGAAGAUUUUGAACGGGUUUCAAAUAGAACACACAUGAAGAAUUUGUGAACAGACUGGGUUGCGUUUAGCAUAGAGGGGAAAGGGUCCGAUCACAUUCACUUAGUAGAAAAGGCAGCUUGAAGAAUUAGCAAUAAGUGAAUGUUGUAGAGGACAUAAAACUCAAAUAUAUAUAUAUAGUCAAUGAAGAAUAAUGAUGGAAGGACUGAAGACUUUGCAAAGUUGAAGAAUUUGAAAAACUGAGGAAUUUCAAAAAUGACAAACUCAAAUUGAAGAUUUUAAACUUUGGUUGGUGGCAUAACCCACCAUAUAAGAAUGAUGACUUCAGACACCGCGUACAAUUGUCGUAAGGUUCUGAGAAUCAAAUUCUUCAUUAAUUUCUUCACACUUAGAGGGUUAGUCUUCAUUGAUUGAAGAAAAACGUUACUUCGUGUGUUGCACGUCUAAGUCAUCAAAUUUGCAUAAGUGUUAGGAUGUGUGUCCUUUUCAAAGAACAUUCGAAGAUUCCUGGAUAUUUAGCUCACACCGCAACUUGCUAAAUCUCUUCUCAUCCAAGGGCUUUGUGAAGAUAUCAACCAGCUGGUCUUUAGUACUUGCAUGGUCGAUGGAGAUGUCGCCCUUCAACACAUGGUCACGAAGAAAAUGAUGAUGAAUCUGGAUGUGCUUUGUCUUCGAGUGCUGAACUAGGUUGUGAGCAAUCUUGAUGGUACUCUCAUUAUCGCAGUAGAGUGGCACAUUCUUCACAUUGGUGUCAUAGUCCUUGAGGGUUUGCUUCAUCCAUAGCAAUUGAGCACAGCAGGAUCCAGCAGCAAUGUACUCAGCUUCAAAAAUUGAGAGUGACAUGCAGUUCUGCUUCUUCGAGGACCAACAUACCAAGGAUCGUCCGAGGAAAUGACAUGUGCCUGACAUUGAGUUGCGGUCCACACGAUCACCAGCAUAGUCAGAGUCUGAAUAUCCAAUGAGAUCAAAGGAAGAGCCCUUGGCAUACCAUAAUCCAAGUGUUGGUGUGUGAGCUAGAUAUCGAAGAAUAUGCUUCACAGCCUUAUGGUGUGAUUCCUUCGGUGUAGCUUGAAAUCGGGCACAUAUGCAAACACUAAGCAUAAUAUCCGGGCUAGAUGCACAUAGGUACAAUAAGGAGCCAAUCAUGGAGCGGUAUACCUUUUAAUCAAAAUCUUUACCAUUUUCAUCGGUGCAUAGAUGGCCAUUUGUGGGCAUAGGGAUUUUGACGCCUUCGCAAUCUUGCAUGUCGAAUUUCCUCAAUACAUCCUUGAGGUAUUUCUCCUGAGAUAUGAAUAUGCCAUUGUAUUGUUGACAAAUUUGAAGACCUAAAAAGAAUUUCAAUUCUCCCAUUAUAGACAUUUGGUAUUCUUCAUAGACAUUUGAUAUUCUUCACUCAUCAUAUAGGCAAAUUUGUCACUGUAAUGUUGGUUAGUACAGCCAAAGAUAAUAUCAUCAACAUAUAUUUGGCACACAAAUAAUUCAUCAUCAUAUGCUUUGGUGAAAAGAGUUGGAUCAAGUGAACCAGGUUUGAAGCCUUUCUUCAUGUGGAAUUCCUUAAGUGUGUCAUACCACGCCCUAGGUGCUUGCUUGAGGCCAUAGAGGGCCUUGUUGAGUCUGUAGACGUGAUCUAGAAAUUUUGGAUCCUCAAAACCUGGUGGUUGAGCAACAUAUACUUCUUCCUCAAGCUUACCAUUGAGGAAUGCACUUUUCACAUCCAUUUGAUGUAAGACGAUAUUAUGAUGGUUAGUGUAAGCAGCAAUAUGCAAAUAGCCUCAAGUCUAGCAACAGGUGCAAAAGUUUCAUCGAAAUCAAUUCCUUCAACUUGUGUGUAGCCUUGAGCUACAAGACGAGCCAUAUUCCUCACCACAAGGCAAUUUUCAUCUUGUUUGUUGCGGUAGAUCCAUUUGGUACCGAUGAUGUUGUGCUUGCGUGGGUCUCAUCGCUUGACAAGCUCCCACACAUUUUGAGCUAGAAUUGAUGCAAUUCAUCUUACAUGGCUUGAAUCCACUCAGAUUCCAUGAAUGCUUCAUCAAAUUUAGUGGGCUCUGUGAUAGAGAAAAACGCAAAAUGCCCACAAAAGUUAGAUAAAUGUGAAGCUUUUGAGCGAGUGAGAGGACCUGGUGCAUUGAUGUCAUCGAUGAUCUUCUCGAUCUGCACUUUGUUUGCAAUGCGAGGAUGUGCAGGUUGACGACUUUGCUUAGGCCCAACAAUUUCUUCAGGACCAUUUUCUUCAGCAGCACCAGUGUGAUUUUCUUCAUGAUCCAGAAUGACUUCUUUAGCAGAUUCUUCGGUAGGGAUGAUAUCCUUAGUAGCUUUGAACUUGAUGGAUUCCUCAGGUGACAUUUCAUCUAGCACAGGAGGUAGGUGCUCUCUUUGCGAGCCAUUAGUUUCAUCGAACCGCACAUCUACAGUUUCAACAAUCUUGUGAUGAUUGAGGUUGAAGACUCUGUAGGUGUGCGAGUCCUUUCUGUAACCAAGCAUAAAACCCUUAUGUGCUUUCGGUGCAAAUUUUAGAGUGAUGGUGAGGAUCUCUAAUCCAGCAUUUAGCACCAAAGACUUUGAAAUAACUUACAUUGGGUUUCUUGUCAGUGAGGAGUUCAUAUGAGGUCUUUCUCAAGAAUUUGUGAAGAUAUACCCUGUUGAUGAUGUGGCACGCAGUAUCAAUGGCUUUAGGCCAGAAGCGCUGAGGUGUCUUGUAUUCAUCAAGCAUGGUGCGAGCCAUCUCAACAAGAGUCCUAUUCUUGCGCUCCACGAUGCCAUUCUACUGAGGAGUAUAGGGAGCAGACAACUCGUGAGUAAUACCAAGUAUAUCAAGAUAUUCAUCGGGACCAGUGUUCUUGAACUCAAUUCCAUUAUCACUCCUGAUAUGCUUGAUCUUCACACCGAAGUUAGUAUAAGCCCUUGAGGAAAAUUGUCUAAAGACUUCCUGAUCUUCAUUUUUGUAAGUGACAAUAUGCACCCAUGUGUAACGAGAAUAGUCUUCAACUAUGACAGAGCCAUAUAAUGAUGCAGAACUAGAGAACGUGGCAUAAUGAGUAGGGCCAAAGAGUUCCAUAUGAAGUAAUUCAAAGGGACAAGAUGUGGUCAUGAUAGUCUUCGAGGGAUGCUUGGCUCUGGUGAUCUUUCCAGACUCACAAGCCCCACAAAGAUGAUCUUUGAGGAAUUUGACACCCUCAAUGCCAAUGACAUGCUUCUUCUUCACGAGUGUAUGCAAGUUCCUCAUCCCAGCAUGACCAAUUCGUCAAUGCCAUAGCCAGCAUUUUCAAGCUUUUGCAAGUAUACAUGUGGCAGGUUGUGGUCCUGUAGAUAAAUCAACAGUGUACAAGUCUCCUUUCCUAAAGCCUUCGAAGACUUUGGAGUUGUCAGAUUCCAUCAGCACAAUGCAACGAUAUUUGCCAAAGACGACAACCAUAUCAAGAUCACAAAGCAUUGAGACAGACAUGAGGUUGAAUCCUAAGGACUCGAUAAGCAUGACUUUGUCCAUGUGUCUAUCCUUUGAGAUCGCAACCUUACCUAGACCCAAUACCUUGCUUUUGCCUUUGUCAGCGUAGGUGAUAUGCUUCAGAUGAGAUGGUGACAAAUCAGUGUCCAUCAACAAGUUCUUGUCACUAGUCAUGUGGUUUGUGCAUCCACUUUCGACGACCCACUCAGUAGCUUUAGGUUGUUCAUCCUACAGAUGAAUUAGUGCAACUUACGAACCCAUAUACUUCAUCAUGAAGAAAAUGAUAUCAAUUUCAUCAACAACAAUAGUAAUACGAGGGCGUGAGAAAUGAGGGAUUCAUUUCUUCAUGAUUAGCUUGCGUCCAUUCAAGCACAUUCAGGUCUCCAGCAAAUUCUUCAGACGAUUAAGUUCGUCUGGAGACCUGACCCUGCAUAAGAGAUUAGUUAUUUUUCUUCACCACCCACAUCUGUAGGGGUGGCAAAGAAUUCAUCAUUCUGCGAUCUCCAUAAGAAAAGGAUGGCAUUGAAGCCAGUGCACUUCGUUUCACAGAAGAGUGGUUAGGAUAAGCAUAUGCAUAAGCAGAGAAAUUCUUUGAGGACUUAUGAACAUAAUGGUUUGAAGAAUAAUGCACAUAUUCAUAGCCCUUAGCCUUUCCCUGCGAAACUGAAGUGUUAGCAUGAUGAUGUUCAUAUGAGGAUUUUGAUCCAUGUGAAGAAUUUGGUUCAUAUGAAGAAUUUGAUCUAGGGUUCCUUUUCUUCAUGGGUGGAGUCAUGAUGACAUUCACCUGGAGAUUUUCAAGGUACCUUUUAGGAACCCAGAUUUUCUUCAUAGGGGAACCGUUCUUGCAGUUAGUUCCAACAUAUCGAGCAAAUGCUUCACCAUUCUGAUUCUUAAAUAGUUUAUAGUUGGAGUCAAAUGACUCAUCAGAGGAAUAUGAAGAAUCACAAGUAAAGCCAGAUAGAGUGCAUGGAUCUACAGGAGGUCCUUUCGCAGCAAUCCAUGAGGUUUUGGGGUACUGCUCAGGUUUCUAGUAGGUUCCAUCAGCGUUGAGUUUCCUCUCAAAGGCAAUACCCUCUUUUCUAGGGUUCCUGUUCAAGAUCUGUUUUUAAGCACAUCACAUAGAGUCUGAUGCCCUUUGAAGCUUUUGUAAAUGCCUGUCACAUACAAUUCCUUCAGCCCUGCAUUAUCAUCAUUGAUACUUGUGGUAUCCUCAGAUGAGGAAUUUGUGACCACGGAGACAAUUGAAGAAUUUGCAGCAAUAGAAGCAUUUGAACAUUCAGGUGAUGAAUUAGCAGAUUCACGCUCAAUGCAUUUUAGACAUGGUGGAAUAAAUUCUUCCUGAGCGGAACUGAUCUGUUGAGCAAGCAAUGAAUUGUUUUCCUUUUGAAGAUCUUCAUAACUCACUUUUAACUUCUCAAGAUCUUCCUUUCUCUGAAGAAAUUCAUAAGAAAGCUUCUCAUGAUCAGCUAAGAGUGUGUUAUGAUGAUUUUGAAGGUUGUCAAACUUAGACUGAAGUUUUUGAAGACUAUCAGUCAAAGCCUUAGUCUGAUUCAAUUCCUCACCCAACAUAUCAUCGCUUUCAUCAAGCAUGAUUUGAACUCUUUCAAGAGCUCUUUGUUGUUUAGUGGCAAGGAAGCAAGUUUGACAUACCUGGGUCAAAUUCAUCACCCGAUUCAUCAUCAAUGGAUUCAGAUAGGUAGCAUUCAGUUACCUUGGCACCCUUUGCCAUAAGGCUUGGUGUAGUGGAUGAUGAUUCAGGUGCGAAAGUCAUCUCCUUAAGUGAUUCCUUGAAAUCCUCAAACUAAGGAUCAUGACAAGUUCGAUGGCCUUCAUAGACCUCAGAUAGUCGGUCCCAGAUAAGCUUCACAUGGUUGAGAUGCAUGAUGUUCCUGGACUGAUUUUGAGACAGACAAGAGCAGAUGACAUCCUUCGCCGUGAGGUUGAGUAGAGUGUACUUGCGAAUAUCAUCAGCCUCCGCCAUCUUGCAUAGAUCGGUAAGACCAAUCUCAGUGACAGUCCACGGUUUGCUGUUCAUCGCCAUAAGUCGCUUCUUCAUCAUGGCCUUCCACUUGGGAUACUCAUGACCAUCAAAGAUGGGGCAAGACACUUUCCUCAUACCUGCAGUUGACAUAACUAAAACUCCAGGUGGUUAAACCAAAAUCACACAGAACAAGGGAGUACCUUGCUCUAAUACCAAUUGAAAGUGCGUUAAGUCGACUAGAGGGGGGUGAAUAGGCGAUUUUUACAAAUUCGUCACUGAGGAAUUUCAGCGUGAGGAAAUUCCUAAGUCACGAACAACUAGCAGCGAAAUAAGUACUCAGGUAUAAGCAUAACAGAGUGAAAGCAUAGUCAUCAUGAUGAAAUGAAAGACAAACACAGACUAUAGAAAGCGUAAACACGGGAUAAGCAGGCUGAAGACAAUGUGACUGAAGAAAUAGGAUUGAGGAAAUAGAGAAAGUCUUUAGUCAAAGUCUUCAAACAGUAAUGAUCAGGUUUAUCAACACAUGAGUGAGGAAAUGAAAGGGUUGAGGAAAUAGAACCAGUAGGCUUGGUGAAGACAAUGAUUUGGUAGACCAGUUCCAACUGCUGUGACAGUUGUACGUUUGGUUGGACCGGCUGAGUAUUUAAACUUGAGGGCACACAGUCCCGGACACACAGUCCUCACCGUAUUCUCCUUUAGCUAAGAUCACACAGAUCUCGGCCCAACACUCGUGGUAAGUCUUCACAAGUGACUUCCAAACCUUCAUAGACUUGGUCACUCGGCGAUCCACAAUUCCUCUUGGAUGCUCAGACCAUGACGCCUAACCGUCUGGAGGAUACACAGUCCUCGAAGGUAACAAGCGCCGGUUCCACGCAGGAACAAUCUCUUCAGUGAUGCUCAAUCACUUUGGGUUUGUUGGUUUGGGUUUGGGAUUUGGGUUUUCCUCACAUGAUGAUUUUCGCUCAAAGUCCUCGGAGGAUGGGGUGCUCUCAAAUGACAAGUGUCAGUUUCUCUCGGAGCAGCCAACUAGCUAGUGGUUGUAGGGGGCGGCUAUUUAUAGCCUAGGGAGCAGCCCGACAUGAUAAGACAUAAAUGCCCUCCAAGGAUAUGACCGUUAGGUGGUACGAUAUUUUGGAAAGCUGGCGCAUAGCACAGCAAUGGUCGGAUUUUGAGGUUCGAAUUCCUCAGGGCUAUCAUGUUCCUCACUGUGUAGGCAAUCCGCACUGGCGAAUUCCUAACUCCUCAGUCAGAACAAAUUCCUCAGAGACCAGAAGAUCUUCGUCUCUGUCACUGAAGAAGUUGACUGAACUGAUAUGAGAUUUCCAAUGGCUUCACUCAAAAGGAUUGGGUAUGUGUAGGAUUUUGAGAUGAGCAUCACUUGGAAAUCAGCUUCCUUAGUAUUAUCUUUUUUUUGUGGGUGAUUCCUUAGUAUUACCUCGACCCCCUUUAAUAGUACGGUGUUUCCUAUGACUCAAGAAAGAGAAAAUGAAACUAAGAAAACAAAAGUCUUCACGCUUCAUAAUCCUCGCAUGAAUAUCCAAGUCUUCAAGGUCGCACCAAUUUCAUCACUCUCAAAGUCUUCAGGAGAACCAAAGUCUAUAGCUGAAGACAUUCAUUUUUAGGGGUCAACUUUCACUGUAAAUAUCAAACUCCUCAUCGACUUAUAGAGCCUGUGUACACUUACAAACAUAUUAGUCCCUUAACCUAUAAGUCUUCAAUACACCAAAGUCACUAAGGGGCACUAGAUGCACUUACAGUCGGCGAGCUUGCUUCUAAGGUCCAUCGAGCGGGAGGUAGAGACUUGGGCAAAGGCGUGCUCCAGGGUCGUCCAGGUGUCCAUGGAGGUGGCGGCGAAGAGACAGAGACCGGCGACCCCGUCGCCGAGGGGGCCCUGGAUGGCAGAGAGGAUCGACUGGUCCUGCUACAGACACAUACGGUCCUCGCAUGAAUAUCCAAGUCUUCAAGGUCGCACCAAUUUCAUCACUCUCAAAGUCUUCAGGAGAACCAAAGUCUUUAGCUGAAGACAUUCAUUUUUAGGGGUUGACUUUCACUGUAAAUAUCAAACUCCUCAUCGACUUAUAGAGCAUGUGUACACUUACAAACAUAUUAGUCCCUUAACCUAUAAGUCUUCAAUACACCAAAAUCACUAAGGGGCACUAGAUGCACUUACAGUCGGCGAGCUUGCUUCUAAGGGCCAUCGAGCGUGAGGUAGAGACUUGGGCAAAGGCGUGCUCCAGGGUCGUCCAGGCGUCCAUGGAGGUGGCGGCAAAGAGACAGAGACCGGCGACCCCGUCGCCGAGGCAGCCCUGGAUGGUAGAGAGGAUCGAUUGGUCCUGCUGCAUGCACAUACGGUGUUUCGGGUUAAUGGUCGGGCCGUGUACGGUGGGGAUGACCUGCGGAGGACACGGUAGCAAACCGUCCACAAACCCUAGGAGAGACCGGCUGCGGAGCAACGGUAGGACCUUGGCGCACCAGAACAGGUAGUUGUCUGGCGUGAGUCUGAUGGCGAUCAAGUUGGCAAAGUGGAACGGCCCGACGGGCGUGACGACGCCAGCAGCAGGGGCGCCGGUCCACAGCCGCGACCGAUGUCGCGGGUGGUGGCGCAGGAACGAUUGGGAUCACGGUCGUGGGUGCUGCCGUGAGCGAGACCGCGGGUGGCUCCAUGGGCAGCGCCUCCCCCGAGGUUGCCGGGAUGACGGCGAGUGUCGAGGAGGAUCUAGAGGGGGCAAUCGCGGGCGGCGGCGGUGCGACUGGUGUUGAGGCCGUCACAGGCGGUGACGGCGGGAUCGACGCUAAAAACAUGGAGCCAACGGCGGUGGUGCCGAAGAACUUAGGCACCGACGGGGCCAGAGGGCGAGGUGGGAGGUUGAGGAGGGCGGCAAGUGACGCGGGGAUUGACCCAUAGCUAACGGCGCUCAAAGCGAAAGCGGUCAUGGUGCCGGUGGCAGCAGCCCUAGGGUUUAGGGUUUUGGUGGUGCGGCGGUGGUGGGUGGAGUAGAGGACCUAGGUUAGACUCGAUACCAUGUAAAACAUAGGUUUUGGGCAUGUUUGGUUGCCCGCAUCGAGCCCACCCACGUCCGCGCUGGAAGGGAGAGGCCUGUUUGGUUGGCUGGUUUUCCUGUUGGGCCUGCAUCCCACGCUUCUCAAAGCAGCCCAGAGCCUGGCUCGCUGGAAAUCCUCGGAUCGGCAGUUUCUUGCGAGCCAGGCUGAGUGCGGCACGAGGUCGCACGGGCGGGAGCGAGGCGAGGGCUAGGGGGGAUGGCGGGAGAUAGAAAUCUGCCAAAUUAGCCUCACCCGCCUUUCACUCGCUCACCCAUAGCCACUGCCCCCCUUUCUUCGCUACUGCCUCACCACCGACGGCAGCUGUGAUUUCAGAUCUGUGCUAUAGGCGGCGGUGGCGGAAGAGGCAGCAGCGUUUGCGGUGGAUCUGGUGCUCCCCUUCCUGUUGACCACCGCCUGGUCGACCUAGUCUGUGCCAUGGCUCCCCCUACGCCAUCCUCAUCUCCCAUGCCGGUAAGCAGCACCCCCUCCCCCUUUGUUAGCUCAGUGGUUAGGCCGUUAAGCUAGGUGUAGGAUCGAUUUCUCACUGAACGAACUAUCAAUACCGACUAGGUUAUGGACGCACGGAUGAGGCUGAUAAUCCAGGCAACAACACUGAUUAGUGUGAUUCAGGCAUGGGUCAUGUUCAUGCACCAGAGAGCUGUUCGUCAUGCUGGGAGUCCUUUGAUCCGCUAUGGUCCAUUGUUUCCCCGAGAACAGGAGAGGAUCCAAAAUCUGAACUACAUCUACAACUGCAAUCACGUCGAGGCUCUGUGGAUGCUUAGAAUGAAAAGAGCACCAUUUGCCAGGCUUGUCGAGACCUUCAAGAGCAGGGGCCUGUUACAAGAUAGCAUCAACACCAGUGUCGAAGAGCAGGUGGCCAUGUUCCUCCAUGUUUUUGGCCAUAACCAGAGGUUCAAGGUCAUUCACAACACGUUCAGGAUAUCAAUGGAGACCAUCUCUAGGUACUUGAAGCAUGUGCUUUUUGCUGUUGGGGAGCUUAGAGGAGAGAUGAUCAAGAGACCAUCUGGCCAGUCUCCGCCUAAGAUUCGCGGAAGCCCAAGAUGGUAUCCAUCCUUCAAGGUGAGCAUUGACAAUAUACACUUUUCAUGGCUUGAUAUGCUUGUAUUGUUCAAGUUCAGCACUAACACAGGCUAGUGAUGCCAUUUUCAGGAUUGCAUUGGGGCAAUAGAUGGUACUCAUGUCACUGCCAGAGUUCCUAGGUUACAGUCUGCAGCAUAUAGGGGGAGGAAGUGUUGGAAAUAUGCCCUAGAGGCAAUAAUAAAAGGAUUAUUAUUAUAUUUCCUUGUUCGUGAUAAUUGUCUUUUAUUCAUGCUAUAAUUGUAUUAUCCGGAAAUUGUAAUACACGUGUGAAUACACAGACCACAAUAUGUCCCUAGUGAGCCUCUAGUUGACUAGCUCGUUGAUCAACAGAUAGUCAUGGUUUCCUGACUAUGGACAUUGGAUGUCAUUGAUGACGGGAUCACAUCAUUAGGAGAAUGAUGUGAUGGACAAGACCCAAUCCUAAGCAUAGCACAAGAUCGUGUAGUUUGUUUUGCUAGAGCUUUUCCAAUGUCAAGUAUCUUUUCCUUAGACCAUGAGAUCGUGUAACUCCCGGAUAUUGUAGAAGUGCUUUGGGUGUACCAAACGUCACAACGUAACUGGGUGACUAUAAAGGUGCACUACAGGUAUCUCCGAAAGUGUCUGUUGGGUUGACACGGAUCAAGACUGGGAUUUGUCACUCCGUAUGACGGAGAGGUAUCUCUGGGCCCACUCGGUAAUGCAUCAUCAUAAUGAGCUCAAAGUGACCAAGUGUCUGGUCACGGGAUCAUGCAUUACGGUACAAGUAAACUGACUUGCAGGUAACGAGAUUGAACGAGGUAUUGGGAUACCGAAGAUCGAAUCUCGGGCAAGUAACAUACCGAUUGACAAAGGGAAUUGUAUACAGGGUUGCUUAAAUCCUCGACAUUGUGGUUCAACCGAUGAGAUCAUCGAGGAGUAUGUGGGAGCCAACAUGGGUAUCCAGAUCCCGCUGUUGGUUAUUGACCGGAGAGCCUUCUCGGUCUUGUCUACAUGUCUCCCGAACCCGUAGGGUCUACACACUUAAGGUUCGGUGACGCUAGGGUUGUAUGAAUAUGAGUAUGCAGCAAACCGAAAGUUUUUCGGAGUCCCGGAUGAGAUCCCGGACAUCACGAGGAGUUCCGGAAUGGUCCGGAGGUAAAGAAUUAUAUAUGGGAAGUUAAGUUUCGGCCAUCGGGAAAGUUUUGGGGGUCACCGGUAUUGUACCGGGACCACCGGAAGGGUCCCGGGGGUCCACCGGGUGGGGCCACCCAUCCCGGAGGGCCCCAUGGGCUGAAGUGGGAGGGGAACCAGACCCUGGUGGGCUGGUGCGCCCCCCCCCCUGGGCCCCCCUCUGCACCUAGGGUUGGGAACCCUAGGGGAGGGGGCGCAUCCACUUGCCUUGGGGGGCACUCCACCCCUCUGGCCGCCGCCCCCCUAGGAGAUCCCAUGUCGGCCGGCGCCUGUAGGGUAACGUAGUAAUUUCAAAAAAAAUCCUACGCACACGCAAGAUCAUGGUGAUGCAUAGCAACGAGAGGGGAGAGUGUUGUCCAUGUACCCUCGUAGACCGUAAGCGGAAGCGUUAUGACAACGUGGUUGAUGUAGUCGUACGUCUUCACGAUCCGACCGAUCCAAGCACCAAACGUACGGCACCUCCGAGUUCAGCACACGUUCAGCUCGAUGACGAUCCCCGGACUCCGAUCCAGCAGGGUGUCGGGGAUGAGUUCCGUCAGCACGACGGCGUGGUGACGAUGAUGAUGUUCUACCGACGCAGGCCUUCACCUAAGCAACGCAACGAUAUGACCGAGGUGGAAUAUGGUGGAGGGGGGCACCGCACACGGCUAAGGAACGAUCACGAAGAUCAACUUGUGUUGUUGUGCCUAGAGGUGCCCCCCUACCCCCGUAUAUAAAGGAGCAAGGGGAGGAGGGCCGGCCAAGGAGGAGGAGGCGCGCCCAAGGGGGGAGUCCUACUCCCGGUGGGAGUAGGACUCCUCCUUUCCUAGUAGGAGUAGGAGAGAAGGGAAGGAAGGAGGGGGUGCGGCCCCUCCCCCUAGUCCAAUUCGGACUAGGCUUUGGGGGGGCGCGGCCUGCCCCAGGCAGCCCCUCUCUCUUUCCCGUAUGGCCCAAUAAGGCCCAAUACUUCUCCCCGGCGAAUUCCCGUAACUCUCCGGUACUCCGAUAAAUACCCGAAUCACUAGGAACCUUUCCGAAGUCCGAAUAUAGUUGUCCAAUAUAUCGAUCUUUAUGUCUCAACCAUUUCGAGACUCCUCGUCAUGUCCCCGAUCUCAUCCAGGACUCUGAACUCCUUCGGUACAUCAAAACUCAUAAACUCAUAAUAUAACUGUCAUCGAAACCUUAAGCGUGCGGACCUAUGGGUUCGAGAACAAUGUAGACAUGACCGAAACACGUUUCCAGUCAAUAACCAAUAGCGGAACCUGGAUGCUCAUAUUGGCUCCCACAUAUUCUACGAAGAUCUUUAUCGGUCAGACCGCAUAACAACAUACGUUGUUCCCUUUGUCAUCGAUAUGUUACUUGCCCGAGAUUCGAUCGUCGGUAUCUCAAUACCUAGUUCAAUCUCGUUACCGGCAAGUCCCUUUACUCGUUCCGUAAUGCAUCAUCCCGCAACUAACUAAUUAGUUGCAAUGCUUGCAAGGCUUUAUAUUGAUGUGCAUUACCGAGUGGGCCCAGAGAUACCUCUCCGACAAUCGGAGUGAUAAAUCCUAAUCUCGAAAUACGCCAACCCAACAUGUACCUUCGGAGACACAUGUUGUAACGCCCCAGAUGCAACUUUCCAUAUUCGUAACUCCAACUCUUGCCUUUUCCGGAGAUGUUGUAUGAUAUUUCCUCCGUGGUUGGGUUUUGUCUGUUGUUUUGCAUUUUGUUCUUGUUAUGCAUUUCAUCUCGUAACAUCAUGCGCAUUGCAUCGGCAUCGUUUUCAUAAAACUUGCAUCCGUUCGGGAUUCCCCGGUCCUCUCCGUUGUCCGUUCGGAGUCCAGACACACUUGCACGCGCCCGCGGCACCUCCGAAAUAUUAUUUUAUAAGUGGCACAAAGAUGUUCUCGGAAUCGGUUGCAACUUGUCGGGCGUUCUUAUUAUAGUGUAGACAGAGCGCCUGUCAAGUUUCGUCGCAUUCGGAGUCCGUUUGACUGCCCAACCGUUAAACAUAGCGGUACUGUUGCCGGUAUCUUCGUCGGAAGUUUCGCUUUUCGAAACAGUCGCCGGCCUCACUUCUCUUCUCCCCUCCCAGUCCGAGGCCUCUCUCCACAGCCCACCUAUGCCCAGCCUAGUCCCCCCUCUGCCCGGAGCCGCACGAUUGCGAUCGUACGGCUCGAAAACCCCUCCUAACCCCCAAACCCUAGCUGCUUUUGCUAUAAAUAGACCCCUAGUCCAUUUUUGGACAUCCCUAGCCUAAUGCUAGACCUCCACCUACCUCUAUCCUCCCCCUCGGGAUCCCCGCAGCCGCCAGCCGCCGCUCCCCUCCAUUUUCGCACCCCUCCCAGCCUCCUCUCGCCACUUGGCGCCACCGCACGGGCCAGCGUCGCCGUCCCCGCUGCCUGGAGCCACUCAAGCCCCGCCAUGUCGCCUCCCCUGUAUCCCCACUUCCCCGCGGCCCUGCCAGGCCCAUUUGGGCCCCGCCGAAGCCUGCCCGAGCCCGUUCGCCACUCGAGCGCCCCGCGAGCCCCUGGCUCCCUCCUCCCGCUCGAUCCCGAGCCGGAUCGAGACCGCCGCCUCACGCCUCCCGCCGGUGACCCGGCAGCCCCGCCGAAGCCAGCAGGUCAGCGCCGUCCCGCCCCGCUCUCCUCCUUCCCUCUCCUUCCUGUCCUUAUUCCUCCUCGCCCUCUCAUCUUCUCUCUCUCCCUCACAGGGCACCACCGCCGCCCGGGAUGCCAAGCGGAGUCGCCGGAGCGAGCCUCGCCGCCGUGUAGUUCGUCGCCCCGGCCUCCUCUUCACCUGAUCCGGUCGAGGACCACUGGAUCCGGCCACCUGCGGCCCCGUCCCGGCAUCCCCACGCCUGCCCUCGUAGGAGAUGGCCCCUCUCCGCCGCCGCGCCCUGCAUCGCGUCGAUCCGGUCCCCCCUCCUCGCUGUUGACCGCGUGGGCCACGGCCUCGUCCGGCCCUGCCCGACUCCAAGCUGACCGGGCCUUGGCCCAGGGUGAGCAGCCCCGCCCCCUCUCCUGUGCACUUGUGGGCUGACUAGAUUCGGCCCGUUGCUCUUUGUUUUCCUGUCGAGCGAUUUUAACAUUAUCCGGUGAAUUACAGUUUUGCAGAAAACCCCCUGUUGUUCAUGCAUAUAAUAACUCCUCAACCGUGCAUCAUAUUAAAAUGAUUUAUAUAUGUAAAAUGCUCAGAAAAUUGUGUAGAUUAAUAAUAUGCCACUUUCAUCUAUGUUAAAAAUGUUUAAACUUGCUGUUUAUUUAAUUUUGCAUAAUGCCAUGCUAAAAUGAUUUAUUUCAUAACUAAUUAACCGUAGCUCCGAUUUUAAUAAACUUUAUAUGUAAAUGGGGUGGAAAAAUGCCUAGAUUAACUUGGUGCACUCAUCUUGCAUGUUUAACAACAUUAAAAUAUGGUUUAGGGCAGAACAGUACCGAAUCUAAAAUAUGCACAUGGGGAAUUUCCGGAAUUGAUGUUUUGUUGUUCCGGCCUCAUUUAAACUUGUCUAGAUAGGUAGUUUUUCAUAUGCUUCACCCCUUGCCAUGUUUAAUAACAUUUAAUAUUGUUGGGUACCUAAACGAGAGCGAACUAAAUAACUCGAAUGUGGUGUUUCGUCAAUAUGCAACUCGUUGCAUAUUGAUCUCCACUUAACUUGUAGUAUUGUUUGUUACACUUGCCAUGCCAUGCCUCAUUAAACCGGACAUGCAUCAUACUUGUUUGUGAAUCAUGCCAUGUUUAUGCUUGUGCAUUUACCAUGUUGUUACCUUCUUUCCGGUGUUGCUUCUUAGUUCCGGUAAUGUUGCGAUUGUGAGGAUUCGUUCGUCUACUCCCGUUCGUCUUCUUCAUGGACUCGUUCUUCUUCCUUGCGGGAUUUCAGGCAAGAUGACCGCUACCCUGGAUCUCACUACUAUCAUUGCUAUGCUAGUUGCUUCGUUCUAUCGCUAUGCUGCGUUACCUAUCUUUUGCUCAUCAAGCCUCCCAAAUUGCCAUGAACCUCUAACCUUUGACACCAUUCCUAGCAAACCUUUGCUUGGCUAUGUUACCGCUUUGCUCAGCCCCUCUUAUAGCAUUGCUAGUUGCAGGUGAAGUUGAAGAUUGCUCCAUGGUGGACAGGAUUUUGGUUGGGAUAUCACAAUAUCUCUUAUAUUAUUAAUGCAUCUAUAUACUUGGUAAAGGGUGGAAGGCUCGACCUUAUGCCUGGUGUUUUGUUCCACUCUUGCUGCCCUAGUUUCCGUCAUACCGGUGUUAUGUUCUCGGAUUUUGCGUUCCUUACACGGUCGGGUGAUUUAUGGGACCCCCUUGACAGUUCGCUUUGAAUAAAACUCCUCCAGCAAGGCCCAACAUUGCUUUUACCAUUUGCCUCACCACCACCUAUAUUUCCCUUGGGAGUAAUUAACCCAAGGGUCAUCUUUAUUUUAGCCCCCCCCCCCUCGGGCCAGUGCUUGUCUAAGUGUUGGUCCGAAUCGGGCAGACUACGGGGCCACCUGGGGCAACUCGAGGGCUGGUUUUACCCGUAGGCUAACCUAUCCGGUGUUGCCCUGAGAACGAGAUAUGUGCAGCUCCUAUCGAGAUUGUCGGCGCAUCGGGCGGCUUUGCUGGUCUUGUUUUACCAUUGUCGAAAUGUCUUGUAAACCGAGAUUCCUAGUCUGGUCGGGUCUUCCUGGGAGAAGGUCUAUUCCUUCGUUGAUCGCGAGAGCUUGUCAUGGGCUAAGUUGGGACACCCCUGCAGGGUAUAAUCUUUCGAAAGACGUGCCUGCGGUUAUAGGCAGAUGGGAAUUUGUUAAUGUCCGAUUGUAGAUAACUUGACACCAGAUCCGAAUUAAAACGCAUCAACCACAUGUGUAGUCGUAAUGGUCUCUUCUCGGCGGAGUCCGGGAAGUGAACACGGUUUCUGGGUUAUGUUUGACGUAAGUAGGAGUUCAGGAUCACUUCUUGAUCAUUGCUAGCUUCACGACCGUUCCGCUUGCUCUCUUCUCGCUCUUAUUUGCGUAUGUUAGCCACCAUAUAUGCUUAGUCGCUGCUGCAACCUCACCACUUUACCCCUUCCUUUCCCUUUAAGCUUUGCUAGUCUUGAUACCCAUGGUAAUGGGAUUGCUGAGUCCUCGUGGCUCACAGAUUACUACAACAACAGUUGCAGGUACAGGUUAUGCGAUGAUCAUGACGCGAGAGCGAUGUUUGCUCGUUUGGAGUUCUUCUUCUGCUUCUUCGAUCAGGGGAUAGGUUCCAGGUCGGCAGCCUGGGCUAGCAGGGUGAAUGUCGUUUGAGUUUCUGUUUGUGUUUCAUCCGUAGUCGGAUGAUGCCCUUAUGUAUUAUGAUGUUGUAUUCAUGUGGCAUUGUAUGCCUUUUGUAUGUAUCCCUAUCUAUUAUGUAAUGUUGAUGUAAUGAUAUCCACCUUGCAAAAGCGUUUCAAUAUGCGGUUCUAUCCUUGUGGGACCUUCGAGUCUCUUUAGGAUAGUAUCGCAUAUUGGGCGUGACAAGUUGGUAUCAGAGCCUCGACCGACCAUAGGAGCCCCCUUGAUUGUUGGCCGUUGUUGAGUCUAGAAGAAAACUAUUUUUGAGUCUUAGGAUUAUAUAUAUCAGAGAGUAGGAUUCUUUUUACUCCUCAGCCCCUUCGUCGCUCUGGUGAGGACUCCUGACGUAGAUGUUUUGUCUUUCCUCUCCUCAAAUUUCACUAAAUUUUUUUUAGGAUCACGCGGGUAUCUUGGAAUCGUUCCGAUGGUUUUGUGACGAGAACAUUGUUCUUGGUGCCUCCUGUCUAUUAUGUGGCUUUGACCCGGGGAGUUGAGCUCCGAGGUGUUGUCGUCACAACUUUAUCGUUGCAGUUCUGGAAUACCUGAGUUUUGCCGACAUCGAAAAUCUCUUUUAUGCAGUUGUUGGUGAGAUAACCUCGACGCCACCCAGUACUGGGGAGUUCGGGAGUAUUGCCAUAGCUCGUAUAAUGGAUGAUUUUCGAAGGUUGAGGUACACGAUUUCUGGAGUUUUCUUGGUUAUGUGUUGAUGGAUGGAUAUAGCUUGGAUGUAGGUAUUGUUAGUUUGGGUGAGAUAUAUUGCUUCCCCUGUAUCCCCAACACCAGAUUGCAUAACCAGAAAGUUUUGGGAGUUUUAUAGGUGGGAAUUCAAGUAGCUCGUAGGAUAUCUUUCCAACAGACACAUGAUACGAUAUGGGAUCUAUCAUGUGUUUGUUUCCUGCUUAUUCUACAAGCCAAAUCCUUUGUUUUGUUUUGAGUUGUGGUAUUCAAGUUGCUUCGAUGUCAAAUGUUGAAUCCACACCUUUCCCUAAAUGGUGUUCUCAUACUUCUAUGAGAGUGCUAAUCCUUCUUGAUCAUCGAGGUUGUCAUGCUAAUUCUUUACAACCGUGUGCUUCUCUUCAAGUGGAUACGAUCAUUUUCAACAUCCGCAAGAUCAACUCUAAGUUUUCUCACCGGUGUCCAUUCCAUAUGCCCCAAGUUGCCUUUGUUUUCCCGCCCUCCCACCCAUUUUCUGCAAGGACUCAGAUUUCUUAACCAAGUAUCAUUUUAUUCAUGUGAAGUCUAUUCACUCUUUUCUAUCAAUGUUCUUAUCCGGUGAUUUCCCAUGAAGAUGCUCAACAGUUUCAAGUUCAUCAUCCUCCGUUCUCUUUUCUUCUCCGGUGGAUCCAAUUCCAAGCUUUCAGUGUUGAUCAUAUUCCUUUCCUUGUGUCAAAUGCUUUCUCAUGCCGUUGCACCUCUCAAUCACUCACCUCUGGCUAUUCAUUUGUUCUGGAGUGCUGAAGAUAUCUCAGAAGACUCGUGUUUCCAUUCUCAAUCCGUUCAAGCUAUUUGGAGAUUAUUAUCUCAUUCAAGACAUUUAAUUCAACCGGUGCAAUCUCUCUUCUAAAUUGUUCAACGGUGUUUUCUUUUGAGUGGGCCCAUAACCCACAAGUCUUUUCCCAGGAUCUUACCUGACUCUCCUAAUUCUCCUAGAGUUAUUCUCAAAUUCCUUUUUAAGUGUGACGUAAGAAUGAAUUUUCAUCAGUCGCAUGCCUUCUCUAAGGUCAUUUUCAAAUUCUUUUCAUCCUUGGUUCAACCCUUCCUCUUUUUCAUUCUCCCGGAGUAUCUCAGUAAUUUUGGUGGUGUUUCUCGUCGUCAUUAUCGGAUUUUGAAUACCGAAGAAGAGUUUUUCCUCUAAAUCUUGUCCAUUCUCUUGAAGUUUCGUGAUUCUAGCUUGAUGCCAUCCUCUCAUAAUUAUUUUAGAUUGUGAGAAUUCUUUUCACCCAUCCGGAUCUAUUCAAGAGUCUUUUCAGAUUGAUUCUCCGUAGGCCAUCAUUUCUGAAUAUUACUCAUUCUCAACUUUCAGCUGUUGUUCUCCAAAUCUUACCGGUGGAUCGUUCAAGUAUACUCUUUAAUCAGUUCAUGGUCUCUUCGUUCUCAUAUAUCUAAAUCCCCUCAAGUAUCUUCAUUCGUUUUCCAAUUCUUCCCAGUGAAUUGUGCCUUUGCUAUGUUCAUUUUCAAUUAUGACGGUGGUUCGUGUAACAUUCCUCUUCCGUUGUUAUCGUAUAAAUUAAUUCAUUCGUUGUUUCCAAUCCCGUUGGUGGUUCCAUCAAUACCUUCUGAAGUUUAUGCUAUAUCUCUCUUAAUUCUUUCUACGAGAAUAAGUAGUAUGCCAAAUCCGUUGCUUGUCAUCAAUUUAAAUUGGUGAAGGAUAAGCAUGCAAUAAAUCUUAUUCUUAUUUCCUCGAGGUGAUUCAAUUCUUUUCUUCCGGAGAUUGUUCAUGAUGAAGUAAUUCUCGGUUCCAGUGUUUCAUCUAUUCUUUUUCCGGAGUUCCAAGUUUUCCGCAUUAUCUCGUGGCGAAGCUCCAUCUAAAUCAUUGCAAGGUCUCACCUUGUGUUUUCAACUUCUUUUUCUUUUCAUCAUCCUUUUAUUACCAGAGUUCUUCAUGGAGUCUCUACAUGAUGGUUCAUCAAGGAUUCCUUUCAUUCUUCAAUUGUUCUUCAAGAUUUCUAUCGAAGUUAUGACCUGCUAAGCUAUACUCUAAAAUAAACAUGGUGUUCAACACAUGUUUUGUUUUGAGGAGCUCAAGUAUUCUUCAUCUUGCAUUCUGAAGUGCAAUUCUUUCUACCUUAUCUUUUGUGGUGGUGUUAUGUCACUCUUCACAAUUUCCGUCAUGGUUCAUGAUUCAUAUUGUUUUCAAGAAUGAGGUAUUUUAAAUCCAUCAAUCUCUUUGUUGGAGUUAUCUUGGGUUAUAUUUCACCUAAAGCCUUCCAUUGGGAAUGUUGCUAUUUGUGGUGCUUAUCAAUGAUCCGAGUUUUCUCCUAUCCUCUCGGCGAAAGCAGUUUUCAUCCCUUCGUUGAUCUCAAACAAGUAAUUGUUUUCGUUAGUGGCAUGUAUUCACCUCAUAAUUUUGAGUUGUUUUCCAUAAGCCCACAACAAGCUUAUCCUUUUGUUGUUGAUAAUCCAACAACUCCAUCCUAGCAUUUCUUGUAAGUGUGCUCUUUCAAGAUCUUGUUUCCCUCCGUUCAUUCCAUUCCAUUCUUUAAUUUCUUCUGGAGGCAUUUGUCGCUCUCUUUGACCCAUCGUCUCAUUUUGUCAAGAUCAUGUUCUUUUCCAUGCUUAUCCAUUUAACCGGAGUGUUGUGUCAUCUCUUCAACGCUUUCAUCUUAUCAAGUUUUGCCUCUCUUUUCAACCUGGGUGUUGUCUGAAAUCCUUCUUACCCAUUGUGCCAUUCUUUCAAUAGUUCCAGAGGCAGUGUGUUGUUGAUUUCAUCAAGUAUCUUCCCAUCUUCUCAAGUUCAUGUUCUAUUCCUUCCAUGUUCAACCGGAGUGCCACCCAAAUUAUAUCAAUCUUAUUCCUUCUCCAUCUAGUUUUAACCGGAGUGGUUUCAAUAUCUAUCUUAUCACUAAACCUACAAGGUUAUCGUAAUGUUCCUUGUUCCUCUUUUCUAACAGAUUGUUGCAAUCUCAUUCAUCUCUGUUGUGUUCUUUUUUUUCAAUUUGUUCAACCUCUCAAGGUUCAUGGUUUCACUCGUUUGUCGAAGAAGUAACUUAGUUUUACCUCUUCUCGUCCUCUUCCGUUUCCCUCCGGUGUCAUCCUAGAUCUCGGGACGAGAUCCUCUCGUAGUGGUGGAGUGUUGUAACGCCCCGGAUGCAACUUUCGAUAUUCGUAACUCCAACUCUUGCCUUUUCCGGAGAUGCUAUAUGAUAUUUCAUCCGUGGUUGGGUUUUGUCUGUUGUUUUGCAUUUCGUUCUUGUUAUGCAUCUCAUCUCAUAACAUCAUGCGCAUUGCAUCGGCAUCGUUUUCAUAAAACUUGCAUCCGUUCGGGUUUCCCCGGUCCUCUCCGUUGUCCGUUCGGAGUCCAGACACACUUGCACGCGCCCGCGGCACCUCCGAAAUAUUAUUUUAUAAGUGGCACAAAGAUGUUCUCGGAAUCGGUUGAAACUUGUCGGGCGUUCUUAUUAUAGUGUAGACAGAGUGCCUGUCAAGUUUCGUCACAUUCGGAGUCCGUUUGACUGCCCAACCGUUAAACAUAGCGGUACCGUUGCCGGUAUCUUCGUCGGAAGUUUCGGUUUUCGAAACAGUCGCCGGGCCUCACUUCUCUUCUCCCCUCCCAGUCCGAGGCCUCUCUCCACAGCCCACCUAUGCCCAGCCUAGUCCCCCCUCUGUCCGGAGCCGCACGAUUGCGAUUGUACGGCUCGAAAACCCCUCCUAACCCCCAAACCCUAGCUGCUUUUGCUAUAAAUAGACCCCCUAGUCCAUUUUUGGACAUCCCUAGCCUAAUCCUAGACCUCCACCUACCUCUAGCCUCCCCCUCAGGAUCCUCGCAGCCGCCAGCCGCCGCUCCCCUCCAUUUCCGCACCCCCCCAGCCUCCUCUCGCCACUUGGCGCCACCGCACGGGCCAGCGCCGCCGUCCCCGCUGCCUGGAGCCACUCAAGCCCCGCCACGUCGCCUCCCCUGUAUNNNNNNNNNNNNNNNNNNNNNNNNNNNNNNNNNNNNNNNNNNNNNNNNNNNNNNNNNNNNNNNNNNNNNNNNNNNNNNNNNNNNNNNNNNNNNNNNNNNNNNNNNNNNNNNNNNNNNNNNNNNNNNNNNNNNNNNNNNNNNNNNNNNNNNNNNNNNNNNNNNNNNNNNNNNNNNNNNNNNNNNNNNNNNNNNNNNNNNNNNNNNNNNNNNNNNNNNNNNNNNNNNNNNNNNNNNNNNNNNNNNNNNNNNNNNNNNNNNNNNNNNNNNNNNNNNNNNNNNNNNNNNNNNNNNNNNNNNNNNNNNNNNNNNNNNNNNNNNNNNNNNNNNNNNNNNNNNNNNNNNNNNNNNNNNNNNNNNNNNNNNNNNNNNNNNNNNNNNNNNNNNNNNNNNNNNNNNNNNNNNNNNNNNNNNNNNNNNNNNNNNNNNNNNNNNNNNNNNNNNNNNNNNNNNNNNNNNNNNNNNNNNNNNNNNNNNCCCCCCGCAAGCCCCUGGCUCCCUCCUCCCGCUCGAUCCCGAGCCGGAUCGAGACCGCCGCCUCACGCCUCCUGCCGGCGACCCGGCAGCCCCGUCGGAGCCAGCAGGUCAGCGCCGUCCCGCCCCGCUCUCCUCCUUCCCUAUCCUUCCUGUCCUUCUUCCUCCUCGCCCUCUCAUCUUGUCUCUCUCCCUCGCAGGGCACCGCCGCCGCCCGGGAUGCCAAGCGCCACCGCCGGAGCCGAGCCUCGCCGCCGUGUAGUUCGUCGCCCCGGCCUCCUCUUCACCUGAUCCGGUCGAGGACCACCGGAUCCGGCCACCUGCGGCCCCGUCCCGGCCUCCCCACGCCUGCCCUCGCCGGAGAUGGCCCCUCUCCGCUGCCGCGCCCUGCAUCGCCCCGAUCCGGUCCCCCCUCCUUGCCGUUGACCGCGUGGGCCACGGCCUUGUCCGGCCCAGCCCGCCUCCAAGCCGACCGGGCUUUGGCCCAGGGUGAGCAGCCCCGCCCCCUCUCCUGUGCACUUGUGGGCUGACUAGAUUUGGCCCGUUGCUAUUUUGUUUCCUGUCCAGCGAUUUUAACAUUAUCCGGUGAAUUACAGUUUUGCAGAAAACCCCCUGUUGUUCAUGCAUAUAAUAACUCCUCAAUCGUGCAUCAUAUUAAAAUGAUUUAUAUAUGUAAAAUGCUCAAAAAAUUGUGUAGAUUAAUAAUAUGCCACUUUCAUCUAUGUUAAAAAUGUUUAAACUUGCUGUUUAUUUAAUUUUUCAUAAUGCCAUGCUAAAAUGAUUUAUUUCAUAACUAAUUAACCGUAGCUCCGAUUUUAAUAAACUUUAUAUGUAAAUGGGGUGGAAAAAUGCUUAGAUUAACUUGGUGCACUCAUCUUGCAUGUUUAACAACAUUAAAAUAUGGUUUAGGGCAGAACAGUACCGAAUCUAAAAUAUGCACAUGGGGAAUUUCCGAAAUUGUUGUUUUGUUGUUCCGGCCUCAUUUAAACUUGUCUAGGUAGGUAGUUUUUCAUAUGCUUCACCCCUUGCCAUGUUUAAUAAUAUUUAAUAUUGUUGGGUACCUAAACGAGAGCGAACUAAAUAACUCGAAUGUGGUGUUUCGUCAAUAUGCAACUCGUUGCAUAUUGAUCUCCACUUAACUCGUAGUAUUGUUUGUUGCACUUGCCAUGCCAUGCCUCAUUAAACCGGACAUGCAUCAUACUUGUUUGUGCAUCAUGCCAUGUUUAUGCUUGUGAAUUUACCAUGUUGUUACCUUCUUUCUGGUGUUGCUUCUUAGUUCCAGUAAUGUUGCGAUUGUGAGGAUUCGUUCGUCUACUCCCGUUCGUCUUCUUCAUGGACUCGUUCUUCUUCCUUGCAAGAUUUCAGGCAAGAUGACCGCUACCCUGGAUCUCACUACUAUCAUUGCUAUGCUAGUUGCUUCGUUCUAUCGCUAUGCUGUGUUACCUAUCUUUUGCUCAUCAAGCCUCCCAAAUUGCCAUGAACCUCUAACCUUUGACACCAUUCCUAGCAAACCUUUGCUUGGCUAUGUUACCGCUUUGCUCAGCCCCUCUUAUAGCGUUGCUAGUUGCAGGUGAAGUUGAAGAUUGCUCCAUGGUGGACAGGAUUUUGGUUGGGAUAUCACAAUAUCUCUUAUAUUAUUAAUGCAUCUAUAUACUUGGUAAAGGGUGGAAGGCUCGGCCUUAUGCCUGGUGUUUUGUUCCACUCUUGCCGCCCUAGUUUCCGUCAUACCGGUGUUAUGUUCCCGGAUUUUGCGUUCCUUACGCGGUCGGGUGAUUUAUGGGACCCCCUUGACAGUUCGCUUUGAAUAAAACUCCUCCAGCAAGGCCCAACAUUGGUUUUACCAUUUGCCUCACCACCACCUAUAUUUCCCUUGGGAGUAAUUAACCCAAGGGUCAUCUUUAUUUUAGCCCCCCNNNNNNNNNNNNNNNNNNNNNNNNNNNNNNNNNNNNNNNNNNNNNNNNNNNNNNNNNNNNNNNNNNNNNNNNNNNNNNNNNNNNNNNNNNNNNNNNNNNNNNNNNNNNNNNNNNNNNNNNNNNNNNNNNNNNNNNNNNNNNNNNNNNNNNNNNNNNNNNNNNNNNNNNNNNNNNNNNNNNNNNNNNNNNNNNNNNNNNNNNNNNNNNNUGCUUGUCUAAGUGUUGGUCCGAACCGGGCAGACUGCGGGGCCACCUCGGGGCAACUCGAGGGCUGGUUUUACCCGUAGGCUGACCUAUCCGGUGUUGCCUUGAGAACGAGAUAUGUGCAGCUCCUAUCGGGAUUGUCGGCGCAUCGGGCGGCUUUGCUGGUCUUGUUUUACCAUUGUCGAAAUGUCUUGUAAACCGGGAUUCCGAGUCUGAUCGGGUCUUCCUUGGAGAAGGUCUAUUCCUUCGUUGAUCGCGAGAGCUUGUCAUGGGCUAAGUUGGGACACCCCUGCAGGGUAUAAUCUUUUGAAAGCCGUGCCUGCGGUUAUAGGCAUAUGGGAAUUUGUUAAUGUCCGAUUGUAGAUAACUUGACACCAGAUCCGAAUUAAAACGCAUCAACCGCGUGUGUAGUCGUGAUGGUCUCUUCUCGGCGGAGUCCGGGAAGUGAACACGGUUUCUGGGUUAUGUUUGACGUAAGUAGGAGUUCAGGAUCACUUCUUGAUCAUUGCUAGCUUCACGACCGUUCCGCUUGCUCUCUUCUCGCUCUUAUUUGCGUAUGUUAGCCACCAUAUAUGCUUAGUCGCUGCUGCAACCUCACCACUUUACCCCUUCCUUUCCCUUUAAGCUUUGCUAGUCUUGAUACCCAUGGUAAUGGGAUUGCUGAGUCCUCGUGGCUCACAGAUUACUACAACAACAAUUGCAGGUACAGGUUAUGCGAUGAUCAUGACGCGAGAGCGAUGUUUGCUCGUUUGGAGUUCUUCUUCUGCUUCUUCGAUCAGGGGAUAGGUUCCAGGUCGGCAGCCUGGGCUAGCAGGGUGGAUGUCAUUUGAGUUUCUGUUUGUGUGUCAUCCGUAGUCGGAUGAUGCUCUUAUGUAUUGUGAUGUUGUAUUCAUGUGGCAUUGUAUGCCUUUUGUAUGUAUCCCUAUCUAUUAUGUAAUGUUGAUGUAAUGAUAUCCACCUUGCAAAAGCGUUUCAAUAUGCGGUUCUAUCCUUGGUGGGACCUUCGAGUCUCUUUAGGAUAGUAUCGCAUAUUGGGCGUGACACAUGUAGAGCUCCUUUAUAAUCACCCAGUUACGUUGUGACGUUUGGUAGCACACAAAGUGUUCCUCCGGUAAAUGGGAGUUGCAUAAUCUCAUAGUCACUAGGAACAUGUAUAAGUCAUGAAGAAAGCAAUAGCAACAUACUAAACAAUCAAGUGCUAGGCUAACGGAAUGGGUCAAGUCAAUCACAUCAUUCUCCUAAUGAUGUGAUCCCGUUAAUCAAAUGACAACUCUUUUGUCCAUGGCUAGGAAACUUGACCAUCUUUGAUUCACGAGCUAGUCAAGUAGAGGCAUACUAGUGACACUAUGUUUGUCUAUGUAUUCACACAUGUAUUAUGUUUCCGGUUAAUACAAUUCUAGCAUGAAUAAUAAACAUUUAUCAUGAAAUAAGGAAAUAAAUAAUAAAUUUAUUAUUGCCUCUAGGGCAUAUUUCCUUUAGUCUCCCACUUGCACUAGAGUCAAUAAUCUAGUUCACAUCACCAUGUGAUUUAACACCAAUAUUCACAUCUGUAUGUGAUUAAUACCCAUAGUUCACAUCGUCAUGUGAUCAACACCCAAAGGUUUUACUAGAGUCAAUAAUCUAGUUCACAUCGCUAUGUGAUUAACACCCAAAGAGUACUAAGGUAUGAUCAUGUUUUACUCGUGAGAGAAGUUUAGUCAACGGGUCUGUCACAUUCAGAGCCGUAUGUAUUUUACAAAUAUUCUAUGUCUACAAUGCUCUGCAUGGAGCUACUCUAGCUAAUUUCUCCCACUUUCAAUAUGUAUCUAGAUUGCGACUUAGAGUCAUCUGGAUCAGUGUAAAAGUUUGCACCGAUGUAACUUUUACGACGAACUCUUUUAUCAUCUCCAUAAUCGAGAAACAUCUCCUUAAUCCUUACUAAGGAUAUUCUUGACCGCUGUCCAGUGAUCUACUAUUAGAUCAAAAUUGUAUUCCUUUGCCAAACUCAGAGCAAGGUAUACAAUAGGUCUGGUACACAGCAUAGCAUACUUUAUAGAAUCUAUGACUGAGGCAUAGGGAAUGAUUUUUCAUUCUCUUUCUAUUUUCAUCCAUGGUCGGGUUUUGAGUCUUACUCAACUUCACACCUUGCAACAUAGGAAAGAACACCUUCUUUGACUGCUCUAUUUUGAACUACUUCAAAAUCUUAUCAAGGUAUGUACUCAUUGAAAAAUCUUAUCAAGCGUCUUGAUCUAUCUAUAUAGAUCUUGAUGCUCAAUGUGUAAGCAGCUUUACCGAGGUCUUUCUUUGAAAAACUUUUAUUCAAGUAUCCUUUUACGCUAUCCAGAAAUUUUAUAUAAUUUCCAAUCAACAAUAUGUCUUGCACAUAUAAUGUUAGAAAUUCUACAGAGCUCCCACUCACUUUCUUGUAAAUAGAGGCUUCUCCAAAAGUCUGUAUAAAACCAUAUGCUUUGAUCAACUCAUCAAAGCGUAUAUUCCAACUCCGAGAUGCUUGCACCAGUCCAUUGAUGGAUCGCUGGAGCUUGCACACUUUGUUAGCACCUUUAGGAUUGACAAAACCUUCUGGUUGCAUCAUAUACAACUCUUCUUUAAAAAAAUCCAUUAAGGAAUGCAGUUUUGACAUCCAUUUGCCAGAUUUCAUAAAAUGAGGCAAUUGCUAACAUGAUUCGGACAGACUUAAGCGUCGUUACGAGUGAGAAAAUCUCAUCAUAUUCAACACCUUGAACUUGUUGAAAACCUUUCACAACAAGUCGAGCUUAGUAACACUACUAUCAGUGUCCGUAUUCCUCUUGAAGAUCCAUUUAUUUAACAUGGCUUGCUGAUCAUCGAGCAAGUCAAUCAAAGUCCAUACUUUGUUCUCAUACAUGGAUCAUAUCUCAGAUUUUAUGGCCUCAAGCCAUUUCGCGGAAUCUGGGCUCAUCAUCGCUUCCUCAUAGUUCGUAGGUUCAUCAUGGUCUAGUAACAUGACUUCCAGAACAUGAUUACCGUACCACUCUGGUGCGGAUCUUACUCUGGAAGACCUACGAGGUUUGGUAGCAACUUGAUCUGAAGUUUCAUGAUCAUCAUCAUUAACUCCCUCCCUAAUUGGUGUAGGAAUCACUGGAACUGAUUUCUGUGAUGAACUACUUUCCAAUAAGGGAGAAGGUACAAUUACCUCAUCAAGUUCUACUUUCCUCCCACUCACUUCUUUCGAGAGAAACUUCUUCUCUAGAAAGGAUCCAUCUUAGCAACGAAUAACUUGCCUUCGGAUAUGUGAUAGAAGGUGUACCCAAUAGUUACCUUUGGGUAUUCUAUGAAGACGCACUUCUCCGAUUUGGGUUCGAGCUUAUGAGGUUGAAACUUUUUCACAUAAGUAUCGCAGCCCCAAAAUUUAAGAAACGACAACUAUGGUUUCUUGCCAAACCACAGUUCAUAAGGCGUCGUCUCAACGGAUUUUGAUGGUGCCCUUUUUAAAGUGAAUGCAACUGUCUCUAAUGCAUAACCCCAAAACGAUAGUGGUAAAUCGGUAAGAUACAUCAUAGAUCGCACCAUAUCCAAUAAAGUGUGGUUAUGAUAUUCGGACACACCAUUACGCUGUGGUGUUCCAUGUGGCAUGAGCUGUGAAACUAUUCCACAUUGUUUUAUAUGAAGGCCAAACUCAUAACUCAAAUAUUCUCCUCCACGAUCAGAUCGUAGAAACUUUAUUUUCUUGUUACGAUGAUUCUCCAGUUCACUCUGAAAUUCUUUGAACUUUUCAAAUGUUUCAGACUUGUGUUUCAUUAAGUAGAUAUACCCAUAUCUGCUCAAAUCAUCUGUGAAGGUCAUAAAAUAACGAUACUCGCCACGAGCAUCAAUACUCAUUGGAUCGCAUACAUCGGUAUGUAUUAUUUCCAAUAAAUCAGUAGCUCGUUCCAUUGUUCCGAAGAACGGAGUUUUAGUCAUCUUGCCCAAAAGGCAUGGUUCGCAAGCAUCAACUGAUUCAUAACCAAGUGAUUCCAAAAAUCCAUCUUUAUGGAGUUUCUUCAUGCGCUUUAUACCGAUAUGACCCAAACGGUAGUGCCACAAAUAAGUUGCACUAUCAUUAUCAGCUUUGCAUCUUUUGGCAUCAAUAUUAUGAAUGUGUGUAUCACUACGAUCGAGAUCAAACAAACUAUUUUCAUUGGGUGUAUGACCAUUGAAGGUUUUAUUCAUGUAAAUAGAACAACAAUUAUUCUCUGAUUUUAAAUGAAUAACCGUAUUGCCAUAAACAUGAUCAAAUCAUAUUCAUGCUCAACGCAAACGCCAAAUAACAUUUAUUUAGGUUUAACACUAAUCCCGAAAGUAUAGGGAGUGUGCGAUGAUGAUCAUAUCAAUCUUAGAACCACUUCCAACACACAUCGUCACUUCACCCUCAACUAGUCUCUGUUUAUUCUGUAACUCCUGUUUCAAGUUACUAAUUUUUUUAGCAACCGAACAAGUAUCAAAUACUUAGGGGCUACUAUAAACACUAGUAAGGUACACAUCAAUAACCUGUAUAUCAAAUAUACCCUUGUUCACUUUGCCAUCCUUCUUAUCCACCAAAUAUUCAAGGCAUUUCCGCUUCUAGUGAACAUUUUCUUUGCAGUGUAAGCACUCAGUUUCAGGCUUUGGUCCAGCUUUGGUCUUCUUCACGGGAGUGACAACUUGUUUGCCAUUCUACUUGAAGUUUCCCUUUCUUUCCCUUUGCCCUUUUCUUGAAACUAGUGGUCUUGUCAAUCAUCAACACUUGAUGCUCUUUCUUGAUUUCUAUCUUCGUCGAUUUCAACAUCACGAAGAGCUCGGGAAUCAUUUUCGUCAUCCCUUGCAUACUAUAGUUCAUCACGAAGUUCUAGUAACUUAGUGAUGGUGACUAGAGAAUUCUAUCAAUCACUAUCUUAUCUGGAAGAUUAACUCCCACUUGAUUCAAGCGAUUGUAGUACCCAGACAAUCUGAGCACAUGCUCACUAAUUGAGCAAUUCUCCUCCAUCUUUUAGCCAUAGAACUUGUUGGAGACUUCAUAUCUCUCAACUCGGGUAUUUGCUUGAAAUAUUAACUUCAACUCCUAGAACAUCUCAUAUGGUCCAUGACGUUCAAAACGUCUUUGAAGUCCCGAUUCUAAGCCGUUAAGCAUGGUGCACUAAACUAUCAAGUAGUCAUCAUAUUGAGCUAGCCAAACAUUCACAACGUCUGCAUAUGCUCCUGCAAUAGGUCCGUCACCUAGCGGUGCAUCAAGGACAUAAUUCUUCUAUGCAGCAAUGAUGAUAAACCUCAGAUCACGGACCAAGUCCGCAUUAUUGCUACUAACAUCUUUCAACAUAAUUUUCUCUAGGAACAUAUCAAAAUAAACAUAUGAAAGCAACAACGCAAGCUAUUGAUCUACAACAUAAUUUGCAAAAUACUACUAGGACUAAGUUCAUGAUAAAUUUAAGUUCAAUUGAUCAUAUUACUUAAGAACUCCCACUUAGAUAGAUAUCCCUCUAAUCCUCUAAGUGAUUACGUGAUCCAUAUCAACUACACCAUGUACGAUCAUCACGUGAGAUGGAGUAGUUUCAACGGUGAACAUCAAUAUGUUGAUCAUAUCUACUAUAUGAUUCACGCUCGACCUUUCGGUCUCCGUGUUCCGAGGCCAUAUCUGUUAUAUGCUAGGCUCGUCAAGUUUAACCCGAGUAUUCCGCGUGUGCAACUGUUUUGCAUCCGUUGUAUUUGAACGUAGAGCCUAUCACACCCGAUCAUCACGUGGUGUCUCAGCAUGAAGAACUUUCGCAACGGUGCAUACUCAGGGAGAACACUUCUUGAUAAUUUUUAGUGAGAGAUCAUCUUAAAAUGCUACCAUCAAUCAAAGCAAGAUAAGAUGCAUAAAGGAUAAACAUCACAUGCAAUCAAUAUAAGUGAUAUGAUAUGGCCAUCAUCAUCUUGUGCUUGUGAUCUCCAUCUCCGAAGCACUGUCGUGAUCACCAUCGUCGCCGGUGCGACACCUUGAUCUCCAUCGUAGCAUCGUUGUCGUUACGCCAUCUAUUGCUUCUACGACUAUCGCUACCGCUUAGUGAUAAAGUAAAGCAAUUAUAGGGCAUUUGCAUUUCAUACAAUAAAGCGACAACCAUAUGGCUCCUGCCAGUUGUCGAUAACUUCGGUUACAAAACAUGAUCAUCUCAUACAAUAAAAUAUAGCAUCACGUCUUGACCAUAUCACAUCACAACAUGCCCUGCAAAAACAAGUUAGACGUCCUCUACUUUGUUGUUGCAAAUUUUACGUGGCUGCUACGGGCUGAGCAAGAACCGUUCUUACCUACGCAUCAAAACCACAAUGAUAGUUCGUCAAGUUAGUGUUGUUUUAACCUUCGCAAGGACCGGGCGUAGCCACACUCGGUUCAACUAAAGUUGGAGAAACAGACACCCGCUAGUCACCUAUGUGCAAAGCACGUCGGUAAAACCAGUCUCGCGUAAUCGUACGCGUAAUGUCAGUCCGCGCCGCUUCAUCCAACAAUACCGCUGAACCAAAGUAUGACAUGCUGGUAAGCAGUAUGACUUGUAUCGCCCACAACUCACUUGUGUUCUACUCGUGCAUAUAACAUCAACGCAUAAAACCUGGCUCGGAUGCCACUGUAGGGUAACGUAGUAAUUUCAAAAAAAAUCCUACGCACACGCAAGAUCAUGGUGAUGCAUAGCAACGAGAGGGGAGAGUGUUGUCCAUGUACCCUCGUAGACCGUAAGCGGAAGCGUUAUGACAACGCGGUUGAUGUAGUCGUACGUCUUCACGAUCCGACCGAUCCAAGCACCAAACAUACGGCACCUCCGAGUUCAACACACAUUCAGCUCGAUGACGAUCUCAGGACUCCGAUGCAGCAGGGUGUCGGGGAUGAGUUCCGUCAGCACGACGGCGUGGUGACGAUGAUGAUGUUCUACCGACGCAGGGCUUCGCCUAAGCACCGCAACGAUAUGACCGAGGUGGAAUAUGGUGGAGGGGGGCACCGCACACGGCUAAGGAACGAUCACGAAGAUCAACUUGUGUUGUUGUGCCUAGAGGUGCCCCCCUGCCCCCGUAUAUAAAGGAGCAAGGGGAGGAGGGCCGGCCAAGGAGGAGGAGGCGCGCCCAAGGGGGGAGUCCUACUCCCACCGGGAGUAGGACUCCUCCUUUCCUAGUAGGAGUAGGAGAGAAGGGAAGGAAGGAGGGGGUGCGGCCCCUCCCCCUAGUCCAAUUCGGACUAGGCUUUGGGGGGCAUGCGGCCUGCCCUAGGCAGCCCCUCUCUCUUUCCCGUAUGGCCUAAUAAGGCCCAAUACUUCUCCCCGGCGAAUUCCCGUAACUCUCCGGUACUCCGAUAAAUACCCGAAUCACUCGGAACCUUUCUGAAGUCCGAAUAUAGUCGUCCAAUAUAUCGAUCUUUACGUCUCGAUCAUUUCGAGACUCCUCGUCAUGUCCCCGAUCUCAUCUGGGACUCCGAACUCCUUCGGUACAUCAAAACUCAUAAACUCAUAAUAUAACUGUCAUCGAAACCUUAAGCAUGCGGACCCUACGGGUUCGAGAACAAUGUAGACAUGACCGAAACACAUUUUCGGUCAAUAAGCAAUAGUGGAACCUGGAUGCUCAUAUUGGCUCCCACAUAUUCUACGACGAUCUUUAUCGGUCAGACUGCAUAACAACAUAAGUUGUUCCCUUUGUCAUCGGUAUGUUACUUGUCCGAGAUUCGAUCGUCGGUAUCUCAAUACCUAGUUCAAUCUCGUUACCGGCAAGUCUCUUUACUCGUUCCUUAAUGCAUCAUCCCGCAACUAACUAAUUAGUUGCAAUGCUUGCAAGGCUUUAUAGUGAUGUGCAUUACCGAGUGGGCCCAGAGAUACCUCACCGACAAUUGGAGUGACAAAUCCUAAUCUCGAAAUACGCCAACCCAACAUGUACCUUCGGAGACACCUGUAGAGCUCCUUUAUAAUCACCCAGUUACGUUGUGACGUUUGGUAGCACACAAAGUGUUCCUCCGGUAAAUGGGAGUUGCAUAAUCUCAUAGUCAUAGGAACAUGUAUAAGUCAUGAAGAAAGCAAUAGCAACAUACUAAAUGAUCAAGUGCUAGGCUAACGGAAUGGGUCAAGUCAAUCACAUCAUUCUCCUAAUGAUGUGAUCCCGUUAAUCAAAUGACAACUCUUUUGUCCAUGGCUAGGAAACUUAACCAUCUUUGAUUCACGAGCUAGUCAAGUAGAGGCAUACUAGUGACACUAUGUUUGUCUAUGUAUUCACACAUGUAUUAUGUUUCCGGUUAAUACAAUUCUAGCAUGAAUGAUAAACAUUUAUCAUGAAAUAAAGAAAUAAAUAAUAAUUUUAUUAUUGCCUCUAGGGCAUAUUUCCUUCAGCGCCCCCCUGGGGUCCCUAUAUAAAGAGGAGGGUGGGAGGACAGCCGCACCCUGACAUCUGGCGCCUCCCUACCCCCCUUGCUACAUGUCCUCCUCCCGUAGUCGCUUGGCGAAGCCCUGCCGUAACCCUGCUGCAUCCACCACCACGCCGUCGUGCUGUUGGAUCUUCCUCAACCUCUCCUUCCCCCUUGCUGGAUCAAGAAGGAGGAGAUGUCACGCUGACCGUACGUGUGUUGAACGCGGAGGUGCCAUCCGUUCGGCGCUAGGAUCUCCGGUGAUUUGGAUCACGAUGAGUACGACUCCCUCAACCCCGUUCUCUUGAACGCUUCCGCUCGCGAUCUACAAGGGUAUGUAGAUGCACUCCCCUCUCUCGUUGCUAUAUGAACUCAUAGAUUGAUCUUGGUGAACGUAGGAAAUUUUUUAUUUUAUGCAACGUUCCCCAACAGUGGCAUCAUGAGCUAGUUCUAUGCGUAGUUCUCUAUUGCACGAGUACAACACAAAUCUGUUGUGGGCAUAUAUGUUGUCAACUUUCUUGCCACUACUAGUCUUAUUUUGCUUCAGCGGUAUUGUGGGAUGAAGCGGCCCGGACCGACCUUACACGUACGCUUACGUGAGACAGGUUCCACCGACUGACAUGCACUAGUUGCAUAAGGUGGCUAGCGGGUGUCUGUCUCUCCCACUUUAGUUGGAGCGGAUUCGAUGAAAAGGGUCCUUAUUAAGGGUAAAUAGAAGUUUACAAAUCACGUUGUGGUUAUUCGUAGGUAAGAAAACGUUCUUGCUAGAACCCUAUUGCAACCACGUAAAAGAUGCAACAACAAUUAGAGGACGUCUAAUUUGUUUUUGCAGCAAUUGCUUUGUGAUGUGAUAUGGCCAAAAGUUGUGAUGAAUGAUGAAUGAUAUAGUGUGAUGUAUAAGAUCAUGUUCUUGUAAUAGGGAUCACGACUUGCAUGUCGAUGAGUAUGACAACCGGCAGGAGCCAUAGGAGUUGUCUUAAUUAUUGUAUGACCUGCGUGUCAAUGAUUUAACGCCAUGUAAUUACUUUACUUUAUUGCUAAACCGUUAGCCAUAGUAGUAGAAGUAAUAGUUGGUGAGCAACUUCAUGGAGACACGAUGAUGGAGAUCAUGGUGUCAUGCCGAUGACGAAGAUGAUCAUGGAGCCCCAAAGAUGGAGAUCAAGGGAGCUAUAUGAUAUUGGUCAUAUCAUGUCACUACUAUAUAAUUGUAUGUGAUGUUUGUUAUGUUUAUGCAUCUUGUUUACUUAGAACGACGGUAGUAAAUAAGAUGAUCCCUUAUAAUAAUUUCAAGAAAGUGUUCCCCCUAACUGUGCGCCGUUGCUAGGGGAUCGUCGUUUCGAAGCACCAUGUGAUGAUCGGGUGUGAUAGAUUCUUACGUUCACAUACAACGGGUGUAAGACAGUUUUACACAUGCAAAAACACUUAGGGUUAACUUGACGAGCCUAGCAUGUACAGACAUGGCCUCGGAACACAGAGACUGAAAGGUCAAACAUGAGUCGUAUGGAAGAUACGAUCAACAUGGAGAUGUUCACCGAUGAUGACUAGUCCGUCUCACGUGAUGAUCGGACACGGCCUAGUCGACUCGGAUCAUGUAACACUUAGAUGACUAGAGGGAUGUCAAAUCUGAGUGGGAGUUCAUUAAAUAAUUUGAUUAGAUGAACUUAAUUAUCAUGAACUUAGUCUAAAAUCUUUGCAAAAUAUGUCUUGUAGAUCAAAUAGCCAACGCUCAUGUCAACAUGAACUUCAAUGCGUUCCUAGAGAAAACCAAGCUGAAAGAUGAUGGCAGCAACUAUUCGGACUGGGUCCGGAACCUGAGGAUCAUCCUCAUAGCUGCCAAGAAAGCAUAUGUCCUAGAAGGACCGCUAGGUGAAGCACCCAUCCCAGAGAACCAAGACGUUAUGAACGCUUGGCAGUCACGUGCUGAUGAUUACUCCCUCGUUCAGUGCGGCAUGCUUUACAGCUUAGAACCGGGGCUCCAAAAGCGUUUUGAGCAACACGGAGCAUAUGAGAUGUUCGAGGAGCUGAAAAUGGUUUUCCAAGCUCAUGCCCGGGUCGAGAGAUAUGAUGUCUCUGACAAGUUCUAUAGUUGUAAGAUGGAGGAAAAUAGUUCUGUCAGUGAGCACAUACUCAAAAUGUCUGGGUUGCACAACCGCCUGUCCCAGCUGGACAUUAACCUCCCGGACGAGGCGGUCAUUGACAGAAUCCUUCAGUCGCUCCCACCAAGCUACAAGAGCUUUGUGAUGAACUACAAUAUGCAGGGGAUGGUGAAAACCAUUCCUAAAGUAUUUUCAAUGCUGAAGUCGGCAGAGGUAGAAAUCAAGAAAGAACAUCAAGUGUUGAUGGUUAAUAAAACCACCAAGUUCAAGAAGGGCAAGGGUAAGAAGAACUUCAAGAAGGACGGCAAAGAGGUUGCCGCGCCCGGUAAGCCAGUUGCCGGGAAGAAGUCAAGGAAUGGACCCAAGCCUGAGACUGAGUGCUUUUAUUGCAAAGGGAAGGGUCACUGGAAGCGGAACUGCCCCAAAUACUUAGCGGACAAGAAGGCCGGCAACACUAAAGGUAUAUGUGAUAUACAUGUAACUGAUGUGUACCUUACCAGUACUCAUAGUAACUCCUAGGUAUUUGAUACCGGUGCCGUUGCUCAUAUUUGUAACUCACAGCAGGAGCUGCGGAAUAAGCGGAGACUGGCAAAGGAUGAGGUGACGAUGCGCAUAGGGAAUGGUUCCAAGGUCGAUGUGAUCGCCGUCGGCACGCUACCUCUACAUCUACCCACGGGAUUAGUUUUAAACCUCAAUAAUUGUUAUUUAGUGCCAAGUUUGAGCAUGAACAUUGUAUCUAGAUCUUGUUUAAUGCGAGAUGGCUACUCAUUUAAAUCCGAGAAUAGUGGUUGUUCUAUUUAUAUGAGAGAUGUGUUUUAUGGUCAUGCCACGAUGGUCAAUGGUUUAUUCUUAAUGAAUCUCGAACUUAAUGUUACACAUAUUCAUAGUGUGAAUUCCAAAAGAUGUAAAGUUGAUAACGAUAGUCCCACAUACUUGUGGCACUGCCGCCUUGGUCGCAUUGGUGUCAAGCGCAUGAAGAAGCUCCAUGCUGAUGGACUUUUAGAGUCUCUCGAUUAUGAAUCAUUUGACACAUGUGAACCAUGCCUCAUGGGCAAAAUGACCAAGACUCCGUUCUCCGGAACAAUGGAGCGAGCAACCAACUUAUUGGAAAUCAUACAUACUGAUGUGUGUGGUCCAAUGAGCGUUGAGGCUUGCGGAGGAUAUCGUUAUGUUCUCACUCUCACUGAUGACUUAAGUAGAUAUGGGUAUGUCUACUUAAUGAAACACAAGUCUGAGACUUUUGAAAAUUUCAAGGAAUUUCAGAAUGAAGUAGAGAAUCAACGUGACCAAAAAAUAAAGUUCUUACGAUCAGAUCAUGGAGGAGAAUAUUUAAGUCAUGAAUUUGGUAUGCACUUAAGAAAAUGUGGAAUCGUUUCACAACUCACGCCAUCUGGAACACCUCAACAUAACGGUGUGUCCAAAUGUCGUAAUCGCACUCUAUUGGAUAUGGUGCGAUCUAUGAUGUCUCUUACCGAUUUACCGCUAUCUUUUUCGGGAUACGCUCUAGAGACAGCUACAUUCACUUUAAAUAGGGCUCCGUCUAAAUCCGUUGAGACAACACCGUAUGAAUUAUGGUUUGGGAAGAAACCUAAGCUGUCGUUUCUAAAAGUUUGGGGAUGCGAUGCUUAUGUCAAGAAACUUCAACCUGAAAAGCUCGAACCCAAGUCAGAAAAAUGCGUCUUCAUAGGAUACCCUAAGGAAACCAUUGGGUAUACCUUCUACUUAAGAUCCGAGGGCAAGAUCUUUGUUGCCAAGAACGGAUCCUUUCUGGAAAAAGAGUUUCUCUCGAAAGAAGUAAGUGGGAGGAAAGUAGAACUCGAUGAAGUACUACCUCUUGAACCGGAAAGUAGUGCAGCUCAGCAAAAUGUUCCUGUGGUGCCUACACCGACUGGAGAGGAAAUUAAUGAUGAUGAUCAAGGUACUUCGGAUCAAGUUGCUACUGAACUUCGUAGGUACACAAGGACACGUUCCACACCAGAGUGGUAUGGCAACCCUGUCCUGGAAAUCAUGUUGUUAGACAACGGUGAACCUUCGAACUAUGAAAAAGCGAUGGCGGGCCCAGAUUCCAACAAAUGGCUUGAAGGCAUGCAAUCCGAGAUAGAAUCCAUGUAUGAAAACAAAGUAUGGACUUUGACAGACUUGCCCGAUGAUCGGCGAGCGAUAGAAAACAAAUGGAUCUUUAAGAAGAAGACGGACGCGGAUGGUAAUGUUACCAUCUAUAAAGCUUGACUUGUCGCUAAGGGUUAUCGGCAAGUUCAAGGGGUUGACUACGAUGAGACUUUCUCUCCCGUAGCAAAGCUGAAGUCCGUCCGAAUCAUGUUAGCAAUUGCCGCAUACUAUGAUUAUGAGAUAUGGCAGAUGGACGUCAAAACGGCAUUCCUUAACGACUAUCUUAAGGAAGAACUAUAUAUGAUGCAGCCGGAGGGUUUUGUCGAUCCUAAGAAUGCUAACAAGGUAUGCAAGCUCCAGCGAUCCAUUUAUGGGCUGGUGCAAGCAUCUCGGAGUUGGAACAUUUGCUUUGAUGAGAUGAUCAAAGCGUUUGGGUUUAUGCAGACUUAUGGAGAAGCCUGCGUUUACAAGAAAGUGAGUGGGAGCUCUAUAGCAUUUCUCAUAUUAUAUGUAGAUGACAUACUUUUGAUGGGAAAUGAUAUAGAACUUUUCGACAGCAUUAAGGCCUACUUGAAUAAGUGUUUUUCAAUGAAGGACCUUGGAGAAGCUGCUUACAUAUUAGGCAUCAAGAUCUAUAGGGAUAGAUCGAGACGCCUCAUAGGUCUUUCACAAAGCACAUACCUUGAUAAGAUAUUGAAGAAGUUCAAAAUGGAUCAGUCCAAGAAAGGGUUCUUGCCUGUAUUGCAAGGUGUGAGAUUGAGCUCGGCUCAAUGCCCGACCACGGCAAAAGAUAAAGAAGAGAUGAGUGUCAUCCCCUAUGCCUUAGCCAUAGGAUCUAUUAUGUAUGCCAUGCUGUGUACCAGACCUGAUGUAAACCUUGCCGUAAGUUUGGUAGGAAGGUACCAAAGUAAUCCCGGCAAGGAACACUGGACAGCGGUCAAGAAUAUCCUGAAGUACCUGAAAAGGACAAAUGACAUGUUUCUUGUUUAUGGAGGUGACGAAGAGCUCGUCGUAAAGGGUUACGUUGACGCUAGCUUCGACACAGAUCUGGAUGACUCUAAGUCACAAACCGGAUACGUGUAUAUGUUGGAUCGUGGAGCAGUAAGCUGGUGCAGUUGCAAGCAGAGCGUCGUGGCGGGAUCUACAUGUGAAGCGGAGUACAUGGCAACCUCGGAGGCAGCACAUGAAUCAAUAUGGAUGAAGGAGUUCAUCACCGACCUAGGAGUCAUACCCAAUGCGUCGGGGCCAAUCACUCUCUUCUGUGACAACACUGGAGCUAUUGCCCUAGCCAAGGAGCCCAGGUUUCACAAGAAGACCAGGCACAUCAAGCGUCGUUUCAACUCCAUCCGUGAAAAUGUUCAAGAUGGAGACAUAGAUAUUUGCAAAGUACAUACGGAUCUGAAUGUCGCAGAUCCAUUGACUAAACCUCUUCCGCGAGCAAAACAUGAUCAACACCAGAACUCUAUGGGUGUUCGAUUCAUCACAAUGUAACUAGAUUAUUGACUCUAGUGCAAGUGAGAGACUAUUGGAAAUAUGCCCUAGAGGCAAUAAUAAAAGAAUUAUUAUUAUAUUUCCUUGUUCGUGAUAAUUGUCUUUUAUUCAUGCUAUAAUUGUAUUAUCCGGAAAUCUUAAUACACGUGUGAAUACACAGACCACAAUAUGUCCCUAGUGAGCCUCUAGUUGACUAGAUCAUUGAUCAACAGAUAGUCAUGGUUUCCUGACUAUGGACAUUGGAUGUCAUUGAUGACGGGAUCACAUCAUUAGGAGAAUGAUGUGAUGGACAAGACCCAAUCCUAAGCAUAGCACAAGAUCGUGUAGUUCGUUUUGCUAGAGCUUUUCCAAUGUCAAGUAUCUUUUCCUUAGACCAUGAGAUCGUGUAACUCCCGGAUACCGUAGAAGUGCUUUGGGUGUACCAAACGUCACAACGUAACUGGGUGACUAUAAAGGUGCACUACACGUAUCUCCGAAAGUGUCUGUUGGGUUGACACGGAUCGAGACUGGGAUUUGUCACUCCGUAUGACGGAGAGGUAUCUCUGGGCCCACUCGGUAAUGCAUCAUCAUAAUGAGCUCAAAGUGACCAAGUGUCUGGUCACGGGAUCAUGCAUUACGAUAUGAGUAAAGUGACUUGCCGGUAACGAGAUUGAACGAGGUAUUGGGAUACCGACGAUCGAAUCUCGGGCAAGUAACGUACCGAUUGACAAAGGGAAUUGUAUACAGGGUUGCUUAAAUCCUCGACAUCGUGGUUCAUCCGAUGAGAUCAUCAAGGAGUAUGUGGGAGCCAACAUGGGUAUCCAGAUCCCGCUAUUGGUUAUUGACCGGAGAGCCUUCUCGGUCAUGUCUACAUGUCUCCCGAACCCGUAGGGUCUACGCACUUAAGGUUCGGUGACGCUAGGGUUGUAUGAAUAUGAGUAUGCAGCAAACCGAAAGUUGUUCGGAGUCCCGGAUGAGAUCCCGAACGUCACGAGGAGUUCCGGAAUGGUCCGGAGGUAAAGAAUUAUAUAUGGGAAGUUAAGUUUCGGCCAUCGGGAAAGUUUCGGGGGUCACCGGUAUUGUACCGGGACCACCGAAAGGGUCCCGGUGGUCCACCGGGUGGGGACACCCAUCCCGGAGGGCCCCAUGGGCUGAAGUGGGAGGGGAACCAGCCCCUGGUGGGCUGGUGCGCCCCCCCCCUGGGCCCCCCUCUGCGCCUAGGGUUGGGAACCCUAGGGGAGGGGGCGCCUCCACUUGCCUUGGGGGGCACUCCACCCCCCUGGCCGCCGCCCCCCAGGAGAUCCCAUCUCCUAGGGCCGGCUCCCCCCUGGGGUCCCUAUAUAAAGGGGGGGUGGGAGGACAGCCACACCCUGACAUCUGGCACCUCCCCACCCCCCUUGCUACACCUCCUCCUCCCGUAGUCGCUUGGCGAAGCCCUGCUGGAACCCUGCUGCAUCCACCACCACACCGUCGUGCUGCUGGAUCUUCAUCAACCUCUCCUUCCCCCUUGCUGGAUCAAGAAGGAGGAGACGUCACGCUGACCAUACGUGUGUUGAACACGGAGGUGCCGUCCGUUCGGCGCUAGGAUCUCCGGUCAUUUGGAUCACGACGAGUACGACUCCCUCAACCCCGUUCUCUUGAACGCUUCCGCUCGCGAUCUACAAGGGUAUGUAGAUGCACUCCCCUCUCUCGUUGCUAGAUGAACUCAUAGAUUGAUCUUGGUGAACGUAGGAAAUUUUUUUAUUUUAUGCAACGUUCCCCAACAGGAAGCACUACACAAGCGAGAAUGUGCUUGCUGAUGUUGACUUUGAUCUGAAGUUCACAUAUGUGCUGGCUGGCUGGGAGGGGUCAGCGCAUGAUGCAAACAUUCUCACUGACAGCAUGAGUCGACCUGAUGGGAUCAACAUCCCCGACGACAAGUUCUACCUUGGAGAUGCUGGCUAUGCAUGUUGUCUGGGUAUUCUUCCACCCUUCAGGAAAACAAGGUACCAUCUCAACGAGUUCUCUGGUAGGAACUUUCCUAGGACUGCACAUGAGUUGUUUAAUCUCAGACACUCCAGCCUUAGAGUAACUGUUGAGAGGGUAUUUGGAGCUCGGAAGAAUAGGUUUAAGAUCCUGGAUCAGAAUCCAUUCCACCCAUACUCCACUCAAGUUAAGCUAGUUCUUGCUUGUUCUAUUCUGCAUAACUGGAUCCUCCAGUGGGGCUUUGAUGAACAUGUGUCUGAGGAGGAAGAGGUCAAGCCUGACGAUGUUGUUAGCUCUGGCCAUGGUGUGGAGGCAUUUGACAAUGACGCUUGGAAGAACAAAAGGUUGGAGUGGGCGGAGGCAAUGUGGCUUAACAGAGGUCAGUGCAGGAUUCGAAGAAGAGGAAGAAGAAGCAGCAGCAGCGGAAGGACAGAAGAAGAGGAAGAAGAAGAAGUAGCAGCAGAAGCAGAAGAGGAAGAUGGAGCAGCUGUUGGGUUUCGUAGUAAUUUCAAAAAAUUUCCUACGCACACGCAAGAUCAUGUGAUGCAUAGCAACGAGGGGAAGAGUAUUGUCUACGUACCCUACGCAGACCGACUGCGGAAGCGAUGACACGACGUAGAGAAAGUAGUCGUACGUCUUCACGAUCCAACCGAUCAAGCACCGAAACUACGGCACCUCCGAGUUCGAGCACACGUUCAGCUCGAUGACGAUCCCCGGACUCCGAUCCAGCAAAGUGUCGGGGAAGAGUUCCGUCAGCACGACGGCGUGGUGACGAUCUUGAUGAACUACAGCAGUAGGGCUUCGCCUAAACUCCGCUACAGUGUUAUCGAGGAAUAUGGUGGCAGGGGGCACCGCACACGGCUAAGGAAUCGAUCACGUGGAUCAACUUGUGUCAACUUGUGUGUUUAGAGGUGCCCCUGCCUCAGUAUAUAAAGGAGCCAAGGGAGGGAGGAGGCGCCGUCCAGGAGGAGGUGGCGCAGGAGGAGUCCUACUCCUACCGGGAGUAGGACUCCCCUCCAAUCCUAUUCCAACUAGGAAUCCCCAAAGGGGAAAGAGGGAGAGGGGUGGCCGGCCACCUCUCCUAGUCCUAAUAGGACUAGGGGAAGGGGGGAGGCGCGCAGCCCCCUUGGGCUGCCCCUUUCUCCUUUCCACUAAGGCCCAUGAUGGCCCAUAUGGCUCCCGGGGGGUUCCGGUAACCUCCCGGUAACCCGGUAAAAUCCCGAUUUCACCCGGAACACUUCCGAUGUCCAAACAUAGACUUCCAAUAUAUCAAUCUUUAUGUCUCGACCAUUUCGAGACUCCUCAUCAUGUCCCCGAUCUCAUCCGGGACUCCGAACUCCUUCGGUACAUCAAAACUCAUAAACUCAUAAUAUAACUGUCAUCGAAACCUUAAGCGUGCGGACCCUACGGGUUCGAGAACAAUGUAGACAUGACCGAGACACGUCUCUGGUCAAUAACCAAUAGCGGGACCUGGAUGCCCAUAUUGGCUCCUACAUAUUCUACGAAGAUCUUUAUCGGUCAGACCGCAUAACAACAUACGUUGUUCCCUUUGUCAUCGGUAUGUUACUUGCCCGAGAUUUGAUCGUCGGUAUCCAAUACCUAGUUCAAUCUCGUUACUGGCAAGUCUCUUUACUCGUUCCGUAAUACAUCAUCUCACAACUAACAUAUUAGUUGUAAUGCUUGCAAGGCUUAUGUGAUGUGUAUUACCGAGAGGGCCCAGAGAUACCUCUCCGACAAUCGGAGUGACAAAUCCUAAUCUCGAAAUACGCCACCCAACAUUGACCAUUGGAGACACCUGUAGUACUCCUUUAUAAUCACCCAGUUACGUUGUGACGUUUGGUAGUACCCAAAGUGUUCCUCCGGUAAACGGGAGUUGCAUAAUCUCAUAGUCAUAGGAACAUGUAUAAGUCAUGAAGAAAGCAAUAGCAACACACUAAACGAUCGGGUGCUAAGCUAAUGGAAUGGGUCAUGUCAAUCAGAUCAUUCUACUAAUGAUGUGACCUCGUUAAUCAAAUAACAACUCAUUGUUCAUGGUUAGGAAACAUAACCAUCUUUGAUUAACGAGCUAGUCAAGUAGAGGCAUACUAGUGACACUAUGUUUGUCUAUGUAUUCACACAUGUAUUAUGUUUCCGGUAAAUACAAUUCUAGCAUGAAUAAUAAACAUUUAUCAUGAUUAUAAGGAAAUAAAUAAUAACUUUAUUAUUGCCUCUAGGGCAUAUUUCCUUCAGUCUCCCACUUGCACUAGAGUCAAUAAUCUAGUUCACAUCACCAUGUGAUUUAACACCAAUAUUCAUAUCUGUAUAUGAUUAACACCCAUAGUUCACAUCAUCAUGUGACCAACACCCAAAGGGUUUUACUAGAGUCAAUAAUCUAGUUCACAUCGCUUAUGUGAUUAACACCCAAAGAGUACUAAGGUGUGAUCAUGUUUUGCUCGUGAGAGAAGCUUAGUCAACGGGUCUGUCACAUUCAGAGCCGUAUGUAUUUUGCAAAUAUUCUAUGUCUAAAAUGCUCUGUACGGAGCUACUCUAGCUAAUCGCUCCCACUUUCAAUAUGUAUCCAGAUUGAGACUUAGAGUCAUCUGGAUCAGUGUAAAAGUUUGCACUGAUGUAACUUUUACAACAAACUCUUUUAUCACCUCCAUAAUCGAGAAACAUUUCCUUAGUCUUUACUAAGGAUAUUCUUGACCAAUGUCCAGUGAUCUACUCCUAGAUCACUAUUGUACUCCCUUGCCAAAUACAGAGCAAGGUAUACAAUAGGUCUGGUACAAAGCAUAGCAUACUUUAUAGAACCUAUGACUAAGGCAUAGGGAAUGACUUUUCAUUCUUUUUCUAUUUUCUGCUGUGGUCGGGAUUUGAGUCUUACUCAAUUUCAUACCUUUGCAACACAGGCAAGAACUCUUUCUUUAACUGUUCCAUUUUGAACUAUUUCAAAAUCUUGCCAAGGUAUGUACUCAUUGAAAAUCUUAUCAAGCGUCUUGAUCUAUCUCAAUAGAUCUUGAUGCUCAAUAUAUAAGUAGCUUUUUACUGAGGUCUUUUCUUUUUAAAGAACUCCUUUAAAACACUCCUUUAUGCUUUGCAGAAAAAUUCUACAUCAUUUCUGAUCAACAAUAUGUCACUCACAUAUACUAAUCAGAAAGGCUGUAGUGCUCCCACUCACUUUAUUGUAAAUACAGGCUUCAUCGUAAGUCCAUAUAAAACUAUAUGCUUUGAUCAACUUAUCAAAGCGUAUAUUCCAACUCCGAGAUGCUUGCACCAGUCCACAGAUGGAUCGCUGGAGUUUGCAUAUUUAGUUAACGCCUUUAGGAACGACAAAACCUUCUAGUUGCAUCGUAUACAACUCUUCUUUAGUAAAUCCAUUAAGGAAUGCAGUUUUGUUUAUCCAUUUGCCAGAUUUCACAAAAUGCGGCAAUUGCUAACAUGAUUCGGAUAGACUUAAGCAUCGAUACGAGUGAGAAAACCUCAUCGUAUUCAACACCUUGAACUUGUUGAAAAACUUUUGCAACAAGUCGAGCUUGGUAGAUAGUAACACUACUAUCAACGUCCGUCUUCCUCUUGAAGAUCCAUUUAUUCUCAAUUGCUUGCCGAUCAUCGGGCAAGUCAACCAAAGUCCAUACUUUGUUCUCAUACAUGGAUCCCAUCUCAGAUUUCAUGGCUUCAAGCCACUUUGCGGAAUCUGGGCUCACCAUCGCUUCUUCAUAGUUCGUAGGUUCAUCAUGAUCUAGUAGCAUGACUUCCAGAACAGGAUUUCCGUACCACUCUGGCGCGGAUCUUACUCUGGUUGAUCUACGUGGUUCAGUAGUAUCUUGAUCUGAAGUUUCAUGAUCAUUAUCAUUGGCUUCCUCACUAACCGGUGUAGGUGUCACUGAAACAGUUUUCUGUGAUGAACUACUCUCCAGUAAGGGAGCAGGUACAGUUACCUCGUCAAGUUCUACUUUCCUCCCACUCACUUCUUUCGAGAGAAACUCCUUCUCCAGAAAGUUUCCGAAUUUAGCAACAAAAGUCUUGCCUUCGGAUCUGUGAUAGCAGGUGUAUCCAAUAGUUUCCUUUGGAUAUCCUAUGAAGACGCACUUCUCCGAUUUGAGUUUGAGCUUAUCAGGAUGAAACUUUUCAUAUAAGCAUCGCAACCCCAAAUUUAAGAAACGACAGCUUAGGUUUCUUGCCAAACCAUAGUUCACACGGUGUCGUCUUAACGGAUUUAGAUGGUGCCCUAUUUAACGUGAAUGCAGCUGUCUCUAAUGCAUAACCCCAAAACGAUAGUGGUAGAUCGGUAAGAGACAUCAUAGAUCGCACCAUAUCUAAUAAAGUACGGUUAUGACGUUCGGACACACCAUUACAUUGUGGUGUUCUAGGUGGCAUGAGUAGUGAAACUAUUUCACAUUGUUUUUAACUGAAGGCCAAACUCGUAACUCAAAUACUCUUCUCUACGAUCAGAUCGUAGAAACUUUAUUUUCUUGUUACGAUGAUUUUUCACUUCACUCUGAAAUUCUUUGAACUUUUCAAAUGUUUCAGACUUAUGUUUCAUCAAGUAGAUAUACUCAUAUCUGCUCAAAUCAUCUGUGAAGAUCAGAAAAUAAUGAUACUUGCCACGAGCAUCAACACUCAUUGGAUUGCAUACAUCGGUAUGUGUUAUUUCCAAUAAGUCAGUAGCACGUUCCAUUGUUCUGGAUAACGGAGUUUUAGUCAUCUUGCCCAAAAGGCACGGUUCGCAAGCAUCAAAUGAUUCAUAACCAAGUGAUUCCGAAAAUCCAUCUUUAUGGAGUAUCUUCAUGCGCUUUACACCGAUAUGACCCAAACGGCUGUGCCACAAAUAAGUUGCACUAUCAUUAUUAACUUUGCAUCUUUUGGUUUCAAUAUUAUGAAUAUGUGUAUCACUACGAUCGAGAUCCAAUGAACCAUUUUCAUUGGGUGUGUAACCAUAUAAGGUUUUAUUCAUGUAAACAGAACAACAUUUUAUUCUCUUACUUAAAUGAAUUACCGUAUUGCAAUAAACAUGAUCAAAUCAUAUUCAUGUUCAACGCCAACACCAAAUAACACUUAUUUAGUUUCAACACUAAUCCCGAAAGUAUACGGAGUGUGCGAUGGUCAUAUCAAUCUUGGAACUACUUCCAACACUCAUCGUCACUUCCCCUUCAACUAGUCUUUGUUUAUUCUGCAACUCCCGUUUCGAGUUUACUAAUCUUAGCAACUGAACUAGUAUCAAAUACUGAGGGGUUGCUAUAAACACUAGUAAAGUACACAUCAAUACCUGUAUAUCAAAUAUACCCUUUUUCACUUUGCCAUCCUUCUUAUCCACCAAAUAUUUAGGGUAGUUCCGCUUCCAGUGACCAUUUCCUUUGCAGUGUAAGCACUCAGUUUCAGGCUUUGGUUCAGCUUUGGGCUUCUUCGUGGGAGUGACAACUUGCUUGUCAAUCUACUUGAAGUUCCCCUUUCUUUCCCUUUGCCCUUUUCUUGAAACUAGUGAUCUUUUCAACCAUCAACACUUGAUGCUCUUUCUUGAUUUCUACCUUCGUUGAUUUCAACAUCACGAAGAGCUCGGGAAUCAUUUUCAUCAUCCCUUGCAUACUAUAGUUCAUCACGAAGUUCUACUAACUUGGUGAUGGUGACUAGAGAAUUCUGUCAAUCACUAUCUUAUCUGGAAGAUUAACUCCCACUUGAUUCAAGCGAUUGAAGUACCCAGACAAUCUGAGCACAUGCUCACUAGUUGAGCGAUUCUCCUCCAUCUUUUAGCUAUAGAACUUGUUGGAGACUUCAUAUCUCUCAACUCGGGUAUUUGCUUGAAAUAUUAACUUCAAUUCCUGGAACAUCUCAUAUGGUCCAUGACGUUCAAAACGUCUUUGAAGUCCCGAUUCUAAGCUGUUAAGCAUGGUGCACUAAACUAUCAAGUAGUCAUCAUAUUAAGCUAGCCAGACGUUCAUAACUUCUGCAUCUGCUCCUGCAAUAGGUCUGUCACCUAGCGGUGCAUUAAGGACAUAAUUCUUCUGUGCAGCAAUGAGGAUAAACCUCAGAUCACGGAUCGAAUCCGCAUCAUUGCUACUAACAUUUUUCAACACAAUAUUCUCUAGGAACAUAUCAAAAUAAACAUAUGAGAGCAACAACGCAAGCUAUUGAUCUACAACAUAAUUUGCAAAAUACUACCAGGACUAAGUUCAUGAUAAAUUUAAGUUCAAUUAAUCAUAUUACUUAAGAACUCCCACUUAGAUAGACAUCCCUCUAAUCCUCUAAGUGAUCACGUGAUCCAAAUCAACUAAACCAUAACCGAUCAUCACGUGAGAUGGAGUAGUUUUCAAUGGUGAACAUCGUUAUGUUGAUCAUAUCUACUAUAUGAUUCACGCUCGACCUUUCGGUCUCUGUGUUCCGAGGCCAUAUCUGCAUAUGCUAGGCUUGUCAAGUUUAACCUGAGUAUUCUGCGUGUGCAAAACUGGCUUGCACCCGUUGUAGAUGGACGUAGAGCUUAUCACACCCGAUCAUCACGUGGUGUCUGGGCACGACGAACUUUGGCAACGGUGCAUACUCAGGGAGAACACUUCUUGAUAAUUUAGUGAGAGAUCAUCUUAUAAUGCUACCGUCAAUCAAAGCAAGAUAAGAUGCAUAAAAAGAUAAACAUCACAUGCAAUCAAUAUAAGUGAUAUGAUAUGGCCAUCAUCAUCUUGUGCUUGUGAUCUCCAUCUCCGAAGCACCGUCAUGAUCACCAUCGUCACCGGCGCGACGCCUUGAUCUCCAUCGUAGCAUCGUUGUCGUCUCGCCAAUCUUAUGCUUCCACGACUAUCACUACCGUUUAGUAAUAAAGUAAAGCAUUACAUCGCGAUUGCAUUGCAUACAAUAAAGCGACAACCAUAUGGCUCCUGCCAGUUGCCGAUAACUUGGUUACAAAACAUGAUCAUCUCAUACAAUAAAAUUCAGCAUCAUGCCUUGACCAUAUCACAUCACAACAUGCCCUGCAAAAACAAGUUAGACGUCCUCUACUUUGUUGUUGCAUGUUUUACGUGGCUGCUACGGGCUUAAGUAAGAACCAAUCUCACCUACGCAUCAAAACCACAACAAUAGUUUGUCAAAUAGACUCCGUUUUAACCUUCGCAAGGACCGGGCGUAGCCAUACUUGGUUCAACUAAAGUUGGAGAGGCAGUCGCCCGCAAGCCAUCUCUGUGCAAAGCACGUCGAGGGAACCGGUCUCGCGUAAGCGUACGCGUAAGGUUGGUCCGGGUCGUCUCGUCCAACAAUACCGCCGAACCAAAGUAUGACAUGCUGGUAGGCAGUAUGACUUGUAUCGUCCACAACUUACUUGUGUUCUACUCGUGCAUAUAACAUCAACAUCAAUAACCUAGGCUCGGAUGCCACUGUUGGGUUUCGUAGUAAUUUCAAAAAAUUUCCUACGCACACGCAAGAUCAUGUGAUGCAUAGCAACGAGGGGAAGAGUAUUGUCUACGUACCCUACGCAGACCGACUGCGGAAGCGAUGACACGACGUAGAGAAAGUAGUCGUACGUCUUCACGAUCCAACCGAUCAAGCACCGAAACUACGGCACCUCCGAGUUCGAGCACACGUUCAGCUCGAUGACGAUCCCCGGACUCCGAUCCAGCAAAGUGUCGGGGAAGAGUUCCGUCAGCACGACGGCGUGGUGACGAUCUUGAUGAACUACAGCAGCAGGGCUUCGCCUAAACUCCGCUACAGUGUUAUCGAGGAAUAUGGUGGCAGGGGGCACCGCACACGGCUAAGGAAUCGAUCACGUGGAUCAACUUGUGUCAACUUGUGUGUUUAGAGGUGCCCCUGCCUCAGUAUAUAAAGGAGCCAAGGGGGGGAGGAGGCGCCGGCCAGGAGGAGGUGGCGCAGGAGGAGUCCUACUCCUACCGGGAGUAGGACUCCCCUCCAAUCCUAUUCCAACUAGGAAUCCCCAAAGGGGAAAGAGGGAGAGGGGUAGCCGGCCACCUCUCCUAGUCCUAAUAGGACUAGGGGAAGGGGGGAGGCGCGCAGCCCCCUUGGGCUGCCCCUUUCUCCUUUCCACUAAGGCCCAUGAUGGCCCAUAUGGCUCCCGGGGGGUUCCGGUAACCUCCCGGUAACCCGGUAAAAUCCCGAUUUCACCCGGAACACUUCCGAUGUCCAAACAUAGACUUCCAAUAUAUCAAUCUUUAUGUCUCGACCAUUUCGAGACUCCUCGUCAUGUCCCCGAUCUCAUCCGGGACUCCGAACUCCUUCGGUACAUCAAAACUCAUAAACUCAUAAUAUAACUGUCAUCGAAACCUUAAGCGUGCGGACCCUACGGGUUCGAGAACAAUGUAGACAUGACCGAGACACGUCUCUGGUCAAUAACCAAUAGCGGGACCUGGAUGCCCAUAUUGGCUCCUACAUAUUCUACGAAGAUCUUUAUCGGUCAGACCGCAUAACAACAUACGUUGUUCCCUUUGUCAUCGGUAUGUUACUUGCCCGAGAUUUGAUCGUCGGUAUCCAAUACCUAGUUCAAUCUCGUUACCGGCAAGUCUCUUUACUCGUUCCGUAAUACAUCAUCUCACAACUAACAUAUUAGUUGUAAUGCUUGCAAGGCUUAUGUGAUGUGUAUUACCGAGAGGGCCCAGAGAUACCUCUCCGACAAUCGGAGUGACAAAUCCUAAUCUCGAAAUACGCCAACCCAACAUCGACCAUUGGAGACACCUGUAGUACUCCUUUAUAAUCACCCAGUUACGUUGUGAUGUUUGGUAGUACCCAAAGUGUUCCUCCGGUAAACGGGAGUUGCAUAAUCUCAUAGUCAUAGGAACAUGUAUAAGUCAUGAAGAAAGCAAUAGCAACACACUAAACGAUCGGGUGCUAAGCUAAUGGAAUGGGUCAUGUCAAUCAGAUCAUUCUACUAAUGAUGUGACCUCGUUAAUCAAAUAACAACUCAUUGUUCAUGGUUAGGAAACAUAACCAUCUUUGAUUAACGAGCUAGUCAAGUAGAGGCAUACUAGUGACACUAUGUUUGUCUAUGUAUUCACACAUGUAUUAUGUUUCCGGUAAAUACAAUUCUAGCAUGAAUAAUAAACAUUUAUCAUGAUUAUAAGGAAAUAAAUAAUAACUUUAUUAUUGCCUCUAGGGCAUAUUUCCUUCAACAGCAACACCGAUGAACUAUCCCCUAUUUAGCCAAUGGCUCUUAAUAAUUUGAACUGUCAUUUGAUUGUAGUUAGGAUGAACUGUCAUUUGUUUAACUAGCUGGCACUAUGUUCAGAUUGUGUGUGGUAAGGUCACCCCUAGUUAGAAGUGGUGAUAACACCUUAUGCAGGUUGCAACCAAACACCAUGUCAUAUGUGCACCUAAUGUAACGCGGGCAACCAAACGCCAGGUUAAAAAUGGUUGUCUCAUGCAACUAGGGGCUUGCAGGCAACCAAACUAUGUGCACCUAUUUUUUUAGCAUGCAUCCCCUCAAACUGCCUCAAUAGAGUCAGGCUCGCCGGGCCAGGCUGAAUCAGCAAUGUAACCAAACACGCCCUUUGGGCAUGUUUGGUUGCCCACAUCGAGCCCACCCAGGCCCGCGCUGGAAGGGAGAGGCCUGUUUGGUUGGUUGGUUUUCCUAUUGGGCCUGCAUCCCACGCUUCUCAAAGUAGCCCAGAGCCUGGCUCACUUGAAACCCUCGGAUCGGUAGUUUCUUGCGAGCCAGGCUGAGUGCGGCACGAGGUCGCACGGGCGGGAGCGAGGCGAGGGCGAGGGGGGAUGGCGGAGAUGGAAAUCUGCCAAAUUAGCCUCACCCCCUUUCACUCGCUCACCCAUAGCCACUGCCCCCCUUUCUUCGCUACUGCCUCACCACCAGCGGCGACUGUGAUUUCAGAUCUACGCUAUAAGCGAUGGCGAUGGCGGAAGAGGCGGCGGCGUUUGCGGCAGAUCUGGUGCUCCCUUUGUUGUUGGCCACCGUCUGGUCGACCUAGUCUGUGCCAUGGCUCCCCCUACGCCGUCCUCGUCUUCGAUGCCGAUAAGCAGCACCCCCUCCCCCCUUUGUUAGCACAGUGGUUAGGGCGCUAAGCUAGGUGUAGGAUCGAUUUCCCACUGAAUGAACCGUCGAUGUCGAUUAGGUUAUGGACGCACGGAUGAGGCUGAUAAUCCAGGCGGCAACACUGAUUAGUGUGGUUCAGGCAUGGGUCAUGUUCAUACACCAGAGAGUUGUUUGUCGUGCUGGGAGACCUUUGUGAAGGAAAUAUGCCCUACAGGCAAUAAUAAAGUUAUUAUUUAUUUCCUUAUAUCAUGAUAAAUGUUUAUUAUUCAUGCUAGAAUUGUAUUAACCGGAAACAUGAUACAUGUGUGAAUACAUAGACAAACAUAUAGUCACUAGUAUGCCUCUAUUUGACUAGCUCAUUAAUCAAAGAUGGUUUUGUUUCCUAACCAUAGACAUGUGUUGUAAUUUGAUUAACGGGAUCACAUCAUUAGGAGAAUGAUGUGAUUGACUUGACCCAUUCCGUUAGCUUAGCACUUGAUCGUUUAGUAUGUUGCUAUUGCUUUCUUCAUGACUUAUACAUGUUCCUGUAACUAUGAGAUUAUGCAACUCCCGUUUACCGGAGGAACACUUUGGGUGCUACCAAAAGUCACAAUGUAACUGGGUGAUUAUAAAGGAGUACUACAGGUGUCUCCAAAGGUACAUGUUGAGUUGGCGUAUUUCGAGAUUAGGUUUUGUCACUCCGAUUGUCGGAGAGGUAUCUCUGGGCCCUCUCGGUAGUGCACAUCUUUAUAAGCCUUGCAAGCGAUGUGACCAAAUGAGUUGGUUACGAAAUGAUGCAUUACGGAACGAGUAAAGAGACUUGUCGGUAACGAGAUUGAACUAGGUAUUGGAUACCGACGAUCAAAUCUCGGGCAAGUAACAUACCGAUGACAAAGGGAACAAAGUAUGUUGUUAUGCGGUUUGACCGAUAAAAAUCUUCGUAGAAUAUGUAGGAGCCAAUAUGGGCAUCCAGGUUCCGUUAUUGGUUAUUGACCAAGAAUAGUUCUAGGUCAUGUCUACAUAGUUGUCGAACCCGUAGGGUCCGCACGCUUAAGGUUUUGAUGACAGUUAUAUUAUGAGUUUAUGAGUUUUGAUGUACCGAAGGAGUUCGGAGUCCCGGAUGAGAUCGGGGACAUGACGAGGAGUCUCGAAAUGGUCGAGACGUAAAGAUCGAUAUAUUGGACGACUAUAUUCGGAGUUCGGAAAGGUUCCGAGUGAUUCGGAUAUUUUCGGGGAUACCGGGGAGUUACGGGAAUACGAGGAAGAAGCAAUGGGCCUCAUGGGCCAAGUGGUGGAAGAGAGGAGGCAGGGCGCGCGGCCCCCCUAGCCCAAACCGAAUUGGACUAGGGGGCCGGCCCCCCUUUCCUCCUUUUCCUCCCUCUCCUUCCUUCUCCUUCUCCUUCCCUUCCUUCCCCUCUCCUACUUGGACUAGGAAAGAGGGGGAAUCCUACUUGGAGUAGGAUUCUCCCCCUUGGGCGCGCCUCCUCCUACUUGGCCGGCCCUCCUCCCCUUGCUCCUUUAUAUACGGGGGCAGGGGGCACCCCAUGACACACAAGUUGAUCUACGGAUCGUUCCUUAGCCGUGUGCGGUGCCCCCCUCCAUCAUAUUCCACCUCGGUCAUAUCGUCGCAGAGUUUAGGCGAAGCCCUGCGCCGGUAGAACAUCAUCAUCGUCACCACGCCGUCGUGCUGACGGAACUCAUCCCCGAAACUUUGCUGGAUCGGAGCCCGGGGAUCGUCAUCGAGCUGAACGUGUGCUGAACUCGGAGGUACCGUACGUUCGGUGCUUGGAUCGGUCGGAUCGUGAAGACGUACGACUACAUCAACCGCGUUGUGCUAACGCUUCCGCUUACGGUCUAUGAGGGUACGUGGACAACACUCUCCCCUCUCGUUGCUAUGCCAUCACCAUGAUCUUGUGUGUGCGUAGGAAUUUUUUUGAAAUUACUACGUUCCCCAACACUUUGAUCCGCUAUGGUCCAUUGUUUCCCCAGGAACAGGAGAGGAUCCAAAAUCUGAACUACAUCUACAACUGCAAUCACGUCGAGGCUCUGUGGAUGCUUAGAAUGAAAAGAGCACCAUUUGCCAGGCUUGUCGAGACCUUCAGGAGCAGGGGCCUGUUACAAGAUAGCAUCAACACCAGUGUCGAAGAGCAAGUGGCCAUGUUCCUCCAUGUUGUUGGCCAUAACCAGAGGUUCAGGGUCAUUCACAACACAUUCAGGAGAUCAAUGGAGACCAUCUUUAGGUACUUCAAGCAGGUGCUUUUUGCUGUUGGGGAGCUUAGAGGAGAGAUGAUCAGGAGACCAUCUGGCUAGAGUCCACCCAAGAUUCGCGGAAGCCCAAGAUGGUAUCCAUGCUUCAAGGUGAGCAUUGACAAUAUACACUUUUCAUGACUUGAUAUGCUUGUAUUGUUCAAGUUCAGCACUAACACAGGCUAGUGAUGCCAUUUUCGGGAUUGCAUUGGGGCAACAGAUGGUACUCAUGUCACUGCCAGAGUUCCUAGGUCACAGUAUGCAACAUACAGGAGGAGGAAGCACUACACAAGCCAGAAUGUGCUUGCUGUUGUUGACUUUGAUCUGAAGUUCACAUAUGUGCUGGCUGGCUGGGAGGGGUCAGUGCAUGAUGCAAACAUUCUCACUAACAGCAUUAGUCGACCUGAUGGGAUCAACAUCCCCGACGGCAAGUUCUACCUUGGAGAUGCUGGCUCGGGUAUUCUUCCACCCUUCAGGAAAACAAGGUACCAUCUCAACGAGUUCUCUGGUAGGAACUUUCCUAGGACUGCACAUGAGUUGUUUAAUCUCAGACACUCCAGCCUUAGAGUAACUGUUGAGAGGGCAUUUGGAGCUCUGAAGAAUAGAUUUAAGAUCCUGGAUCAAAAGCCAUUCCACCCAUACUCCACUCAAGUUAAGCUAGUUCUUGCUUGUUGCAUUCUGCAUAAUUGGAUUCUCCAGUGGGGCUUUGAUGAACACGUGCCUGAGGAGGAAGAGGUCGAGCCUGACGAUGUUGUUAGCUCUGGCCAUGGUGUGGAGGCAUUUGACAACGACGCUUGAAAGAACAAAAGGUUGAAGUGGGCAGAGGCAAUGUGGCAACAGAGGUCAGUGCAGGAUUUGAAGAAGAGGAAGAAGAAGCAGCAACAGCAAAAGCACAGAAGAAGAGGAAGAAGAAGAAGCAGCAGCAGAAGCAGAAGAGGAAGAUGAAGCAGCAACACCGAUGAACUAUCCCCUAUUUAGCCAAUGGCUCUUAAUAAUUUGAAUUGUCAUUUGAUUGUAGUUAAGUUGAACUGUCAUUUGUUUAACUAGCUGUCACUAUGUUCAGAUUGUGUGUGCUAAGGUCACCACUAGUUAGAAGUGGUGACCACAUCUUAUACAGGUUACAACCAAACACCAUGUCAUAUGUGCACCUAACGUAAUGCGGGCAAUCAAACGUCAGGUCAAAAAUGUUUGUCUCAUGCAACUAGGGGCAUGCAGACAACCAAACUAUGUGCAUCUGCGAUUUUUAGCCUGCAUCCCCUCAAACCGGCUCAAUAGAGCCAGGCUCGCCGAGCCAGGCUGAAUCGGCAAUGUAACCAAACAAGCCCUUUGUGAAUCAAGAGGCUGCGUGCUUGUGUUUGAGAGACGUGCCGUUUUCCACGCUAGCUACAAGGUGCCAAAGGACAUGUGGAGUGGGCGAUCGGACGAGGCUGUGGGUGAUGCGUGAGCCCUGGACUCUGCCCGUGGACUGGAGGAAGGAGCACGUGGCUCGCUCGGGCACCGCGAGGCUUCCAUCUUCCAGAAGCCGACCCCAUUUGACCCUUCCCUGUUGCAGGAGGGAGCUGACGCAUACUGCUGACCACUCCGAUGUAAAAAUCGCCCAAUGCAAAGCAUCACCCCCGGGAAUGAAAUUAAGUCAAACAACAUUUGCUCGGCGGGGGUCACGAGAAGGGGACGCGAUCAUGGGUUAAAUUGCACCUUGAUUAAGGGCUUAAGGAGCGGCUCCAUGCCUGCAGUUUCUUGUUCCCGCGCAUAAGGCUCUGAUGCAUAGGGAUCGUCGACGUGCUAUCAAAUACAGUACGUACUCCCUACAAGGAUGAUCUCACCGUGUUUCUCAAUUUUGGUAAAGAAUCCAUGCAACCGUUUUACUUCCAAAUAGGAAGAAGAAUGAAAGGAACAGAUCUGCAUCCAGUUGCAGGCGCUCCUUCUAAUAGACGACGAAUCAAUUCUAUUAAGAUCUUGUUUGUUUGGGCUUUGCUUCUGUUUUUACAGUUUUUUUAACUCUAGCAAAAAGCCAAAAAAUACUUGUAAAUACUCCCUCCGUUUCAAAAUAGAUGACCCAACUUUGUACUAACUUUAGUACAAAGUUGGGUCAUCUAUUUUGGAACGGAGGGAGUACAUCUUUUAAUUCUACUUUUGAUGUAUGAAUCAAUAUUUGUAUAAUGAUGGUAUAAGUCAAAAGCCGAAGCAAAAACCCUAUUUAGGAGCUUUUGUGGCGCAAAUUAACAAAUAGCACGUGUUUUCCCUACCCUAGCCACCGCCACCAGAAAGGCGACUAGGGAGGUGAUCUCUUUCCACCGAUCUCCACCGGCCGAAGCGCUGGCCCCCUCUCUCUCCGGUUGCUGCUCUGGCGGCAGGAGCGAGGGGGGACCCCGUUCCUUCGCUCUGUAGUUAGGUUUUGGAUUUGUAGGUCGUGUGCGUCGUUGGGGUGGUGGGAGCGGCGCCCGGACGAAUAAAUCUGCCUCAGCUUCACUCCCACACCGGCGGUGCCUUUCAUGGCGGUGUCUCGGAGUUGCUGGUAUCGUGUGUCUGUCGAUCUUUCAAACUUGAUAGCGUGUGUUGGCGAGGCGGCGGCGGCGACUCCAUCAUGUGUGUCUCUCCUUCUGCUCUUCCCCGUUGCUGUGAGGUUGUCUCCGGCGUCAUGGUGGAGCAGAGAGGUGUUGUCGUUCAGGAGUACGCACAGAUGGUUGUCUACGCAAGUGACAGCUGGAAGAUGGAGCAUAUUGUGUUGGAUCUGUGGUUGGAGGCUGACAGUUCUGGUUUCCUCCUCCGACGUCGUCGUCAUGCGGGGGUGUCAGUUCUGAAAUUCAAUGGCGUGUCCGGGGACAUGUUGCCCCGGUCUGAUUCUUUCAACGGCUAUGGUUUUGCUUCUGGCAAACUACUUUGGAGGACCGUAAAGCUACUCAUCAGCGAUGGAGCCGUGUCGAGUUUGGGUGAAGAGGUAAUCUGCCUUCUUACCCUUGUGGCAGGAGGAGGCGAGCAACUGAGUGGGAGGCAAGCAACGCAUCGGCCAUCCCGGCGUGGAUCUGGUGUCAAGCCUUGUGCGGAUCCUCGGGGUCGUCAGGCUCGAAGGCGAGCAAGCCGGCGACGGGACUGUUGACCUUCCUCCCGAUGCCCAUGCUCGACAUCAUCCCGUCUCCUACCUGGCGCCGCCGGUGGGAGUCCCUCGCCUGUUGUUGAAGGCACUGAAUCGAUUCAUUCAGAGGAGACAGAUGUAUGUUGAAAGCUAGCUCAAACCACCUUGAUCGAUUGAUCCAGCACCUUGUUGUGAAGCCGGCGUGGGCUAAGCUUGCUCACAUCGAUCCGAUUACAUCCAAUUCGAUUGAUCCAGUAGCUUGCUGUGAAGCCGGCAUAGGCUCACACUUGAUGUUUUUUUAUCUUUGUAUGUGUUGUUUGUUUGAUGUCAGAAUUCAACUCAGUGUAAAUAUUCAGUCAAAAAUGUCGCUGAGAAUAUAGCUACAACUGUUCAUAUUAGAUGAGCUGAACUAAAUCCAUCCGAUUCCAUCUCUUCAACCAAACACUCAAAUAUAAUCAUUCCAUUCCACUCAAUUGUUCCUACCAAACACAUGAAUGGAACCAACCCGUUCCUAUGGAAUGGAACCAUGACAUUCCAUUCUACUACGUUCUCGAACCAAACACAUCCUUAGUGGCCAUUUCGAUAGCGUCGAAGGUGAGGGACAGACGCUGAUAUUUUGCAUAGGAUUCUACUAUCUUUUCAGUUAUGUAAGGUCGGCACUUACGUGCCUUGUAACUUAGUCUUUAUUCUAUAAAUGAGAGAUGUAUACCAUGCAAAAAAAAAAGCUUUCGUACCAGUCAAAAAAAAAAGAGCUCUCGUGACAUUUUAAUCAAAAUAAAAAGCUGUAAAAAUAGAAGCGAAAGUCCAAACAAACAGGGACUAAUUCACAAGACGGGCGGAAUCAUCUUAAAUUGGAUUCCAAUUCCAUGGGGAAUCAUCUUAAAUUGGAUUCCAAUUCCAUGGGUCGACCGGCCGAUGAUUAAGUGAUCGCUACAUAUAGCAGCAUUGACUCUGAAGCUAAUAACAAGGUGACGUGAGCCGUGAGGGCUUAGGCGCAAACUCGGCCGCUCCGAAUAAAUAAAUACCUCGCCCACUGUGGCUGGAGGUAGCGCUGCCGCUCCUCCGACCACCAAACCCAUCUCUCUCACACACAAAAACUCUCUCCCUUGCACAAAAAGAAAAAUAGUCACAAAAACUCCUUCCCUUUUUUCUCCCACGGAGAAACACAUACCCCAAACCGCUUUCCGAGUUUUCUUUUCUCUCCUCUCUCGCGCACGCGUCGGAUCCCCGGCGCCGGGGGGACUCCGCCGGCUCACUCCCACGACUGGCGCGGGCAGAGGUAAUUCGCUCCCCCGCUUCUCGACGAUUUUUUUCCGGGGCGGGGGCGAUAAUUCGGGCUCCGCGGCGAGUAGGAAUCCCGCAGCUCGGAGGCCGGGAUUCGGUUCCGUGGUCGUGGAUGGCCGGCUGGGUGGGUGGGCGGGCGGUUCCGCCUCCUCUCUUCAGGGGUGGGCUGGAGGACGCGAUCAGGCGCAAAUUCGUCGCUUCGACGCUAAGCAAAGUCCAGUUUCCGCGUUUCAUCGGCAAAAAAAAUUAGGUGUCAAGUUUGCUGCGGCGGUUCAUCCCCUCCCCCGCAGGCCGCGGCAGUGGAUUCUUGCCGGUGUUCCUGCUUGAUGAAGCCAAGUUUCCAUCCCCAGAUAUGGGAGGCCCGACCCGACCCCUGUAGGAGAGGAGGACAAGAAGAGUCAUAGUCCAGUAGUAGGAGUACUAGUACUGUAAGCUGUGCAGCUACCGCCGUACACGCACCUGCAUUUUCCUCUUGUGCCGCUUGCCUGGUGCCCGCGCGUCUUGUGGUUGUUGGGGGUGGCGUUGUCUCGGAAACAACCACUUGCUCAUGCUUUUGUCAUGUCGCAUGGAUUCUGCUUCUGCAAACCCGGGCCAUCUGCUUCUCCCUUUCAAUUUUGCUCUGUUUUUUUGUUGCAUUAACGCAAGCGAUUGGAGAGCUAUCAUCAAGUCAGGCGAAUAUGUUUGUCAUGUCAAGUCACUUUCUCUGAAUAACUCACCUGUGUGUGAAUGAAGGUCAAGAGAGUUGCUGAUUUUGCUUUGCUUCGCUGAACCUGUUUGUGGCGUUGCAGUCCUGCUAGGAGCCUCGAGCAGAGCUGACCACGGCGUGCCGGAAUCUUCCGUCGUCCCUCCUCCUGACCAGCUGACUUCCGAUGGGAUGGGGAACCCUCAUAACCAGGCGCCUCAAAGUUUUUUCCUUGGCGCUCUUCGUCUACUUCGACUAUAAGGUGCGGUUGUUUGCUUCUUUCCAUGCUCUUCUUUCGACUUCUGUUGUUCUGGUGGAAGCAGAUUAACAUCUUUCUGAGGUGCAAGCAGGCUGUUCAGAAGAGAGUCCAGUGGGUUAGCGCUGUUAAGAAGAAUGCUAUAUGGGCAAAGACGCACGAGCGAAACGCUCGUCGUGUUCUCAACCUGAUGAUAGAGCUAGAAGGUUUGUGGGUCAAAAUGGGCCAGUAUCUGUCCACAAGAGCAGACGUGCUUCCUGAGCCGUACAUAGAGGUCCUGAAGCAGUUGCAGGACUCGCUUCCUCCACGCCCUCUUGAAGAGGUAUGUAUACAUUAAUUAGUGAAUGGUAGAUUGAAAAAUAAUUUAAUCAUAAGCAUUUCCAUUUUUGUAGCCAACCAAUCUGGCAACAUCAUAUAGCAUGACUUAAUGUAGUUCAUCUUAGUCUUAGUUUUGGUCUGUUGUUUGCAGGUUUGUGGAACCAUAGAAAAAGAACUUGGGAAACCCAUGCGUCAACUAUUUGCUACUUUUGACGUUGACCCUCUUGCGACCGCAUCAGUAAGUCCUGUUGCUCCCAAAUGAACUAUAUUUUCUCUGGUGUAAAUUCAUAGCAUGGUUGAACACUUCUUGACAGAUAGCACAAGUUCAUCGUGCAACUCUGGAAGACGGUAGAGAAGUGGUUGUGAAAGUUCAGCAUGAUGGUAUCAAAGAGAUCAUAUUAGAGGUUCUUUUCUUUUUUCUGGAAAUAGUGUUUGUAAGACAAGUAGGAUUGCUAUUGUAACUUUUCAUCUGUGAUCAGGAUUUGAAGAAUGCAAAAUCAUUGAUCGAAUGGAUUGCAUGGGCAGAACCUCAGUAUGAUUUCAACCCAAUGAUUGAUGAAUGGUGCAAGGAGGCACCCAAGGAACUUGAUUUCAAUCAUGAAGCAGGUAGUUCUCCUUGCUCAGAUUCUCAGGUACAGCAUUCAUAGAGAGGUUAUCAUGAUAAUGUAAGGCGCAAAAUCUACUUUCAGAGAACACUAGGACUGUCUCCAAGAAUCUUAGUCGGAAGACCGAAGGUGGGAGUGGCAGUGUUUCCAGCGAUGUUGAUGUACUGAUACCAGAAAUUAUUCAGGUCUAACUGUCAGCCCGAAUUUUAUUCUGUUUGUCUUGCAUUAGUGUUUGCAAAUCACGUGACCAUCGUCUGACCCAUUCUUCUUUGUAUCAGUCUACUGAAAAGAUUCUAAUUCUGGAAUACAUGGACGGCAUUCGCUUACAUGACAAUGAUUCAUUGGAAGAAUAUGGUGUUGAUAAGAAAAGACUCGUUGAAGAGAUAACCCGUGCUUAUGCUCAUCAAAUAUACAUUGACGGUUUCUUCAAUGGCGAUCCUCAUCCUGGUAUUGUAAUUCUAUGCUUCUUAAGGCAGAUCUUGUGUUACAUAAAUUCUGUUCUCCAAUAUUUCCAUUGGAUUUCUUUGUGUUGCUUUCACACCUUCAUACUAACAUGCUUUUCUUUUUUGUAGGCAAUUUUCUUGUAAGCAAGGAACCUCCACACAAACCGAUUCUCCUUGAUUUUGGGCUCACUAAACGCAUAUCACAAUCAAUGAAGCAGGCACUAGCAAAGAUGUUUUUGUCAUGCGCUGAGGUUUGUAACAGUUUGACCUUACAAAUAAUACACAUGGCAUCAAAGUGCGAAGUCAGUUAAGAGUAUCUUCUGUAGCUAUAAGCAACAAGCAUUUCCUUCGGAGUAACUGUUACCCCUCUUUUGUAUUAUGGUUGAGUCAAAGAAUCAUACUCCCUCUGUCCCAAAAUAGUGUCGCUGAUUUAGUACAAAGUUGUACUAACUCUGUACUAAAUCAGCGACACUUAUUUUGGGAUGGAGGGACUAUCCUUUAAUGUUGUAGAUUUUUUUUCAUGUAAUAAAUAUUGUGGCUCUUUAUCCCUGCAUUACACACCAGUGAUAUUGCAGACUGGUAGAUGACAUGAUACAUUCAACAACUACUCCCUCCGUCCCAAAAUAAGUGUCUUAACCUUAGUGCAACUUUGUACUAAACUUAGUACAAGUCUAGUACAAAGUUGAGACACUUAUUUUGGGACGGUGGGAGUAUAAGAUAAGCAAGAAAGAAUCAGGAACUAGGCUUUGUUUUUGCGACCAUGUAUUUUUCUAUAGUAAAUUAUUAAGUUUCACGCAACACUACGUGAUCAUAGACAGAAAUGUAAAUUUUGUGAGAUUUUUGCUUUAUUGUAUCUUUUGUCGUUUAUUACUAGCUUGCCACUCUUUUGUUUAAACUCUAUAAUUUACAAUCUGAGAUCGAUGUGUAGGGGGACCAAGUGGCACUGCUGUCAGCCUUUGCAGAGAUGGGGCUUAAGCUGCGAGUAGACAUGCCUCAGCAGUCUAUGGAGAUUGCCUCAAUAUUUUUUCGCCAGUCCACUACAGCAACUGAAGCGAAGGUAGGCUGAAGGCUAUCCGUUGUAGAUUUUUGUUCCUAAUACUGCAGGAAGCUGUAGUAACUGGUUGGUUGUGGUUUGUUCCUACUUAUCAGGAAAACAUUAAAGCAUUGAAUGAACAAAGAGAACGAAAUGCCAAAGCCCUUCAAGAGAAGAUGAAAUUGAACAAGAAGGAGGUUAAACAUUUCAAUCCUGUGAGUAGCCAUGCCCAGCUAAUUACUUUCCUUUAAGCUGUGUAGGGUUUGUCAACCAAGAGGCCGGUGUUAAACGUAGGUUUUCUCGCUAUCAGGUUGAUGCUUUCCCCGGGGAUGCGAUAAUUUUCAUGAGGGUCUUAAAUCUUCUUAGAGGUAUGUCUGUCUCUUGAACUUUUGUACAUUCCUCUGAUAUAGCCAGAGUCGCAGUGACAGUUUUCCAUCUAUACCUGCAGGGCUUUCAGCUUCACUCAAUGUUAGGAUAGUUUAUCUGGACAUCAUGAGGCCAUUUGCUGAAUCAACUCUGCUAGGGUGAGAUGCACGUCAUGCCUAUAUUUUGCAUCAGCUUUGUGCGGAUCAUUCUUUUCGAAUUGCUAAUAAUUUAGGCUUCAUUGAUAUCAGGAAUAUGACACGUGGGCCCUCAACUAAUGGCGAGUGGAUUUAUGACUCACCUGUUAACUCUGAAGUGGAGUCUAAACUGAGGAGUCUUCUACUGGAGAUGGGAAGCGACAAAAUUUUGGGACUACAAGUGGGUCAAAAAUCUCAUGCCACUCAUUAACAUGCAUGACAUAACUAGCAAUAUUUUGUGCUGAAAUUUCACAUCACGAUCUUACCAGCGAUAUCUGCACACGGUUGUCUUGUUGCAAUGCAGCCUUACUGAUAUUCCUCUCACAGGUAUGCGCGUACAAAGACGGAAAGGUUAUAAUAGACACCGCUGCUGGUACGCUAGGGAAAUAUGAUCCGCGCCCCGUUCAGCCUGAUUCUCUGUUUCCGGUUUUCUCUGUGACGAAGGGCAUCACUGCUGGAAUGGUACAUUGGCUCGUCGACCAAGGGUGAGUGGUUAAUUUCAGCACCAAGUUUUUUCUUAGCAUGCCACUGUAAAUCUGUUUGCAGGCCAUCGGGCUGCAUUAUGCUGUAGAAUUAGUCGUGCUAUGUGCAAUUUUUUGCUCAUCGUCAUAUUCAUCUUCAUCUUAGUUUUACUCGUACUACAUAAAAAGGGCCUAGAAGUAUAAACAUGGUAGCAUGUUGCACGGAAACAGGUAUACUAUCUCAGUAUACUCAACAUUCAGUGUACUAUGUUGCUGUAGUUUUAGUUGCAGUCUCACUUUACCCUUUCCAUUUCUUCCCUGCGUCUAAAAACGGACAGGGAUCAGGUGACUUGCCCACAGCGAGUCACGCUGUAACUUGCGGGCACCUAUCCAUUUGAUCUGAAAUGGACAGCCCAGAUCAAGUCCAGUAGCAACAAGGACUAUUCAUGAUUUACUCUUCACGAGUUACUGUAGACCGGAUCCUAUAGACGUACACUGUAGCUGCCUCAUUGUUUACGUCGAAUGGUAUAAAGAGGGUGGCAAGUCGCUAUACUGUUCUCCAGUGACUCGCCCACAGCAAGUCACCGACUGAAGGGCACCAUCCCAACCCCACUUCCCCAUGAGAUUUUUUUUUAAAAAAACCUUCCUUCCACCCAAAACCCUAAGCCGCCCCAGACCGUGGCGGUGAUGGAGGUGCCGUCGGAGAUGCUUGACGCCCUGGCAGGAUGGUUCGUGCAGAUGCUCUCCCCCGUCGCCCACCCUGGGCUUCGCGCUUUGUGGAUGUUAUUGGCAGCAUCCACGGUUGGUCGAAAAGAAGUCUCAUACAAAUGUCACACUUUUUUUUGACAUUAUGUAUGUUCUGACGCACCUAAAAGGAUCUGUGCUUCUAGUUUAGGCUUUCUAGCAUCUCAUUCUUAUGUGAAGCAGAUCCUUUGGAUCUCUGACUCUUGUGCAUGAUUCUCUUUGGAGACUACUAAGCAUCUUUUCCAUGUUACCUUAUGCUUUUAUACACUUUAUCUUGUCCAUAUAGUGACUGUAUGCUAUGAUCUUUCAGGAAGUUGAAGUAUGAAGAAACAGUUGCCGAUAUAUGGCCAAAAUUUGGGACUAACAAAAAGGAGCUAAUCAAGGUGCAAAAACUUAUUUCACUUAUGCUAUGUAAUGAGACAGUGUUUCAGGAUACUAACAGACUCAUUUGUCACUUCGCAAUAAAGGUGUACCAUCUUCUCAAUCAUACAUCUGGUUUACAUAAUGCUCUGGGAGAUGUGGUCAAAACCGAUCCUAUGUCGGUAUGUGAUUGGGAAGAGAUGCUAGACCAGAUUGCCAAAUCUACACCCGAAACUGAGCCUGGUUCAUCACAAAUUUAUCACUACCUAUCCUUUGGUUGGCUGUGCGGUGGUCUCAUAGAGGUAUAAUUAAUCUAAGAAAGUUCACUCAUACUGCUUGUGUUAUAACUUAUUUCACGAGUCCUAACACUGGCAUUUGACAAUAACAGCAUGCAUCGGGGAGGAAGUUUCAAGAGAUCCUAGAAGAGGCUAUUGUUCAUCCUCUUCACAUCGAGGGAGAGCUAUAUGUCGGAAUUCCUCCAGGUAUGUUAACAGAUCUAAAAAGAAAGUGUUUAGAUAGUGUACAAUGUAUUUCUUUGGUUUUUCCGUGAUUAUGCAAAUCGUCUUCUAUAUGCUGCUUUUCUUCAGUCUGAAAGAGUCAGAAACAGAAGUACUGGAACAAUGUUUGAAAUUUAACUUCAUGAGAAACGAAAUCCUAGGGAGAGAUUACAGCAUACCUGGAAAUAACACAUUGGAUUACUAAUUCUCCAUAUGUUGAUCAAGACAACUUUGGACUUAGCUUCUGAGAGGCACUUAUUACAAGGCUGACGUUGUUCAUAAUCUGUGCCCUUUUUAGGUGUUGAGUCUCGCCUGGCAACGCUGACCGUCGACAUGGAAGAAAUUCAGAAGCUACAAGGGAUCAAGCCAGGGCCAGACGUCCCACCAGAACUGCUGAGCGGCAUUGCGCAGAUGGCGGCUGGCGUACCAGCUAUGUUCAACACGCUGAACAUUCGCCGCGCCAUCAUACCCGCCGCCAACGGUCACUUAUCUGCCCGUGCCCUCGCUCGGUACUACGCGGCGCUGGCAGCCGGCGGCGCCAUUCCCCCGCCGCACUCCAGCAACGCCAAGCCGCUCCUGGGCAGCCACGUGCACACGCCCGCGUUCCCCACCGCCGCCACGUCCAAGAAGAAGAAGAAAGGCUCUGCAAAGAAGAGCAGCGGAAGCUCAAGCUCGAUGGAGAAGGUCGAGUACGCCCAGCUACGCACCAGCGACGCCGACAGCGAAGUGUCGGUGGCUGCAUCAGGGAGCACCGGCGGCAGGUUGUUCAGCAACAGCGACAGCGGCAUCAUGGACGCGUUCAUGGGCGGCGGCGAGUACUCGGGCAUGAUCCACCCAAACAGCAAGUUCGGGCUCGGGUUCAGGAGGUACGGCAGGUCCGGCGCACCGCCGACGGGGUUCGGGCACUCCGGGAUGGGCGGGUCGAACGGGUUCUGCGACCCGGAGCACGGGUUCGCCAUCGCCGUGACGGUGAACAAGAUGGCGCUGGGGUCCGUCACGCGGCGCGUGGUGCGGUUCGUGUGCGAGGAGCUGGGCGUGCCGGUGCCCGACGAGUUCUCCGUCGCCGGGGAGAAGGGGCCCGACAUGGUGCUCAACCUCGCGCCGCCGGCGGAGUAGGUUGACCUGUAGUAGGAAUUUGAAAGGCACGGCAUUAAUUAACACGGUAGAUAUUUAAUACACACGCGCGGGGGUCAUUUUGACGGGGCGUUUUACACUGUAAAACUUCAGUAGCGGCUUGUACGUAUGGAAAUGUAAUUCUUGAUGUGAAUGAUGGCAGAGAAUCCAAAAUUGGCUCUAAUACGUCAAUUAUUUGUUGAACUUUGCUCAGUGCCGUUACAAAUACUCUCGAUCUAAACGCUCUUAUAUUUCGAGGGAGUACCAGAUUUAUUCGCUACAACUCCCUCUACCAACUGGAGUAAAUAUCAUAGUAACGACAUCUUCAAUGGCAACCCGCAAAUUUUCUUCUGCAUCUGUCUGCGGUAGCUAUCCAACUGUAGCUGCAUAAAUCCGGCAUUCCUCCUUUCCGGCAUUCCUCCUUUCUUUUAAGUCUGCACGGUCAAAUAGCCGCAUACAUAGGGUACAAACGUUUAGGUAGCCGCAUGUAGAAGUAGUUCAAAUUUUAAAAAGUUCAAACAUUACAUUGUUUUCCCUUUUAACUGUCCACUAAUGGUCAAUCAGAUCUUCCUUCAGCUGCCCGUGAGUUGGUCGAUGCCGAAUUUGUUGAUGCAGAAGUAGUUCAAAUUUAAAAAGUUCAAACAUUACAUCCCAACAUAUUGUUUUCCCUUUUAACCGCCCAUCGAUGGUCAAUCAGAUCUCCCUUCAACUGCCUGUAAGUUGAUUGAUGCUGAAUUUGUUGAUGCAUUUGAAUAAACUCUUCAAAUGUGGCCGGAUUUUGGUCAGGAAGUUGGAUAGAAUUAUUCAUGUUCUCAAAUUCUAGAGCUGCGGCAGAAUUGCCACCUCGUCCUCGACGAUCAUGUUGUGCAUGAUCAUACAACAUGUCAUCACCUCCCACAAGGUCUCCAGAUCCCAUUGUUUAGCAGGUCCACGAACAGGUGCAAAACUGGCCUGCAGAACUCCAAAUGCCCUCUCGACAUCCUUUCUAGCCGCUUCUUGUUUUGGGGUGAAAUGAGCCUUUUUUUGGCCAACUAGGUUAGAGAUGGUGCUGACAAAGGUAGCCCACGGAGGAUAGAUACCGCCAACCAGAUAGUAGCCCAUGUUGUACUCAUGUCCACUUACAGUAUAGUGGCAAGGAGGAGCUUUUUCUUCAGUCAGCCUCCAAACAACGGUGAUCGCUGGAUCACAUUGAUGCUAUUGUGAGACCCGGGCAUGCCUAAGAAAGUGUGCCAAAUUCAAAGAUCAUGUAAUGCAACUACUUCAAGAAUGAUGGUGGCCUUCGCUUCUCUGCCUCUGCCUUGGGGGUUGUGUGAUCCAAGGCGGCGGCCCUAGUCGGAGUGGCGUCACCGGCCUGCGUCAACCGGUGGCGUGGGCGUGGGCCGACGACCUUGGUUGUGUGGACGAUAGGCGAACCGGAAGGACGAGAGCCAUGGCGCGGCGACAACUUUGGUUGUCGGUGGUGUCAGAUCUGGCCGCCCCUGUCGUUGGGCAAGCUCCGCCCUGGCCGGAUCCGGUAUGCUUCGACGAGGGGCGCCAGAUCUCGCAUCGUUGGGGUGCAGGUGGCAGGAAAUCGAAGGCCGGGAGAAAUACCAGGCCGACCUCGACUGUCUCGUCGGUGGCGACGCCCGAGGGGGGGCGCUCCCUUCCUUGGUGGCGUCGCUUAGGUGUGCUGCUUUGCCCCCUUCCCCCUAGCCUCUCGGGAGAAAUCCACAUCUCAGUUGGGCGACAGUGGCGUCUUUAGUGUCGCGUCUUUCCCAAAGGCACCGUUUUUGGGAACUAGGAGGGCUUUGGACUUCUUGGUGAUGUGGUUGGUGUGCAGCUGUGGCGGUAGUUGGUCUCCAUCGAGGUUGCGAUUUCCUUAGCGGCUCGUUGCAUUUUGGGAGCUCUCCAGGCAGUCGAGGUGAGUCUCGCCAGGUCAAUGGAUUCUCCUAGGUGGGAGGGAAUCAUGUUCCCCUCCUCCGGUAGCCCACAUCCCAGCGUGUCGUGAGAGCAUAAGCUCCACCUUCGGUCAAUGCCCUUCGGUUCUCAAUGCCAUCCAGGGAAAUCUUGCUAUUGCUCUUCCCGGCAACUCUUCCUUUUUCAUGACCAGUCUGUGCGGUUCGGUGGUGCUCUGCCCUGGUGAACCGUUUGUGGCUUGUCAGGUGCUCUGCUUUGGUGAACUAUUUUUGUGGCUUGUUGGGUGAGCUUGGUUCCUUUCCAGAUGUACCAUGUCGACGACUAACUCCUAGGUUCUAGGGUGAACUUCUCUUGUCAACCGUGUGGCGCCUUUCAAGACAGGCGAGUUAGCAGGGGCCUUCUUUUACAAUGGAACUAGGCGGUUGUGUUGCAUCGGGGCCGCUGGUGAUUAGGCGACGACAUGCCCUUCUUCGUCGGGUGUGUUGCUCCGGUGCGGGCAUUCUCCUUCUCCCCUCGCGAUUUGUUCAUGCUUGAGGACCUCUACGUCUUCGAGCUAUGCAUCUCCCUGUAUUUCCUUUUAAGCUGCUUACCAACGCCUCUCUAUCUUGCCGUUUAUUUUCUUUAUUGUAUUGGUUUCGAGUCUGUGCUCUUGACCGGUUGAUGGCUUUGCUAAUUCAAAGCGGACUCUUCUUAAGCUUUCCGUUCUAAAAAAAAAAGAGUAUUGUUAAUAUAUAUCGGAGAGAGUAUUGUAAAUUGACUUGCCAUAUGUUUAGAUUAAAAUUGCGUAUAUAAUGUACACAAACAAUUUCUGAUCUAUGAAAUUAAUCGCAUCCACCACUGCCACUGCUGCCCGGGAGGCAGCGCCAGCCGUCGGCCGACACUGGCGCAUGCCUGAGUGCUCUGUUUUUUUAGGCAAUUCAGUGCUCUGCUUUUUUUGAGGGUAAUUCAGUGCUCUGCUAUGCCCCCACUGGGUGGGGGCGGAGCUGGGCCCGGGCUCAGUCGAAUAUCGGCGUGUAGUGCCCAGCACAGCCCAAUCAAACGGAGGCACAAGACUGCAUGGGCUGGCCCAUCUAGCGAUCCACACACGCAACCUGUCUCGCACGACGCUCGCGACUAACUUCCACGCCGCCGCCGCCGCCCACUACCGGCGUCGUCGCCUCCUCAUCCACCUUCUGGAACACACACAGCGUCGUCCAGUCCACAGACUCCACGCCCGCUGACAGCCCGGCCCCCACCCGCCCCAUCCAAUCAUAUCAAAUUGAGCGCCCAUCUGACUCUCUCCAUCUGUAUCUCUAUCUAUCUUUCUCUCUCUCUCUUAAAGUCGCGUCCCUUCCGACGGAACCGACGCCACCGCAGCAGAGCAUCAAACGGUUUGCGCCCCCGUGACUCUCUUUUCUUCAACGGGAACUCGAGGACACGCACCGCCGCAUCUGCCUCCUCCUCCUCCUCCCAGCGCGAUGGCUUCCGGCGUCCACGCGGCGGCGGACGGCGUCGCCGCGCUCGGGAUCUCCGCCGGCGCCGGCGAGUGGGCCGAGCCGUGCCCCGCACUGCGCCGGAACCUGCACCUCCUCUCCCACGACCAGGUAACUAAUUAUCUCACCCCGCCGCAUCCUCAAGCAAGCAGUCAUUCGUAUACUAGUACCAGCAGCAUAUCUGCGUAUGCGCUAGUCGUACUAUCCUGUAACCGUUCGUUCCUAAUACUAGUUCAGUUUUUCUUUUGGAAUGCUUUAUCGCGCAUACUUGAAACAAACAUUGUGAGUUGCGUAACGCCAUGGACGGCGGAGUUCGCGGAAUUUCUUAGGAUUCGGCGCAGCAUAUAGUAUCUUAUAAUUUAGCGCUGGCUGGUAGUGGUACGGCCAACUACCUCGGCCUAGUUCCCUCACGUGGCGAUGGUGAUGGCUUGCUGUUGCCCACUCCUUGCAGGUUAAAAGGCCUUUUACAAAGUGCGAUUUUGUCCUUGCUGUACUUCAUCCUGCACUACCAAAUCUGAACAUUGACUUGACGGGCAGUGCAUUGCACACUUCGAAUUUGUGCCUAGAAACUGAUAAAUUUUGAUCGGAACCGCGAUGGAUUAUGCACAUUGUUUGGGUUUGUGUUCUUCUCUGUAAUACCUUUUCUUUUUGCCUCCUGGGUGAUUCCAGGUUGAACUUGCAAAGAUGCUGCUGAAUGAAGGCCAGGGGCACUUGUUUGAACACUGGCCAGAACCUGGUGUUGACGAUGACAAGAAGAAAAACUUCUUUGACCAGGUGGGUAUCUUUGUUGUAUCUCCAUGAAGUAUUUCAGAAUUUAUGUUACAUGGACGUGCCUACCAAAAAAAAUAUAUAGCAGUUACUUUGUUGUGAUAAGCUUUAAUAUUAUAGGCACUUGUCUGUUACUAGCUUUCUGUUGGAAGUUAACGAAUUUCACAGGUAGAAGUGAUACGAAGUUAAAUAUUGUUAUUUUCCUGCUAAACGUUUUCAUUUUCUAGGUUUUCCGACUUAAUUCAAGCUAUCCUGGUGGGCUGGCAGCAUACAUCCAGAAUGCCAAAAAGCUUUUAGCAGAUUCAAAGGCAGGACAAAAUCCAUAUGAUGGUUUCACACCUUCUGUAAGUCUUGCCAUGCACCAUUUUCUCAUGGAUUUUGUUGGGGUCUUCAUACGCACUUGUGUUGUUGUGAUGUUUUCAGUUCCGAAUACUCAAUUGCUCCUUUUCUUUCCGGCUCUGAACCAUUGCGUACUGAUAUGCCUCUUUAUUAUCUGAACGAAGUACAUGGUGUUAACAGAUGAACUGUAUUUUCAGAUUCCCUCAGGGGAAGUAUUGACGUUUGGUGAUGACAAUUUUGUUUCGCUGGAAGCAGCUGGGGUAAAAGAAGCACGCAAUGCUGCAUUUGUUCUUGUAGCUGGUGGUCUUGGUGAAAGACUUGGUUACAAAGGAAUUAAGGUAACGUGGCUUGAGUUCCUGAUAGUAUACUUGCAGCCAAGACUUGGAAAGACUGUCAUGUUGAUGUAUCACAGUUGAAAUUUUGUAUUCAUGAUUUGCAAGGGUAGCAGGUAUAUACAUCAAUUAGCUCUUCAGAAUCAUGCUUUAGAGCAUCCAUUUCCCUAGGUGUUAAGCAGACGCUAAAGGCAGAGAAACUGGCUAGCACCAAUGCUAAAGGAUGCAAGAAUAGGUGCUAAGAGAAAAAAAAAGCUUAGCAUCAAUGCUAUGCCAAAUAAAUUACUUUUAAUUAGCUUAUCUAUAUGAAAUUGUAAUUUAAAUGACAAAACUGAAAGAACUUAGCAUUGGUGCUAUGGGAUGUGGUAGAAAAAACUUACAUAAGUGUAUAUAGAGAAAUGUGAUUUAUCCACCUUGGCACUUAAUUUAGAGAAAAAAAUGGGAUGUGGGUGCUCUUAGCAGAUAUAUUGUUUUGCAGUCAUGCAGCUGUGGUACUGAUCGUGUUAUUUUAUUAGAAUAUUUCCACUUUCACACACUAUGUGCUACAACACAUUUUUAUCAUUUGUUGGAUAGCAGUAUCGCACAUCGUGCCAAACACAGAACCUUUGCUUUUGGACUGUACAUCAGGUGAUUUGUGUAGGUCUUAUUUCAUCCUGUAAUUACAAUUUGAACACGUAGCAUAUUCCCUAUGGAGAUCUGUUAUUUUGUUUGGUGACAUUGACAUCAAGCAAACUUCUGAAAGUACCAUUUUGUUAACUAUUUCAUCGCACAGGUAGCACUCCCCAGGGAAACAACCACUGGGAAAUGUUUUCUUCAACAUUACAUAGAGUCUAUUCUGGCUUUACAAGAGGCGAGCUGCAAAAUGGAGGGUAUGUAGACUAUGAUGCUUGCCAUUGUUGAUUAGUUUUCUCACCAAUACUUCGUAUACUUCCUAUGAUACUUGUCACUGUUGAUCAUUUCACUCUAGUUUAACAUUUUCCUGAAAUGAACUACCAUUCUGUAGAACGAUGAUCUUUGUAUUGUUUUCAUUACUAUGGUUUCUGUUGGUUGGUGUGGGUGCCCGAAUGGGCUGACUUGAGCUCGUAGAAAUAGCUUGAAUGUAAAAAAAAAGGGAUGUUGUUCAAAUAUAUAUCACUUAGUAUGUGAGGCUGAGGUGCAUCAUUGGAUUGGUACUGCUAAUUUCAUACUGCCUCCGAUCAUAAUAAGUGUCGCAGUUUUGAGCUAACCCUUAUUUUGGAUCAGAGGAAGUAUUUUUUACUUAUAUAGACUAUACCAAGAUGAACCUAGGACAAAUUAAAGACCUCAAUCAGAUAAGUUAAACCAGUUUUGUUUGGUCUCUGGUUUCUAAAUUCAGUCUGUACAUUGAUACUCCCUCCGUAAAGUAAUAUAAGAGCGUUUAGAUCACUACUUUAGUUAUCUAAACGCACUUAUAUUAGUUUACAGAGGGAGUAGAAUGCAAUUCUACCUCUCCUUUUCACAACCUUAUAGAACUUUAGACAACACGUUGGAUAAAUGUAUAUGAUGGUUUCUUGUGAAUUGCUCAUAGAGCAUGAUUUUAACUGUUUAUUUUAAUUAUUUUGAAAUUCUUGAAUUUAGGGCCUGAAGAAAAUCCAGACACUGCUUUAAUUGAUUAAUUUUUCAUUCUUUGAGUAUGCAGGCGAAUGCCAUACGAAGAUCCCGUUUGCUAUUAUGACUUCCGAUGAUACAAAUGCACUGACCAUCAAGCUUUUGGAAUCAAACUCAUAUUUUGGAAUGGAACCAUCACAAGUGAAAAUUCUAAAGCAGGUGGCCUUUUCUUCCAUGAGCUUCUUAGGGCUCAAAAAACAUACACAGCUGUUACUUUUGGUGCUGACUAAUGCUUAUUUGUUUUAGGAAAAGGUGGCAUGUCUAGCUGACAACGAUGCAAGGCUUGCAUUAGAUCCAAAUGACAAAUACAAGAUUCAGGUUGCUAAUUUCAUAUGAUCGCUUAUACUGGGGUUUAAAAUGUAUUACUGUUGUUUUCAUCUUCUCGAGUUUGCACUUCUCUUACUUCUAGUUUUGUGAUUCGGCAGACAAAACCACAUGGGCAUGGAGAUGUUCAUUCUCUUCUUUAUUCAAGUGGAUUACUCGAGCAAUGGUAUGCCUGUUGGUUCAAGAACUGGAUGUAUUUUUUCGUUGAACAAACUUUCUGUAUGAGACAAGUUGCCUUUUUGAAGGCAAUUACUUGUAACUGUUAUCAUUGACUCAUUUGAAAUAGUUUAGUAAAGUAAUCAAUCAAAAUUCUACCCUACACAAGAAAAUAUUAGGAUCUUUUUUUUAUAAUACUUCACAUUAUAUUGACAGGAAGAAUACAGGACGGAGAUGGGUUCUCUUUUUCCAGGACACAAAUGGAUUGCUCUUUAAUGUUUGUACACUGCCUUUUUUCUACUGUAUUAUAAUUACGAAUACUGUAGAGAGCCAGGAACUUAGUUCUACCAUCUUUUUGUAGGCAAUACCAUCAGCAUUAGGUGUCAGUGCCACCAAAGGCUACAAUGUUAAUUCUCUUGCAGUUCCUCGAAAGGCAAAGGAAGCCAUUGGUGGAAUAACCAAACUUACUCAUGUUGAUGGUAAAUUUUCACUUUCACCAUAUUUUUUUACUGACUUUCACCAUAUUUAAUGGGUAUACAUAUAUGGAAAUUUUGAUGCUUUUCUGACAACUGGAUCAAUAAUAUUAUGAAUCAAUAGUGAUUGCAGAUUAUAUCAGUACUACUGGAAUCAACAAAAAGUACCUUUAUAUUUGUCCAAAAUAUCUAUGUGAUCCCUAUUCUUCAGCUUGUUCUGUGCUGCCAUCUAACAUAUCAAUUCUGACGGAAGAAUGCAUUUUCAUGUGUAUUUAUGUUCUGUCAAAUUUGACUUGGAUCCGUUCUUAUAUGUAGGUAGAACGAUGGUGAUCAAUGUGGAGUACAAUCAGCUUGAUCCACUCCUUCGUGCAACUGGGCAUCCUGAUGGAGACGCAAAUUGUGAAACAGGCUAUUCUCCAUACCCUGGAAAUAUAAACCAGGUAAUAUUGCAAACAGAUAUAUUAGAACAGUAGGGAUGUGUCAACUUCCAAAUGACCCUUUUCUUCAACAGGUCUUAAACACUGAAAAUUUGGUGCUUAACAUGGCCUGUUUAUUUAAUAUCAUCAGUGUGAUCUUUUAGUCUAGUAUCAAUACUUCGUUGUCAGUUUUAGAAUGCAUAUUGUCUUGGAGCUUCACCUUCUUGUUAUGCUAACUUUAUGCCACCCUUUUGCAGCUGAUACUCGAGCUUGGACCAUACAUUGAGGAACUCAAGAAAACACAUGGCGCCAUUUCUGAAUUUGUAAAUCCAAAGUAAGUAUGCUGCCAUGUGCUGCCUCCAAAGAUGUAUUUUACAAUGCUAUUAGGGCGACAAGUAUGUGGCCAAUUUCCAUUCAGUGGUGUAAGUUGUUUCUUUCAGUGGUCAUUUAAGGUUGGGAGAAUGAACUUGCUCUUGGUUUUGCUCUUUCUUUCUUUAACCCAAUACUGUUUUACUUUAUACAGCUCUUUUUAUAAAAAUAUUUCCUUUUGUUGGUGUUGACUUCAAUAGUGUACAUAAAGAUAACAUGUGUUUUUGUAGUAUCUUUGUAGAUGCAUCAUUGAUUAAAAGUUUAUAACUAAUCUCACAAGCACAGUAUACUAUUCUUAAUGCCGUUCAUAUGUCCCAAUGUGAUAUUGUCAGUUUUGUUGACCACAACUUUGUGUAUCUUAUACUAGUCUUAAUGCCGUUCAUAUGUCCCGAUGUGAUAUUGUGAGUUUUGUUGACCACAACUUUGUGUAUCUUAUACUAACUUUAUUAUACUUUUGUCAUUUUAUUAAUUUAGGUAUACUGACUCUACCAAGACAGCAUUUAAAUCCUCCACUCGUCUUGAGUGCAUGAUGCAAGACUAUCCGAAAACACUACCUCCAACGGCAAAAGUUGGGUUUACGGUAAGAAACAACAUAUCUUCUCAUCAUACUAUGGUCCUUAAAUUGAUCAUGUUAGUAAUCUGGUUAUAAUUGAGAUGCAAAAGAAAAAAGGUUUUCUCUUUGGGUGCAUGUUUCACAUCCCUUACUGUCAUUCUUUGCCAUUUUUAAUGUAGGUGAUGGAUGCUUGGCUUGCAUAUGCUCCUGUAAAGAACAAUCCUGAAGAUGCAGCUAAAGUAUGAUUUUGGCCGUUCCUAACACUGAAAUUUAUAUACUGCGUUUUGCAUCUGUACUUUUGAACUUACAUAUGAAGAAUUUAUGCUUGGUAAGAAGAGUGUUUCUGGGUUUGCUCUUAGUCUAUGCCCAGUUGAUGAAUCAUGAUCGAGGUUGAAGUGUGUAUGCUAAUAGACAUGUUAGUUGACAGUAUUAAAUUUGCUUUGUUGUGACACUCUGAGAACCAAAGUUUCUCUGCACUUUUGAACUUGCACAUGAAGCAUUUAUGACUGAUAGGACGAAGACUUGCUCUGAAUUUAUCUGCUUGCAUUAAUGAAUGAUGAUCCUGGUUAAAGUAUGUAUCUCAAUAUCCAUGUUAGUUGUCAGUAUCGAUAUUGCCUCGCUGCGACACGUUGAUAACUAAAGUUCCUCUUCACUCUUUGAUGGUGCCAUCUGUAUUCCAUACGCACAUUUAUGUCACUAUCCUGAGUUAAAAGUUUGCUAGAGGCUGCUAUUUUUAAUUAUAAAGAUAUCGUGUAAGAAUCGUAGUUCGAUUUCUAAGCAGUCUCUGAUACACCUUUUUGUAGGUUCCAAAAGGCAAUCCUUUUCAUAGUGCAACCUCAGGAGAGAUGGCAAUUUACAGGGCAAACAGCCUCAUUUUAAGAAAGGUGAUGACAUUACCAGGCACUUGCUCGUCAGCUUGUUUGCGUUCCAGCUCAACAAGCUCCUUUCCACACCCUUUCUUUUUCCAGGCCGGUGCACAGAUAUCUGACCCUGUAGUCAGCACUUUCAAUGGUCAAGAGGUAGAGGUCUGGCCACGCGUGACCUGGAGCCCGAGGUGGGGUCUUACGUUCAAGGACGUCAAGCAAAAGGUGCACGGCAACUCUUCAGUUUCUCAGAGAUCGGUUCUGGUCAUCAAUGGCCGGAAUGUCGUCAUCGACGGUCUUUCCUUGGACGGCGCUCUUAUUGUCAACUCGGUCGACGAAGCAGAGGUAAGACGGUAACACUGUUAACCUAGAGAACUACCAAUUUUUUCUAUGUGGUUACCGUCAUCCUAACCAUGAAUUCUUUGGUGUUGUGCUUGUUGGCAGGUCAAAGUCACGGGUCACGUGGAAAACAAAGGCUGGAUCAUCCAGCAUGUCGACCACAGGGACACCUCGGAGAAGGAAGAGACGAGGAUCCGCGGGUUCAAGUUUGAGAAGGUUGAGCAGCUGGAGGUGAACUACACCGAGCCGGGAAAGCAUUGCCUGAGCCCAUGAAGGGGCAUGGAUGGCUGGUGGUUGACAUGGUCCCUCUGCCAAUUUGCAGCUGGAAAUAGUAAGUACAUUACAUUGUCCUCCCAGAAUUGGGUGGCCUUCAUUAUUAGUGUCAUGUGAUAAUAGCAAUAAGCUGGAGCCAUUUCUUUGCCUUCCAAUGUAAUACUGUACUAAUAAGAGCAAAGCUGCUUCAGCAACCAGGCAGUCACCGACUCACCGUUGCUCAUGUAAAUUUGUAUGGAUAUUUAUUUAUAGUCAUCGUUUGUUUCUUCUUUAUGUAAAGUAAACAAUGUUGAUAUUUCAUAUUGGGGUUUGAGGCUGGUAUACUCAACUCUUUGCACCGAAGAGAACAAAAUCGCUGAGGUUGUUGAUCUUGCUUCCAAGCAUGGUGGCCCUCUCCGCGGCGUGCAUAAUUGAUAUUUUCUUCUUUAUUUUUUUGUAAAGUUUGUGGGAUAUUUAUGUGUUAAGAAAGUCUUACAUUAUGGGACGGAGGGAGUAUGUGUUUCUUGGCGAUUUUGAUGCUUAAUAAGAUAUUAAGAUGGCAAGGGAGGGAGAUGUGUGGCUGUGCCAUGCCCAUGGAAAAGAGCUGGGCUUUUUCUUGAUAAAGAAUAGGAAAAGCUGGAUGAGGACCAUGCCUGCUUGCCAUUGCCGUUGUCCCCUUUGUAGAUUAGAUUCUUAUAAAGCAUCAGCCUCUUAAGUCCACACGAUCAGAUCACCAUUUUUGUCCCCUAAAGGAAAAUGAGAUCGCUGCUGUACCUUCUUUAAUAUUUGCGCACAGACUCGGCGGUGGUACACGUGUUAUGAAUUUGGGAUUUUGCCAUCCAGAAAUGCUGGCAAGAAUUGGAAGCAAUAAUAAUUGAGAGGAAGAGACGAGUCAUGGCAAAGAUAGUCGUGCACGAUUGCCAGAUUGGGUAGCUGUCAGCAUUUUGGAAACAAAUAAUUGGCCCUGAACCAGGCAAAUCCAUGUAGCACACCAUACAUAAAUCAAUCAAUCAACCAAGAGAAAUACAGAAAGGAAACCUUCUUAAUUUUAUACCUAUUGCAAAAUUUUUUUUUUGCAAAACACCAAACGAAGAACAUGACAGAAGGAAAAAAACUUAUUAAAAAGGAGGAGAAUAAUAAAAAACAAAAAGAAAACAAACUAGACAGACAGGCAGUGCGACUUCCUGCUACCUAGAGCGGCACGGGCCGGGGCAGGCCCUAGGGAGGAGCCCAUGAGCGGCCCGGUGAGCGGGCAGAAACCCUACCCCCUCCCGUCCUCGCCUCGCUCCACUACGCCCCCAGGGACCCCUUAAAAGGCGGCUCUCCCCGCCGCCGCCCAAACCCUCUGUUUUUCUCUCUCCUGCCAAUCCCCUCACCGCCUCCGCUCCCACGCCGCCGAAUCCGAGACCUGAUCUCGGAUUCACCGCAGCGCGACCAAACCCUCAGGCGAUCCCCGGCACCUCCUCCCCGACGCUUCAGGUCCAAUCCCACUCUCCCUCUCUCUCCCCCGGUGCCGUGUCUCGCUUCUCUUCGUCGCCGUGGCCGCCGCGCCGCGCCGAUCUGUGCGUGCGGGUGAUUUUUGUCGGAUUGGGCGGAUCUGGGUCGCUGUAGGGCUGGAUCUGCGUCGGUUCGGUGGGCGAAGCUAGGUUUUCUGCGGCGGAGGCCGCGGUUUUAGGGUUAAGCUGUUUGUUGACGCCGGUACGGGUUCCCUGCAGCCGAUAGGAUCGGUAGCUUUCGCUGUUUCGGCUGAUGAUAUGUUCUGUUAUGCAGGAUUCUAUUUAUUUUGGUCGCGAUGCGCUUUAGCUGUUGAGUUAUUGAUUUGUUAUUACUCUGCGAAAAAACUUGUGUAUGUAGCUGUAUCCGGCUUAUAUGAAGCUGUACUUAGUGGUGCUGUCCUGUGUUUUGGUGCUCGGUUUGCUGGAUGAGCUUGUGUGCUCACUUAGCUGAAAUUGUUUGCGGUAGCUGUGAGGGCAGUUGUAGUUGGCAAGCUCUGCCUAGUUAUAUCGAGCACGAGAGGAAAUAGUUAUGUUUAGUUAUUCUACUGUUGCUUCUCUUGCCAAUCUGCAAGGAAGUGUCAAGGGCAAGUUUUUGGCCUGUGUCUCUCAUCUGUUGCAUAUGAAUUCUUUUCUGGUUUGUAUAAGUUUGCAAUCGAUUCAGUGAUAUUAACUGGGUUCUGUGUAGACCUGUCCAUACACACAGUGAUUUAUAUGGAGUAGUAUCAGAUGUUUUCGUUUCUCUUGACCAUCCUGUUGAUGUUAUCUUCAUACACUACAAUGUAUUUUCUGAUUUCCUGUUGUUAAUUAAGCUUCAACGUGUUUUAUUGCACCUCUCUUUUCACCUUGUUUGUUUGAGCUGACACAUUUUAUUUCCGCUACAGCCAUGGCAGGAAUGGCACCGGAAGGUUCCCAGUUUGACGCUAAGAACUAUGAUUCUAAGAUGCAGGAGCUGCUGUAAGUAAUCUAAACAUUCUUUCGUUUUAUAGCUGCUCAUUGUUAUGAGCUGCUUGCCAACCCUGUUUUUGCUGUUUGAUUUGUGUAUUAUCUUCUUACCUAUGCUCCUUAAAUCUUAUACAGGAACCAAGGUGAGACUGAGGAGUUCUUCACCUCUUAUGAUGAAGUUCAUGAGAGCUUUGAUGACAUGGGUCUCCAAGAGAACCUCCUCAGAGGAAUUUAUGCUUAUGGUACUGUGCCUGUUGUGUUUUAUUGUUUUGUCCUACUUCAUUGGUAUUCUUCAUCUCUCAUGAACAUUGUUUGUUCUGCCUACAGGUUUUGAGAAGCCUUCUGCCAUCCAGCAAAGGGGAAUCGUUCCUUUCUGCAAGGGGCUUGAUGUUAUCCAGCAAGCACAAUCUGGAACAGGAAAGACUGCUACUUUCUGUUCUGGAAUCCUCCAACAGCUUGACUAUGGUUUGGUUGAGUGCCAGGCCUUGGUCCUUGCUCCCACCCGUGAGCUUGCACAGCAGAUUGAGAAGGUCAUGCGUGCACUUGGUGACUACUUGGGUGUGAAGGUUCAUGCAUGUGUUGGAGGAACCUCAGUUCGUGAGGACCAAAGGAUUCUUGCAAGUGGAGUGCAUGUCGUUGUUGGUACUCCUGGUCGUGUGUUUGACAUGCUCCGCAGGCAGUCUCUGCGCCCUGACAACAUCAAGAUGUUUGUCCUUGAUGAAGCUGAUGAGAUGCUUUCCCGUGGUUUCAAGGAUCAGGUCAACACUCUUAUGCUCUUAAUCUAUAUUGUAUUUCAUCUGCCAUACUUCACAUCUUAUUUAUCUGACACUAUCAUUGCAACUAAUUUAAUUGAAAGGAGGCAUUAAGUUAAUGCUCAGUAUUAUGUCCCAAGUUUCCUAUGCCUGUUGAUAUCUAUAUAAACCUUAUCUUAGAUGAUCACUAAUCAGAAAAAUUCUGACAAGUUAGUUAUAAAAUAUGUUUACUGCUCUGUGUAUGCUCUGUUUGUUUAAGCUGGUCCAUUCUAUGUUUGCUUUGUAUGGUAUUUGUUGUGGUUAUUUUUGUUCAAAUUUCUGUUCCUUAUUUUAAGCUUUGGGUAUUGAUCUCCAUUUUGUUAUACUUGCAGAUUUAUGACAUCUUCCAGCUGCUCCCAGGGAAGAUUCAAGUUGGUGUCUUCUCUGCUACCAUGCCCCCUGAAGCCCUUGAGAUUACCCGCAAGUUCAUGAAUAAGCCAGUGAGGAUUCUUGUCAAGAGGGACGAGCUCACCCUUGAGGGUAUCAAGCAGUUCUAUGUCAAUGUGGAGAAGGAAGAGUGGAAGCUCGACACACUGUGUGACCUGUAUGAGACUCUUGCCAUCACCCAGAGUGUCAUCUUUGUGAACACCCGCCGCAAGGUGGACUGGCUCACCGACAAGAUGAGGGGCAGGGACCACACAGUCUCCGCCACUCAUGGAGACAUGGACCAGAACACUAGGGACAUCAUCAUGAGAGAGUUCAGAUCAGGUUCUUCACGUGUGCUCAUCACCACUGACCUGCUUGCUCGUGGUAUUGAUGUCCAGCAAGUGUCCCUGGUCAUCAACUAUGACCUCCCGACCCAGCCAGAGAACUACCUGCAUCGCAUCGGUCGUAGUGGUCGGUUUGGAAGGAAGGGUGUGGCCAUCAACUUUGUGACCCGUGAAGAUGAGAGGAUGCUGUUUGACAUCCAGAAGUUCUACAACGUGGUGAUUGAAGAGCUCCCAGCCAACGUUGCCGACCUUCUGUGAUCGGGCGGGCUGUUGAGAACAUAUGGUAAGGGGGUCCUGACAGGGCUUUGUUUUUGUUGAAGUAUCACCAACUUUCUUGUCUGUGGGUGGGGGGGUUCAAGUGAUAAAUGGUCUGCUGGGGUUCUACUUUAAAGUCGUGGUCGUGGACAAUUUGGGAUUUAUUAAGCCAUGUUUUGGGAAUUUUUGUAGUUGCUAGGCUGUGGUUCUAUGUGCUGAGGAGGGAGGCGCUGCUGCUCAUGUUGCUGUUGCUGGAGUCCUCACUUUAUUUGUUAAGACUAUGUAAUGACCGAAUGAUGUUAUUUGUUUGUGUCAUCCUUGACUCUUUACCUACCGCAUGUAAUCCUGCAAUCGGUACUAGUAAUGCUAUGGUUAUUAAAAACUGUUUACUCCUUUUUUUAGCAAUAAUCUCUGCUUAUUAGUCAAGGGGUAGUUAUCACUUGUGAUCACUCGCAUAUCUAGGUUGCCGUCUUAAUCGGGGAUCACAGGAUUUGGCAUCUGCAAUAUUUUCUGAAAUUCCUAUUCUCGUACUGAGUGAAUUUCAUGCUCCCAGACUUUGGGAAAGAAUAAAUAGUGAUGGUGAAACGUCAUCUCAUUUGUUGGAACGGAGCUCAUCAGAUCUGCUCGGUUAGCUUCGUCGCCCACUCUCUUUGCACGCGUCAUUUUGUUAGCAUCACGCAUGGGAGAGGUUACAGCUAGCGCUGCUGACCCUUCCCCCACCAUGACGCUGUGACCGACCACACCCAUGGCUUGCUGCCCCUUGCAGAACCUCGUUGGUUGCAGGCCCGUGCUGGUUGCACCAUGCAACCCUCGGAUUGCUGCCCUUUGCCGAACCUCGUUGGUUGCAGCUGGGCGUUGUGCCGAUUCCAGCUUUGGGCUGUGCUGGUUGCAGCAUCUCGUCUUGUCCCUGCAACCCUCGGAUUGCUGUCCAAUGUGGAACCUCGUUGGUUGCAGCUGGGCGUUGUGCCGAUUCCAGCUGGGCGUUGUGUUGAUUCCAGCUUGGCCUGUGUUGGUUCCAACAUCUCGGCCUGUCGCUUGCAGCUGGUUGCGGCUUGUCUUUGCAACGUUACAACAUCCCCCAUGGGGUAGCAGUGGUUCACGCGCUUUCCAGCAAAACUUUUCGCAUAGAAAAACCGGGGAAGACCAAAGAUCUUGCGCGACCAGAAAAACUGAAAAGAGAAAGAGAGGUAUGCACUGUGAAGAAAGCCCUCUGACCCACUCUUCCUUCCCCCUACCUACCCAUAAGGUAAGUAGGGGCCUCGGCAUCUCUAUUUCCCGAGAAACCUAAUAAAACUACUUCGAGAAACCUACCAAUUCGAGAAACAAUACAAACCUACUAAAAUUUUUUUACUAGCCUCCCUUUUUGGGUGGCUUCCACUACUUGUGCGAGCGAGCAAUUAUAUUUCGGAUAUCCCGGGGUUCUAAGAUCUCGAGCAGAGGAAUCGUUGCGGAUUCCUAGCAAAAUUAGUUGUUGGUUCCAGCAAAAAUUGUCGCCGGUCAAAGAAAAAAGCAGCAAUGUUGUGGAUUCCUAGUUCCAGCAAAAAAUGUCACCUUUCAUAGCAAAAUACAUCGUCUAUAACAACAAAAAGCACCAUCGUGAGAUUGACCUGGGCCUCUUGGGUGUUUAAGCCAGGCACAUGUUGAUCCCUUUAACAUAAGGGGUAAGAGUCUGACGGCGUGCCAAUCAUCACCAUUAGCCACUGGAAUGUGAGGUGAUAUGUUACCCAAAAUCUCAUGUCCGACUCCAUGGUACUUGUCCAUCGUGUUUAUCGAUGAAGCAUGUCGGAUACAUCGCUAAGGAACCUACGUCUGAUGCGCGGACGGCGUCGCACAUAGUCCAGGCCGGCCGCGGGAUCGCUUUUCGUCGAAAGCUGGCCGGUUUGGAUCCCGAGCAUUCUGGCGCAGACUAUGUGCAUGCUGCUACUUGGUUUCUCUCAAGGAAGGGUCGCGAUGUUCGGGCCAUGGGGCCAACCCUCGAUUCGCCUUGGGCUGAUAUAUGGACGUGGAGAUACAUUAGCGGUGUUUGGCCUAUGAGGAUCCCCGUCGCGGCUAUCUGACUUCCCGGUUUGACAUGAGGAUGUGCUACCCGUGUCACCGGUCGUCCGGUGUGACUCUGUUUGUGUCACUGGUCGUCUGGCGUGACUCUUGGACAGGGCCUAAUUAUCCCGCUAGAUCAUCGCCAUCUUCAGAUACUCCAUCCCUUGCUCGAACCUUCGCUUGUCAAGAUGCCCUUUUGGGAAUUGUGUCAUGAUCAGGGCUCCUGUCACUACCUGCAUAUUCUUGGUCAUGCAUGGAUCAAUGGCGUUCGCCUCUUUCACCCGUCUACCUUUCAUGGCUAGGGAGGCCUUGUCCUUUGCCAGCAUGGUCUUUUCGAUGGGAUGGCAAGACCGAAACAACUCCUCACUGCGUCCAGGCCCGCCGCCCUCCUCUUAAAGCAUCUCUUCUCCUUGGAAACCUUGAAGAGAGUCGACACGACUUUCACUCGAACUGCAUCUUGCUCCUUGUUGAGGAAGUCCUGGAUUAGGGGGUCCUUGGAUAGCCGGACUAUAUGCUUAUGCCGGACUGUUGGACUAUGAAGAUACAAGAUUGAAGACUUCGUCCCGUGUCCGGGUGGGACUCUCCUUUGCGUGGAAGGCAAGCUUGGCGAUUCGGAUAUCUAGAUUCCCUUCUCUAUAACCGACUCUGUGUAACCCUAUUCUCCUCCCGUGUCUAUAUAAACCGGAGGGUUUAGUUCGUAGGACAAGAACAAUCAUAAUCAUAGGCUAGCUCCUAGGGUUUAGCCUCUACGAUCUCGUGGUAGAUCAACUCUUGUAAUACUCGCAUCAUCAAGAUCAAUCAAGUAGGAAGUAGGGUAUUACCUCCAUAGAGAGGGCCCGAACCUGGGUAAACAUUGUGUCCCCCGCCUCCUAUUACCAUUAGCCUUAGAAGCACAAUUCGGGACCCCCUACCCGAGAUCCACCGGUUUUGACACCGACACUCGUCUUUUAGGAUCGCUCCAUCAAGCGCUUCAAUAUCCCUAUCGCUGAAUUCUAACACCUCACUGCUUUCCUCCUAGCUUGGAUCUGGCGUGUCUACCAAAUAGCAGGACUCGACCGAGAUUGCCUCCCAUGUGUGGAGAUGCACCAUGGCUCGCGGUUGGUUAUUAGUCAACUCGCACAUCUCCUUAUCAUGACCAUUGAUACGUCUUCAUUGUAUCUACUUUUCCAAACUCUUUUACCCUUAUUUUGGACUCUAAUUUGCAUGAUUUGAAUGAAACUAAUCUAGACUGACGCUGUUUUCAACAGAAUUGCCAUGGUGUUGUUUUUGUGCAGAAAUCAAAGUUUUUGGAUCGACCUAAAAAUUUAUGGAGAUUUUUGUGGAAUAAAUAAAAAAAAUACUGGUGCAAGAAGUUACCAGAGCGCUCCACCCAGAGGCCAGAAGCCCUGGUGAUGUAGGGUGGAAACCCUAGGGCCGAUCUUUCACGAUUUGGAGGGGAUCCCGCGAAGAAGACGAAGAACACGAGGAGACACACGAGGGAAAUCACAAGAGGAACACUCAAAUCCACGAGAAUCGAUUACACAUGUGCUAGAUCCAUGAACACAAAGUGGUCACAAAGAUCCAAAGACAACAAAGUAAGGAUACAAGUAGCUAGUUCUUCUCCAAGAGGAGUUCUUGAAUCCAAGAUGGAUCUUCUCGUAGGUGGAGGCUUGAAUCCACUUGGGGGAUCUUCUCCUAGUUGGAGGGCUUGGCCUUCAAUGGAGUAGGUAUCAAGUGGAUGAGAAAAGCUCUAUCUCUCAUAUGAGCUAAACAAAUGCUAAACCUACAAAGAUGAAGGAGGAGGAGUACAUAUAGUCUAGGGUCACGAAAGGGUACAUGGGCCUCGGCCCAACACACUAUGCACAAACAGGCGCCGGUCAUCUGACAGCUACCGGACGUCCGGUGGCUCACGGGGGUCCGGUCGUCCGGUAGUUGUCAAACGUCUGUCAUUUUGGCUCUGAUCAGGCGGCGUCGAAUUUCCGAUGGACGUCGGACAUCCGGUGGGCCGAUCGUCCGGUGGACUUUGGACUUCUGACAUUUUGGUUCUGUGAUGGUGGCGCCAGUCGUCCAGAGGGGUUCGGCCGUCCAGGCGCUGGGAGGUGUCGGACGUCCGGCCCAUGUCGGUCGUCCGUCCGCUUAGCGUGCGCAGGCUGGGGCUCGGCUGGCUGGCUGGCGCUUCCAGGCGUCAAAUAUCCGACAAGUCUCGGUCGUCCGGUGGUUGGAGAUUUUCUGUCAGCUCCUCUUCUUGUUCCUUGUACUUGGUGUCCUCGCCGUCUUGGCCAUUGGAUGUAGUUGCUCCGUGGCUUCCCCCUAAGUACCUGAUCACACAUAGGGUAUCCGCUUGAGGUAGUAGUCAUGUCUUACAUGAAGAAUGUAUAAGUUCGGAGAGGAGCGAGUUCACCUUAUCUACGAUAGCCUUUGCUCGAGCUCUCGUCACUGGUCCAAGUGGUGUUGUGGGAGACAUAGGUAGGUACAUGGGGAUGACCUUAGGAUGCUCCGCAUCAUCUCCACCCCUGGGAAAGAGCCGACCUCGGAUCGAAAUCUUCAUCACCAUGGUAGGGUGAGAGAUCCUUGACGUUGAAGAUAUCGCUCACGUUGUACUUGUCACGUGGGAUGUUGAUCUUGUAUGCAUUGUUGUUGUAGCAUUCUAGAACUUUGAAGGGUCCAUCAGCUUGAGGUAGAAGCUUGGACUUGCGUUCAUUGGGGAAGCGUUCCUUGUGAAGGUGUAGCCACACAAGAUCUUCAAUGUUGAAUAUCAUGGGUUGCUUGUUGAUGUUGAGCUUGGUCGCGAGGCGUUGUACUUGGCGUUUGAUGGUGUGCCUUGUAUCUUCAUGCAUCUUCUUGAGGUAGCUCACUCGUGCACUCACUCCAUGUUGAUGUGCUCUUGUAGCGGUAGCGGUAAGAUGUCCAAUGGGGACAACCGGUUGAAGCCGUAGACGAGCACAGAGGGGGACUUGCCGGUAGUAGAGUGUCUUGCGCGAUUGUAGGCAUACUCGGUGAUGGGUAAACACUCCUCCUACUCCUUGAUGUUCUUCUUGAUCAACACACGGAGGAGAGUGGAUAGCAUCCCGUUCGUGACCUCCAUUUGGCCGUCGGUUUGUGGAUGGAAUGCCGAGGAGGACAAGAGCUUGAUUUCGAGCUUGGCGCAUGGGGUCUUCCAAAAGUAACUUAGGAACUUGACGCCACGGUCCAAGAUAAUAGUCUUUGGCACUCCAUGUAGGCGCAAGAUUUCCCUACAAAAGAGAUUUGCAACAAGUGAAGCAUCGUCUAUGUUGUUGCAUGGAAUAAAGUUUGCCAUCUUAGAGAAACGGUCCACAACAACAAACAUAGUCCUUUCCAUUUUGAGUUCUAGGCAAACCAAGCACAAAGUCCAUACUAAUAUCUUCCCAUGGGUGAUACGGAAUAGGAAGUGGCAUAUAGAACCAUGUGAUUGAGCUUUAGACUUAGCUUUGCGAUAUGUAGAGCAUCGCUUGGUGAAGCGUGAGACGUUGCGGAACAUCUUGGGCCAAAAGUUAUUCUUUGAUAGUGUAGCAAAUUUCUUGUCGCAUCCAAAGUGUCCCAUAAGUCCUCCAUGAGAUUCUUGCAAAAGUAACAAACAAAGAGAAGACUCGGGGAUACAUAGUUUGUUAGCUCUCAUAAGAUAACCAUCUUUGAUGUAAUAGCGUUCCCAAGAUGUAUGUGUCAAACAUUUGGCAUAGGGAACAUUUGGCAUAGGGAAUAUCAAAAGUAGGAUCAUGCACAUACAAGUCUUUUAUGUGCUCAAAGCCAAUGACACUCAAUUCUACUUUAGUAACAAGCAUGCAUUUGCGGGAAAGAGCAUCCGCCACAACAUUCUCUUUGCCUUUGAUGUACUUGAUGAAGUAAGGAAAUGACUCAAUGAAUUCACUCCACUUAGCAUGACUCUUAUUCAACUAAGGUUGACCCUUAAGGUACUUAAGCGUUUCAUGGUCGGUAUGAAUGAAAAAUUCGUGGGGGUGAAGAUAAUGUUCCCACUCACGCAAAACUCGCCCUAAAGCAUAUAGCUCUUUGUCAUAGAUGGGAUAAUUGAGUUGCGCUCCGGAAAGUUUUUCGCUAAAGUAAGCAAUAGGGUGCUUCUCUUGCAUUAACACACCCCCUAUGCCAUGACUGCUAGCAUCACAAUGGACUUCAAAAGUUUUGUCAAAAUUGGGUAACUCAAGCACGGGAGCAUGUGUAAGGAAAAUUUUAAGCUCAUUGAAUGCGAUAUCUUGGGAUGGUCCCCAAACAAAAGGUGCAUUCUUAUUACUCAAGGCAUGCAAAGGAGAUGCAAUGGUGCUAUAAAGUCCUUAAUGAAUCUAUGAUAGAAACCGGCUAAGCCAAGGAAACUUCGCACUUGUUGCAAGUUGGUUGGUUAUGGCCAAGUUUAAAUAGCAUUUUAUCUUAGAUUCAUCUACAUGAACACCUAGGCAACGAAACCCAAAAAAACGAGCUUGUCCACACCGAAUUUGCAUUUCUCCAUAUUAGCAUAAAGGCACUCUUUUUAAAGAGUUUGCAAAACGGUUCUAAGAUGGGUGACAUGAUCUUUGAGAGAUUUGCUAAAGACAAGAAUAUCGUCAAAAUAGACCACAACAAAUACACCAAUGUAGGGGCGAAGAACAAAAUGCAUGACGCGAUGAACGUACCGGGUGCUUCAGAUAAGCCCAUUGGCAUAACAAGCCAUUCAUAUAAGCCAAAUUUGGUCUUAAAUGCGGCUUUCCAUUCAUCACCUUCUUGUAUGCGGAUUUGGUAAUAUCCACUUUUAAGAUCAAUUUUAGAGAAAAUAGUGGCUCCACUAAGCUCAUCUAGCAUAUCAUCAAGGCGUGGAAUAGGAUAUCUAUAAUGAACGGUGAUAGCAUUGAUGGGUCUACAAUCGGAACACAUGCGAAAACUACCGUCUUUCUUAGGCACUAGUAUGACCGGUAUGGCACAAGGACUUAAACUUUCACGCACAUUCCCAUUGCCAAUGAGUUGUUGUACUUGCCUUUGUAUUUCCUUGGUUCCUUGAGGGUUGAUGCGUUAGGGUGCCUUGUUAGGAAGCGGUGAGCCAGGGAUGAGGUCGAUUCGGUGUUCGAUGCCUCAUAGUGGAGGUAGUCCCGAAGGUAGUUCAUCUUGGAAGACGUCCUUGAAUUCCUGCAAGAUAUUAGACAACACUAAAGGUAGAGGGUGAGAGGUGUUAGUUGUUGUUGCCUCGUCGUUGCACAAUAGGCCAUAGUGCAUAACACUUGAUGGGUUCUCACACACUUUUCUCAUCCCACUUUUGGUAGCGAAUAUCACUAAGUUUUUCUUGUCGCUCAUCAUGGAGGCACUCAUUUUGGGCUUGUGGAUCUCACUCCCUUUUGGAUGGCUCACCCUCUCACUAUUCUCUCCAUGAUGGGUGGUUGCUUGCUUGUCGGCGAUCACUUGGUUUGGUGACAUAGGUCGUAGCACGCACUCCUUUCCCUUCAUCUUGAAGCUAUAGUGAUUGAUUCUCCCAUUGUGGAUGACGCCGCGGUCAAAUUGCCAAGGUCGUCCAAGUAGGUAUGGCAAACGGACAUGGGAACCAUUUCACAUUCCAAAGUGUCUUCAUAUGCUCCGAUCUUGAAGGAUACUUGAGCCAUGUGCUCCACUUGAAUGGUGCCGGAGUCGCUAAGCCAUUGGACCUUGUAGGGCGGAGAUGCUUCAUCUUGACCAAUUGUAGCUUGGAACAUAGCUCUUCACUUGCCAAGUUGUGGCAACUUCCUCCGUCGAUGAUAACCUUCAUGGAACGACCAUUGAUGCCCGCUUUGGUGUGGAAGAGGUGGCAACGUUGGUCUUCCUCUUGUUGGUGUUGGAGCAUCAAGACCUUGGAGACAACGAGAGCGGGGCUCGAAUCAUUGUCACAAAAGACUUGAUCAUCUUCAUCUUCAUUCACUUGCUGGUGCAUGUCCACAUGCUCAAGGGCUUCCAUUUCCUCUUUAGUCAUGGAGUCAUAGGUGCCGUCGUUGUUGAGGAUUAUGGUACACUUAUUGGUACACUCGAAGGACUUGUGGCCUCGGCCGUCGCAUGUGAAGCAUUUGAAGGAGCUCAUCUUGAUGGUCUCAUCGAUUGGAGUAGAUGAUGAAGCUCUCGGCUUGAAGUUGCUUGUAGGAGGUGGAUGACUUGAAGAUGUCAAAAUUUUCUUGGAACUUGACUUGUGGCCAUUGCUUGGUGAAGCUUUUGUCGUAGAAGAAGGCGUCGAAGUCGUUGAAGCUUGGUUGUAGGAAGAGGCAUAGGACUUGGAAGAGAAAUUGGCAUACAUGAAGUCAUCUUGCACUUGUUGCCCCGCCUUGGUAGCUUGGUGCACUAUCUCGAUGAGGUUGGAGUAAGUUUGGAAGUUGGCGAUCUUCUUGAUAGGAUGAUUGAGUCCAUUCAAGAAACCUGCCAUAGUUUGCUCAUCAUCUUCCGUGACAUUGGCUCAUAUCAUGGCGAUCUCCAUUUCCUUGUGGUACUCUUCAAUGCUAUUUGUUCCUUGCUUGAGUAGUUGUAAUUUCUUGAAGAGGUCGCGGUUAUAGUAGGUUGGUACAAAGCAUGCUCUCAUGGCAUCCUUCAUUUGAGUCCAUGUUGUGAUGGGUGGUUCACCUCUUACCUCUCGGUGCUCAAUGACUUGUUCCCACCAAAUAAGGACAUAGUCUUGGAACUCAAGGGAUGCCAUGGCGAUCUUCUUAUCUUCUUCAUAGUCAUGCAAGCGAAAGAUCUUGUCAAUCUUCAAUGCGCAUGACAGGUACUCUUUGGGAUCAUUGCUUCCGAAGAACUUGAGCAUGGUGAACUUGAGCUUGCUGUAGCAUUGCUCUUCAUUGUGUUGGGGUCGAUGGUGAUGGCGUUCUUGUCAUGGAGGAGGGUCUUGGGCCACUAGCUCCUCGUGCUCCGCUUGAUUAGCGUGAUGUUGAGGUCGUGGAAGGUUAGCAUGAUUCCUCAUUUCUUGGCGCUCCUCAAUACGGGCGGCUUCUUCUUGUAGCACUUGGUGGAGGGCCUCUUCUUGAAGUCGUGCUUGGCGGUUGUGCUCGUUGACGACCAGUGUAGCUUCGUGAAGAGCACGUUGUGCUUUAAGGUUUUGUUCCUCAGGAUGUUGUUGCUCUUGUCGAGGUGCAUUGCCAUCUUGGUGUUGUUGUCGAAUGGCAUCACCAUCUUGUUGUUCUUAUCGAUCUUAGUGUAUUGGAUCUUGAUCUUGGACCAUAGGAUCAUUAUCUUGUUGACAUUGUUGUUCACGUGCCCGGAGACGGUCUUGUAAACCAUUGCCAUGGAAUGGGUUGUGCGGAGCUUGAUGAUCUUCAUGGUAGUGGCAACGGUACGAACGAGCUCAAGGAUGACUUGCAUCCGAAGAAGAUUGCGAAUAAUGUCGACUUGAGUGGCCCCGUCAUGAAUAGGAUGAUGUCCUAGAGGAGCGAUUGACCAUCAUGGCUCAUAUGUCUUCCUUGAGAGAGGCCAUUGAUGUGUCAAAGUAGUCUCUUGUACGUUGCUCGGAUUGUCACAAGUCGGUAGCGAGUAGGUCGAUGCGGUCGCCUAAUGCUUCAUUCUCUCUAUGCAAAGCUCUUUGUGCGCUGAAGAGGUGGUUCUUGGUGACGUAGAUGUUUGGGUCCUCAUCUUGCUCGAUGAAGAGUGGAUUCGAAGAAGUAGUUAGCCUAUCCAUCAUCUCAAGCAAAUGUAAGUGAAAGAAUGAAAAGAACUAGACCAAAUGUACCUUACCCGAUGUUGAAAAUGGAUCAAUGAUCACUCAAUAGUGUAACAAGGGAGUAGCACAAUUGGUACUGAAUCUCGUCGAUUUAUCACACCUACACAAAUUUGCAAAUGCAACAAGUAGACAAAUAGCAAGUAGAUGUAACCGGAAACACACAGACAUGAAAACAUAAAUGGGGUCAUGCAACCAAAAAUGAGCUCAAAAUGUGGAAUCCAUGGAAAAUGCUCUUGUUGCACAACACUGGAGAGAUGCUAGCAUGAUUGCUCAAUAGGCGGAUACGAGACUUUUGCACAACCUACAAAGCAAAAAUGCUACGACUUCUAUCCCAAGUAUGCUCUAUGUAUGAUGUUCCGGUGAUAUGAUCCAAGAUGAUCGAGUAUGACAAUCUUAAAGUAGUAUGAUGCUAUGGUUCUUGCUUAAAAGCUCUUUGCUUAUCUUUCUCUUUUGCUUAAAAGCUUGUUUGACUCUUUCUCUUUUGAGCUCUUUCUCAUGCAAGACUUGAAGAACCAAGGUAGAUAUUGUGUAUAUGCGGUGACAACCUUGUGACACAAGAGAUAAUACCAAGAUAUGUAUACCAAGAAGAUAUGAUAUAUGCAAUGAUCACUAAUGUGCACAAGUAACAUUGCCGACAAUACUCAAAGGCUAGUCUCGAUAGGUAAGUGAUGCGAAAAUGGGCUAUGGGGUUAUCAAUGCAAUGGCAAGGAGUACACAAAGUGUCGUCGAGGUUACGGUCCUUGCUUACGGUGGAUGGUGUCAAAAUGAUGAAGAGGUCGAGGUCGAUGAUAAAGAUGAGCGGUGGUGACGUCGAUGUCGAACCAUCCUUAAGUAGCCAAAACAUGAUAGGAGACGAAAACCGUAACUCAAAUUCGCAAAGACCAAAAGUGGCUAAAUUGUCGGAGUUGGUAGCGGGUAAGCGAUGGUGGUUGCGGAAAGCGGUGGUGGUAUGCUGCAAUGCAAUGUGGGGUUAUGGGAGUGGUGGUGCGGAAGGUGAAGUGGGCAGCUAGAAAUUUUCGAGCGAAAUUCAGUUCUGUCAGGAAAUGUCGGACAUCCGGUGACUGUCGGACGUCCGGUGCUUGGGCUAUUUCGGGCACGGGAUGAACUUCUAGGGUUCGCGGUGGACAUGCAAAAUUUGGUCAAAAUUUGACGGAUUUGUGGAUGGAAAAGGGGGAAAUGAUGGGGAAAAGCUAGAUCUACCUGCAAUACAUCAAAUCCACGAAUCAAAUCCAGCAUAACUUCAUCACACCAACAAAUCACAAAAAAAAGU